This 150984-nucleotide long non-coding RNA is filed under the name Gossypium barbadense (sea-island cotton). Its description in RNAcentral is "long non-coding RNA (GBAR_LNC002719)". Lineage: Eukaryota; Viridiplantae; Streptophyta; Magnoliopsida; Malvales; Malvaceae. The record is from RNAcentral.
CCAAAGAAACCCAAAAGGUAAAUAAACGAUGCGAAAAACGCGAGAAUCGCGAUGAUCUCAGAAAAGGUGACGACAUGGAGAGGCGUGGAGGUACGGAUCUUCUCACGCCAACGGGAAAGAAGGAAAUAAACCACCGAGAAGAAGAGGGUAAAGAACACCGCAUUCGUCAGAUGCAAAGAAAGCGGCAAUGCGUCGGAGGCUUUAGUGGGAUCUUCCUCUAAAGGAAUCUUCUUAGUGGGCUUGAGAGAUUGAACUCGUUUAGUCGAAUACAGCCGGGAAGCCUCCAUUUUGGGUGUCGAAGGCGGCGGAAACCCGGCGGUGGAGGAGGAGAAUAGGAUAGGAAUGAAAGUAAGAGAUGAUUUCAGUUAGUUUUACGAUUAUGGUGAAGGUGGAGCCUGAGAUGCUAGAGUUUAGGGAGGGAAAGGGGUAUUUAUAGGAUAAAGAGUAAAGAGAGCGUGAGGAAAAAGGAGCGUGAAGUGAAGAUGGGCAGUGUUUGGCACGUGUUAGUGCGGAGCUUUACCAAGAGAAUAGUCAAAGAAAGAAUUAUAGGGAUAGUGUUUGGAAGCGUGCAGUGCAUGGGAGCAACGUCGUCAGCACAUUCCUGGUUGUUUCAUUUUCAUUUAGGGUAAACUACACAAUCAGUCACUAAAGUAUGGGUAAGUUUUUAUUUUGAUCACUGAACUAAAAAAAACUUAUAAUUUGAUUACUAAACUAUUCAAAAGUUUUCAUUUAAGUCACUGGGCUGUUAAAAUCGAUGCUACACAUCUUUUUCUCUUCACACUGCCUACAUAAAUCAGAUGCUCUUUCUCCCCUUCUCUUUUACAGUUCAAUUUUUUUCCUACAACUUUUUUUUCGAUCUCCGAAAUUGACCUUCAAAUCGACUUGAAUCUAAGAUAUGUUCUUCUACCCGCUGAUGGGUAUUGAUCCACUGUACAGGUCGUUGUGUCGUCACUUGGAGCUCGUUGGUAGAACUUUUUUUAAAAAAUAGUUAACAACCUAGUGACUUAAAUAAAUUUUUUGAAUAGUUUAGUGACUUAAAUGAAAACUUUCAAAUAUUUUAGUGACCAAAUUGUAACUUUUCAGUUAAGUGACCAAAACAAAAACUUAUCCAUAAUUUAGUGACUAAUAAUAUAAUUUUCCAUUCAUUAUAUUUGGUCUUUCUCCCUAUUUUGAUUUUUUCUGUCACCUGUUUUUCAUUAUUGUAUGGAUUUAAUUAUUCCUUAUUUUGGGUUGUUUUUCAUUAAUUAUUCAAAAUAAAUUAUCCAAAUAAAUAUUAACGCUGUUGUUAAGUUAUAUACAAUUUUGGGCAAAUGUCUACUAAAAGAAAUAGAAAUGAAAGAAAGUCAUAUUUAUUAUUAGCAUAAUUUUUUUACCUUCCAAAUUUAUAAAAAAAAAUUAUUUAUUUAAUUUUUUAUCUCUUUUAUUCUUUCAAUUAAUUUUUUUAUCAAAUUAUUCCAAAACGAAUUAAAAAGUUAAUAUUCUUUAACUUUGUUGAUUUUAUAUACACGUAGAUUACCAUGUAGAUAAUACAUAAUAUUUAAAAUUUUAAAAACAUUAGCAAAUAUAUUUUUUUAAUAAUUUUAUACUUUUAUAGUACUUUUCUUGGUUUUUUAUUUUUUAAAAAUAGUUUUUAUAUCAAUUUUUAAAUUUUAAAAAAUUAAUUAAAUGCCGACGUGUCAUCCACGUGCAUUCAAGUAAGCAAAGUUAAACAACAUCAACUUUUUCAUUCAUUUUGAGGUGAUUUGACAAAAAAAUACGAGUUUAAAAGUUAAAAAAAGACAAAAUUAAAUAAAAAGCUAAAAUGAUAUUUCUUGUAAAGUUAAAGAGUCAAAUAAAGUAUUAUACCUUUAUUAUUUAAUAAAAUUUAAGCAAAGUAGGACUUUGACCUGAAUUCAAUUAAUGAUAAGAUAAUUAAUUUUGAUUUUUUCCUUUUGCUCGUAAUUAAUUGGAUAAGUUUAUAAGUUAAAUUAAUAUGUAAAAAACAUUAAGAUAUAGAGCUUUGACAGCUCAUUUUUCCUUUUUAGAUUAUUUUUUUGCAUGUUUAUUACAUGUUGUUUGUGAAAAUAAAAAUAAAACUAUAGUGUUUAUUAAAUUAAAGUUUAAAUUUGACAUUUUUAAUAUUUUAAUAUAAUCAAAUUAUGUCCUAUUUUAUAUUAAAUAAAAUCUAAUCCAUUCUUUAAUAUUCCUUAAUUUUCAGGUUUCUCUAUUUUUUUCCCAUCAAUUCAAGCCUCUUGCUUUAUAGUCAUAUGUAAGGGUGAGUAUUCGAUCGAGUCGAAUCGAAUCGAGUAAAAAAUUUUCGAGUUAGUCGAGUUGACAAAUUUUAUUUUAGCAACCGAACUCAAUUUGAAAUUUUUUCGAAUCAAAUCGAAUCAAGUCAAGUAAAAAAAUUUCGAGUCAAAUCGAGUCGAGUUAACGAAUCCUAUUAUUUAUACUUAAUGUUACGUUUAGAUGGACUAAUUAUUUAACUAGUAGACGAAGUAUAAGAUUAUUUAACUACAUGAACAAUAUAAUGAUUUAGUCUUUUAACUUAAUGAGUAAACAUUUAUCAAAACGACGUAGUUUUACCUUUUAACUUAAUUAUUUUAAAAUUUAACUUUUAAUAAAGUAAACAUUUAUCAAAACUACGUAGUUUUGUCUUUUCUUAUUCGGAUUUUCGGAUAACUCGAAUUGUGUAAUUCAUAUUCGAGUUAAACCGAAAAACUUAAUUCUUUAUUUGAGUUGAUCCGAAUAACUUGAUUAACUCAAAUAACUUGAACUAUUUAAUUCAAAAUUUGAAUUUUUUUAUCAAAUUUUUCGAAUUGAAUCGGAUUUUGUUUACCCCUAGUCAUAUGUAUGUAUAUAUGUGUAGAGACUUUAUAAAAGGACCGUAAUAUAUAUUUUUUAUACAUAUAUGUCGACAUUCUCAACAUUAGACAAUAAUUAUUAUUCGGUUUAUGUGGACUUUUAUGCAAUAAUAAAGAUAUUUUUUAGGGUAAAGUAUUAAAACAUCAAUAAAUAAAAUUUUUAAUCCGAAAAUAAUAAUAAAUUGUACUCUUUAAAUAAUCGUUUCCAUCAAGACUCCUGAUAAUUAAGUACUAACAUGACAAAUGAUGUAACGGUUGACAUAAAACUUUCGAUGAUAUAUAAAGGACUUAAUUAAUUUUUUUUAUUAUUUUAAGUGGGCUUAAUUGAUGUUUAAGGAUUAUUUAAAAAUUCUCAAGAAAUUAUAGAAAAUUAUAAUAAAAAUAAAACUAAAAUGGAAAGAAAAUAUUAAAAAUAUUAUAAAAUUUUAGCUAAAAGUUAUUAAAAUAUUAAAAAAAUGUUGAAAAUUAUACAAAAUAUAAAAUUUAUUAAAUAUCAUAAAAUUUUAAAAAAUUAUAAAAACUAUUAAAUAAGUUAUGAAAUAAUGGAAAUAUUAAAUUAAUAUUAUAAUAAAUUAAGAAAUGGUAGGAAAUGAUAUAAAACUAAUAAAAAUCUAUAAAAAUUAAUAAAAAGUUGUAAAAAUUUAUUGAAAGUAUAAAAAAUUUGAGUUAAGGUAGUGAUUGUAUAGACAUGAGUGUAUGAUAAAAAUUUUAUAUGCUUAAAAGUUAAUGACAUGAGUUUAUUUUAUUGGUGCCUUAAAAUAGGGCGUUUUACCUAAAUAUGCCCUUUAAAUAAUAUAAUUACGGAAAUAGACAGUUUUUUGUGUUAUUUAUCGGAUUAGGCCGUUUCCCACGAAAACGCAUCCACGUAAGUGCGAUUUCGGAGUACGUGUCAACAAAACGCUUCCCUAGGAAGCGCUUUGCCUGUGUAAUGGUCAAAUUUUUGACCGUUGGCUUCCAACAGUCCAAAAAAAACUAUAAAACCCACCCAAAUCAUUUUUUCUUACAAAUCUCUCAAAUUUCUAUAAUUCUCUAAAAAUUUCUUUCCCUUUAAUUAUUUUUCACACAAUUCUAUCAUAAUUCUCAACAUUCUUUUAAUAUUCCCUUAAAAAAUCUAUCAAAUUUCAUUGAAAUUUUCUCAAAAUUCUAUCAAAAUUCUAUCAAAAUUCUUUGUUUAAUUUUUUUUUGAAUUUAAUUUUUUUAAAUUAAAAAAAUUUGAUCGUGUUAGCAAUGGCCGGAUAAUUAAUCCGUCUCGAUAAUAAGCACAUCUCCUUGAUCAAAUGACAAUGGUAAGUGAUAAUUUUAAAUUUUCAAUACUAUUCGAUAUUAUUUUAAUUUAUGCAAAUUUAAUUAAAUUUGCAAUACUAUUUGAUAUUUUAUUCAUUUAUGCAAUUAUAAUUACAAUUUCAAUACUGCUUGAUUUUUUUUUCAUUUAUGAUGUUUGCAUUAAUUAAUUUAUACAAUUUUAAUUAAUUUUUGUUUUAUAGAUUUUUAUAAUAGUCUGUAGAUUGGGUGUUGCAAUGCUACAUCCGUAAUAUGUUUGGUCCUCCAUCGCCGUUGAUCGAGAAUUACUUGCAAGAAGCGGGAUUUUGGCACGUGGCCACGAUAGGUCGGGGGUGCAAGUUGGACCCGAAACUAAUCAGUGCAUUGAUAGAGAGGUGGAGACCCGAGACGCACACUUUUCAUCUUCCAUGCAGAGAGUGUACUAUCACUCUGGAAGACGUACAUUUGCAAUUGGGAUUGCCGGUAGAUGGGUACGCAGUCACCAAGUUCGCAUCAUCUACUGAUUGGGAAGCCAUAUGCUACGAGCUUUUGGGUGUUAUACCGGAUAAAAUUAACAGAGGUAAAAUAAAGAUGGAAUGGUUACGAGACACAUUCCCGGAGCCGAAUAAUGAUUCGACUGAACUCGAAAGAAUAUGUUAUGAUCGGCCAUAUAUUCUUGAGAUGAUUGGAGGUUAUUUGAUACCGGACUUGUUAAGAAACCUCGUACAUCUAAGAUGGCUGCUGAAACUCGUAGAUUUUAGAGCAGCCGACGAAUUGAGUUGGGGGUCUGCCGUGUUGGCAACAUUGUACAAGGCAAUGUGCGGGGCGACGCGACCGAACAAAGUCAAAAUAUGAGAUUGCAUGUCACUACUGCAAUCAUGGGCACGGUUUCGCUUUCCAUUUUUACGUUCUCGAGUCGACCACCCAUAUACAUUUCCACUCAUAACAAGGUAAGUUUUAUAUUAGAUUUUACAAUUAUUACGUAGAUUUAGAAUAUAAUUUUAUGCAAAAAAAUUAUUUAAUUAGGUGGAACCAUUCGAUGAGUUAUGUCGAAAUACCUACCUCUUUCGAAGAUAUAUGACUUUUAUUAGACCAACGAUCGGAAGCAGAAGUAAGUAUUAAAUAAAAUAUAUAUACAUAAUAAAAUAGUCGUUUCGUAUUUAGUAUUAUGUAUUAUGUAUAUAAGUAAUUCGGGCAGUAAUUCCGGAUGAAUUCUUUCAAAAUCCAAACGUUUGGCAUGUGAAGGUCCCAUUGGAGAACUAUGCUACCGUGGAGAUGCACCAGUCAGAUAGAGUAUUGCGGCAAUUUGGAUUCCGACAACCGAUUCUCGUGGCACCUGAGGUGUUUGAUGAUGAGCAUAAAGUUGACUUACGGCAACUGCAUAUGGAUUGGCCUAGAUUCUAGUCACACUAUAUCGAAAUGUGGGAAAAUCGGUAUGAUUAUAUACCUACUCGGGAACCGAUCAUUGUUCCAGAGUUAGCAUGCGUAGUAGAAUACAUGCCAUGGUUUAGGAUCCAUGGCAAGCCAUAUUUAUUGUCGAAAGAGGAAAUGAGACGACAAAUUCGUGCCCAAAGGGAACGACGGGGCCCUUUAAAUCCAAGAAGAAGGGACGACGACACAGGCCCAUCAACAGCACCCGCACAAUCAUCAGGCCCAACAGUUCAACGGACGACACCCACAUCACAGCCUGUUCAGAUUAUGCCAGGUACGUAUCCUUGCCCUUAUAUGUAUCCUAACCCUUAUAUGUUUCCUUUUCCUAGUCCUAUGGCAGGUUGGAAUCCAUGGCCCGGAUCAUCUCCGUUCCCGAUUACUCCGAGUCAACUUCUGAUCUAUAGGUCACCGUCACAUGAGGGAUCGCACGAGGCACCAUCAGGGAUCUCUUCUUUCUACCAAUCUCUAUCACAUUAUGGGAUUCAAACACCUCCGCCAUGGGUGACGCAAACACCGCCGUAAUUAUUAUUCUAUCAAGGUGGGUCAUCCUCCCAAUAGCCACAACUAGAUCCCCUGCCGGAGGAACCACAACCCUCGCCCGAAGCUGAUCUAAGGAGGAAUCCAGCACGGACCCGUCGACGACCUCCAUGUGGCACUGAUUCCGACCGCCACAGACAUUGAUUUUUUUAAUAUAUUUGUACAAACUUUUUUAUAUUGUUUCAUUUAAUAAAAAUAAAAGUUCUUUUGAAUAAGACAAUUGUAAUACAACAUAGUUUCAUUUAAUAAAAUAUAAAUAAUACAAAAUAGUUUUUUACGACAUCUAUCAACUAUUUCAAUUUGGACAUGAUCUACUUGUAUGACCUGGGUUCCUACACCAUCCGCACAACUUCUGAUUAUUGGUUGUUUCUCGGAUAUCUAUAUUGGUGUGUAUUCUAGUCGAGCAAGGUUGUCCCUUUGGUUUGCGACGCAAUUCUCUAUCCGGUAGCAGCUUAAACAGAGCAAGCGAUAUAGCCGGCCAGUUACGUUCAUCUGGGAUAGGUGGGAAUACGUGUAUCCACAUGUUGUACAUGGUUUAUAGUUUAAACAUUUCGUCGACUUAGCUCAUGGGAUCUAGACGGAGAUUUUGACAAACUGCAAUUACAUGAGCGCAUGGAUAACGAAGUGCGUCAAACCUCCCAUAGUCGCAAGUCCUAUUUCUCAAGUUUAUACGAUAUUGCCCGCCAAUAAUACCUUCGUACGAUCUGUCAAACUCCGUCACACGAAACCAUAGGUUGUCUCGAUCAUGACAGACUAUGUGCAUGGUGUUCGCCCGCGCCUUCACCUUGUUAAUUUCUUGCAAUACCUUUGUACACCAUAUACGGCCUCCUUACAUUUGACCUUUAUAACUCGCUGCUCACUUCGAAAAUAGUGCCGCUAAACGAAAAUAUGUCUCUCGAACAACCGAUGUUAUCAGCAAAUGACGUGUUCCUUUUAGAACAUAAUUUAUGCAUUCAGUCAGGUUUGAGGUUAUAGGACCAUAUCGUAGGCCGCCGUCGUAUGCUUGUGUCUACUGUUUGAAAGGUAUGUUACAGAGGUAGUCUGCGCCUUAUUCGUUAACUGAACGUAAAACCGCCAACAUCUCAUGAAAACGGUCCUUAUUUAUCUCAUACCCGCCAAUAUAAGUUGAUAGUGAAAAUUACAUACCAUUUUUCCAUUUAAAAUAAAUUCAAUAUUGCAAACGAAAUUACAUUAAUAGAUAUUAAAUACCCAUGUUGGUCACUUGUUGUUUUUCACUUAUAAAUCGAAAUUGCCCGUAGUAGUUGAACGCAACGUGCCUUAGGCAAUACCGAUAGUGUGUGCGAUGCCAUAGGCUUCAUUGUCGCUCAAUUGCGGCUAGUAUUCCGGUACCUCGAUUCGAUAUGACGCAAAUAUUAGGUUGGGGGCAGACAUGCCUUCUUAACCUAUAAAGAAAGAACUCUCAGUCAUCAACUGACUCCCCCGGUGUUAUUGCAAACUCAAGUGGAAGGAUUCUCCCACUGCCAUCCUGUGUCACAGCUAGCAAUAGUCGAUGGGUAUAUCUACCGUACAUAAAGGUACUGUCAAUUUGUACCAAUGGCUUGCAAUAUAAAAAUGCGUCAUGGCAUUGCUUAAAGGUUCAGAACAGACGCUUAAAUACUUGGCAUCCACGGAGUAAUCGGUCGUUGUAGUACGCAGGUUCCGUUUCAAGAUCUGUUACGCAACUUGGGACAUAUCUCUCCAGCACCUGACAUCACUGCCACACUUCAUUAUAUGAAGCAUCCCACCCACCAUGAAUCUUUUCCAACGCCUUUUGCUUAGCUAUCCAAGCCUUACGGUCAGAGGGUGUGUACCUCAACCAGCUAUGAAUAUUAGCAAUUAAGACCGGCACUGAAGUUCUGGGAUUGGCCUUCAUCAUCGGUAGUAUUAAGGUAGCUAACAUAUCUGAAUUCAUCCUGGGAUGAUCUUCUGAAAUACCUGUCAAUGAAGUACGUUAAAAAAUGCAACAGUACGUAAUAACAAUACCAUUAAAAAAAUCUAAAUGGUUAGUGAUACUAUACCGGCAGCACAUGUAUGUGGACCUUUGUACUUUUUUAUCUCCCACAAGCUUGUCUUUUUCCUUAACGAGGCCAUGAUUUUUCAUGAACAUGUAUCGUCUUGCACUGCACACUUGGCCUUAAACUUAUUGAAUUUGGAUUUAACCACGUUGUAGUUAACCCCGUUCAUGAUGCUAUGUUAUUUUAAUGCACCAAGAAAACUAUCUUUAUUGGAAAACUCCUUACCAACUUCUAAUUCACCUGAAUCUAAUGAGGAACUUGUACGAUCAUGCCUUUUGUAUGGUAGAUCUAGAAACUUCAACGCAUUAUCUUCAGAUAGAUCAACAUUAUGCAUGUGGGCUGGAGGCGAGUACGACUUGAAUUGUGGAUCUUCAUCAUCAUCAUCUAAACCCCCUUCAACAUUUUUAGGUAUGGUUGGAACAGUCUCUAGUUCAGAAAAUAAUGCAACUUCUGCACCAUCGGGGCUGGCCUCUCGAGGUGGAUCUGCAUCGGACUUAUUAUCUGACCCAUCAUCAUGUGCAACGUAAAAGGUCCCCUCGCCGGUGGACGUCAUAGGGAGUACAUCAUCCCUCCUUAUGGACGUUUCACAAUGUCUUCAAUCAGAUAUAGAUUGCCAACCACUAGAAGUUGAUGUCAUUCUCCAGUACGUAUUUCUAGCAUCAAACAUCGACCCACUGAGGUGCAUGUCUCAUCCACUAACGGAGUGUCGUGCAGGGGUCAGGUAUUUCAUACUGCUACUAAACAUGGGCACUUCCGUGUUUUGCCACCCACUAAUGGAGUGUCGGGCAGGGGUCAUGUAUUCCUCUCGGCCAGCAGUAAAUGUUGAAGCUACAAAUGCAUCAUUUGGCGAUGAAAAAUUAUACAUAUAACUUAAGAUAGAGUGAUCCACUAGCGAGAUGAGUCUGCACCAUUGCCUCCAAGCUACGAGCGCCUUUGAUGUCAAAUGAGUCAUAUGUCACAGGAUCAACUGAAGCACAAAAUCGAUACUUAAUAGACAAAACUUUCAUUGGCGUCGUUCUGAAGAUUUUGCGCCUAAUUCUUUUACGAAGUUCUGUCAAAUCUAUGUUCUGGUUAAAAACCAGUCUCGUUGUAUUCUCCGAUAAAAAAAACAACACCGUUCUCGGUGUUACAGACCUCACCAUCAUAGUAAAUAACAACACUAAUACGUUCACUCAUCUUCAAUUUCUUUUCUUCUUAGCCUUUCUAAUUUUUUUUGUUGUAAGUUAUGCAACUUGAGAAUAAAAUUUGGCUCAUUUAUAACCUCAUUUUUUUACGAACUACUGUAGCAAAAGAGCGUCCACGUGGGAGCUUUUUCUAGAAAUUUUGUUGACAGUGCAUCCUGCUUGAAGCAUUUUCGGCACUAUUUAUUCAGAAACGUCUACUUAGAAUUAUUUUUCUACGAACUACUGUAGCAAAAGAGCGUCCACGUGGGAGCUUUUUCUAGAAAUUUUGCUGACAGUACAUCCUGCUUGAAACGUUUUCGGCACUAUUUGUUCAGAAACGUCUACUCAGAAUUAUUUUUCUAUGAACUACUGUAGCAAAAGAGCGUCCACGUAGGAGCUUUUUCUAGAAAUUUUGCUGACAGUGCAUCCUGCUUGAAGCGUUUUCAGCACUAUUUUUUCAGAAACGUCUACUCAGAAUUAUUUUUCUACGAACUACUGUAGCAAAAGAACGUCCACGUGGGAGCUUUUUCUAUAAAUUUUGUUGACAGUGCAUCCUGCUUGAAGCGUUUUCCAACACUAUUUUUCCAGAAACAUCUGCUCAGAAUUAUUCUUGCAGAAACCCUAAACCUUAAAACCUAUGACAAAAAAAAUUAUAUUGCUUAUAUGUUUUUUCUAAUACCCUAAACACAAUUUAUUUUAAAAAACUAAACCCUAAUCCUUAAUUUAAUGAAUUAAUCCUAAUACACUCUAAUUUAGUAUUUAAAAUUAAUAGUUAAUUUAAUGAAUUAACCCUAAAAUCCUAAAUCCUAAUUCAAUUAUUUUUUUCUCGAAACCCUAAACUUAGGAUAGCGCCAGUAUGUAUAUAUGCUACAAUUAUAUUAUCUUUGAGAAUUUUUUUCUUGUAUGUAUCAAUUAACCUUAAAUUUAAUCAAUUAACCCUAAACCUUAAAUCAAUCCAUAAUUUAAUCAAUUAACUUUAAUACCCUAAACUCUAAUUUAAUAUUUAGUAUUUAAAAUUAAUAGUUAAUUUAUAAUCCAAUUCAAUUAAUUUUUUCUUAAAACCCUAAAUCCUAAAACCCUAAACCCUUACAAAACCCUAACAUCGAAUCAUAAAAAUCCUAACCCUAAAUCAAUUAAAUAAUAAAAUCCUAACUCUAAAAAAAAGGGCAAAACGCUCCCCCAGGGAAGCGUUUUGCUGAUACGUACUCUGAAAUCGUGCUUACGUGGAUGCGUUUCCGGUAAAUAACGUAAAAAACAGCCCAUUUCCAUAAUUAAAUUAUUUAAAGGGCAUAUUUGGGUAAAACGCCCCUCAAAAUAUUCAUUUUUAGUAUAAUCUUAAUAUAAUUUAUUUCUAUAAAUAUUAAUAUAUACAAUUUUUUAGAUCGUUAUGAUAGAAAAGUCAAAUCGAUUAAAAAUUUUACAUUCAUGACAAGUGAUAAUUUUAAUAAAAUGAUUUUUUUUAAAAAAAUAAAGAAUUUUUUUUAUGGGCUACAUAAAAGAAUAUUGAUCACUCUUCAAGAUUGGUUUUUUUUAUAUCCUUUUGCAUAUAUUUUAGUAGAUAAGGGAGAUAUUAUUUUCUUAACGCCUCUGGUUUCUGUAGGGCUGAAUUUUUCAUUCAGUCAAUGACAUGAAUUUCAAAAUAGGAUGCCUAUUUAAUUUUUGUAAAUACAAAUGAUUGUACCAAAAAAUAAUACAAGUGAUUGUAAUUUGUAUGCAUAUAUAUUUGAAUAAUUUCUUAUCAUAUCUGUUCUCUUUGAUAUAAUACUAAAUAUUAUCCAUAGUUCCUUUUUAACUCAUAAAUAGGAGAAUAAUGCGAUUCAGCGUAUUCAAAUCCAUGUCGUCUUGCAUUAAAAAAAUACUUAUACUAAUCGAAUCAAGGCUCAAUCGACAACUUGCAUAAUUCAUGCGAGUGGUGAUUAUUAAAAAGUAGCAUUCAAUAAAUUUAAUAUUUGAAUAUUAAUAUUAAUAAUUGUUUCUGCUAUUUUAGAUUGCAACAGGUCAAGAAUUCGUGCUGGUUUUUUUUUUUUAAAAAUGUUUCUGGAGUAUAUAUAUAUAUAUAUGAAAAGGAUGCGGUCAAAUUUAUUAGGAGCCACUCUCGAAGGGUUUUAUCGUAUGAUAGAAUACAAUAACUGUGUUUGUUAAAAUUGGAAUUUAAGAUGGUGAAAAGGAGGAUAGCCUCUCUUAGACUUAACCUUUUGUACAUUAUGGAUGUAGUGAGUCUCUUGGUAGUAAUUUUUUAGUUGACCGGAGUUUACUGUCAGCCUUUUGUACAUCAUGAAUGCGGUGGGUCUCUUGACCGUGAUUUUUUGGUUGACUGGAGUUUAUUGUCAAAUUAGUCUGAUGAUGGCAGGAUCAAGAUUAUGAAUUUCUGAUUUGUUUUUGCAUUCUUUUAGCGUUACAAUUAUUUUCUAAACAUAAUAUUUGAGCACCAGUUUGUAAUUUACUAUAUCUCAUAUUUUUAUAUUCUUAUUAUUCAUUAUUUCUAUUAAUGAUAUAUUUUCUUUAAAAAAAUUGCUUCCGCCAUAGUACAAGAAAAGUAAUAUGAAAUAGACGAUAAGACUGAAGUAAAUUUCUUUUUCAAAAUAAAAAGCAUGCAUGCAUGCAUGAGAAUUAUUCAUCACCAUGUGCUAAAGACUUGGACUGUUUGUCAAAGUUUUCUUCAAAACAAUCGUAUAAUUUAUAAUAGAUGGGUAUAUAUAUAAACAGAGUCAGGCCACCCAAAGAAGAAAAAAAAUUAACAUGAUAUCAUCUUUUUUUAUUGCCCAGUAUUUAUUUAGCAAAUAUUGACUGUUAUAUUGUCAUGAUUAGACCAUAUUAUUUUUGGACAAGUGAGGCACGAAUAUUAAGUGUCCACUUACUCAAAACAAUUGGAAAAGAACAAGGUCAAUCCCAAACAAGUAGAAAUUGUAGUCAAUGUUCAUAUUUCCAGCUUACACCAACAAGUUAUCUAGUAAAUACGUCAUGUUUGGAUUAAAAUCUUUAAUUAUAGACAUAUAUAUAUAUAUAUAAAAUAUAAUAUAACUAUAAAGUGUGAUAUAAAAUUAAGUAACUAAGUAUGUUAAACGUGUCAUGAUAAUAAAGAGUAGAUACUAUAAGUUGUAUUUAUAAUUUAAUGAGGGGCCAAAUUAUAAUUACCUAAAAUUUAUUUAAUAAUCAAUUAUUUGAAGAGGCAGUUGUCUCCAAGAAAGAGUGCUAUCUCAUUUUUUUUUUCAUCCCUAUCAGAGAGUUAUACUAAGAGAUAAACUAUUUUCUUGAAAUAUCAAAACUUUUUGGCUAGUUUCCAACAAAAGUCAAAACCUUUUGAAUAAUCACUCUUAACGGAUUCAGGUAUGCUUCCUUAUAUAAUUUUGACCUAAAUCACCUUUUUAACACAUAAAUACCUCUAAAUUUUAAAUUAUAGGACAAAACUUUAAAAUUUUAUCAAAUAAUAUGAAAAGUAUAAAGCAAAGCUCAUUUUCUUAAAUUAAGUCUAGAAAUUCUACAAAUCGAAUUAUGAUGGACUCUUGACCCCAACCGAACUUAUUACCCCUUAUCUUGUGCGACUCCAUUCCAUACAAGUGGUGUUGGUGGAUCAAACAUGGUGAAACCAGGCUCUUUGUGAACAUCUAAGCUGGCUAACACAUCCGUUUGCAAAGUUCCUUGAUAUCUCUAACCAGUCGACGCAUAUCGUUUCCAUCAACAAAAUCCUGAUCUAACAAAUUAACUGCAAAGUUCCUUGGACAUUUCGACAUCCCCAAUCUCAUGCCACGUACAGGUCAUCCAUGGUACCCACAAUUAUGCAUGAAGUACAUUGCAAAUCCCAAUGGAAAGACUGAAGCCAAUAAUCCAUUACCCUUGACAGCCUCUAAGUAAACCACUAGUGUCACGGACUUAAGAUUCUUGCCUCAAAAUCCGUGCGGCCUUAGGCAGUUUCUUACUCCAAAAAUGCCUAAGUCAGCCUAACUUCCACAAAAGAAGGAUUCAACAGAAUUCCUCCCAAAAACACAACUCAAGCGAAAGCAACUCAAAGCCAACAAGAUGAAAGAAGAAUGAGACAAGAACAAGCCAGGGAAAAUAAGAACACAAGAGAGAAAAGUUUGAGUGAAUGCUCUCAAGGAUUCUUCUUACUCAAAACUCAAGUGAUUUACAAUGAGGGAAGAGGUCUCUUAUUUAUAGUUGAGCCUCCCCAAAUCCAACGGUACAAAAUUAAGUACAUUAACGGCUAUGAUUAAAGGGCACCUACCACCAAAUCUUUAAGAAUAUAAAAUCAUAUCUUCUAAGAUUACAUAUCUUAUCUAAGAUAUGUAAUCUUAUAAAAUAAUAUCUUAUAUUUGUCUAACUUGUAGAUGGGCCUUCAAUCUCUUCAAGCAACGGGCCGGUCCGAUUGGGCCAAAUGACCUCCUUCCUUUUUGAUGGUUCACACAGAUGUGUCAUGGUUGCGGGCUCCUAUGCGCAACCCAUGACAUUUUCCCCCACCAAAUCUAACGACGCCCUCGUCGCGUCCUCUGCAUGGUAUCGAUCUAUCUUGUCUUGGAAUUGCCACAAGGCUUCAACAGGUUCCCAACUCAUCUCACUAUCCGGGAAUCCCUUCCAUCGAACUAAGUAUUUGCGCCGCGGUCGGUAGUACUUACGUCUGACCACACGAUCCGCUUCGAUGUUCUCGACCUCUCGAUCUUAGGCGACUUUUACCCCCAUUGGUGCUCGUUCAGACUUGCUUCGAUUUGGGUCUUCUCCAUCUUCAUGGAAUGGCUUAAGCAUACUCACAUGGAAUACUGGAUGAACUUUAAGCUUUUCAGGCAACUCGAGCUUGUAGGCCACCUUGCCUACCUUCUUCACAAUUCGAAAUGGCCCCUCAUACCGCCGAACGAGUCCUUUGUGUAACCCAUCAUGUCGCAAAAUCAGGUGUAGUUUGGCAAGAACUGGUUCACCUACCUGAAAUUGUACGUCCCUUCGAUUUCGAUACGCCCAUUUCUUUUUGCGCUUACUUGCCUUAUGUAGACAAGCUCUACCUAGAUCGUUUUGCUCUUGCCAAUCCCUCGCAAAUCGAUAAGCUGCUGGAUUCGGUCCCGCAUAACGAGUUGCAACUGCAUUGGGUGUAAGCGGCUGUUGCCCCGUCACUAUCUCAAAUGGACUCUUGUUCGUUGCCCCACUUUGUUGUAAGUUGUACGAAAACUGGGCCACAUCCAACAACUUUGGCCAAUUCUUUUGUGUUGCACUUACAUAGCGUCGAAGAUACGUCUCCAACAAUGCAUCCACUCGUUCGGUUUGCCCAUCAGUUUGAGGAUGCAUGCUAGUGGAAAAGUUUAAGUCUGAGCCCAUUAACUUGAACAACUCUGUCCAAAACCGACCCGUGAAUCGCCCAUCUCGAUCACUGAUGAUAGACUGUGGUACUCUCCAAUACUUCACUACAUGUUUAAGGAAUAAGCGAGCUGCCUCCUCAGCAGGACACUCUUUGGUUGCGGGGAUGAAAGUUGCAUACUUCGAAAACCUGUCCACCACAACAAAAAUACUCGCAAAUCCAUCAGAUUUAGGCAAGCCUGUGAUAAAGUCCAUGGACAAGCUCUCCCAUGGGCGCUCCGGAAUGGGCAAUGGUUGUAACAAACCAGCAGGGGCUUUCAACUCAACCUUAUCUUGUUGGCAUAUUAAACAAGUUUUCACAUAGGUCUCCACAUCAUCACCCAUGUGAGGCCAAUAAAAUCGAUCCUCCAAUAGAGCCAAGGUGCGGUGUAUUCCUGGAUGGCCAGCCCAUUUUGAAUCAUGACAUUCCUUCAUGACUUCCCUUCAUAAAUUCUUAUGUUUAGGCACAUAUAGACGUUACCCAUGAGUGUAUAGCAAUUCCCCCUCGAGCCAAAAUCGCCUCGUCUUUCCAUCUCUAGCAAGCUCCAUUAGAUUUUUAGCCGUGGGAUCAAGGGACAGUCCUUCUUGAAUGCGCUCUAAUAAGGGACUCUCAGGUUGGCUUAUCGUUGCGAAUUCCAUUUUUCGGCUAAGUGCAUCGGCCACAAUGUUGGCACUCCCCGGCUUGUAUUCCAUGCUAAAAUCAAACUCUGCUAGGAAAACCUGCCAACGAGCCUGCUUGGGGGACAACUUUUUUUGGGUUAAGAAAUAGCUAUUUGCAACAUUAUCAGUGAAUACCACAAACCUGAAACCCAGCAAGUAGUGUCUCCAUGUGCGCAAACAAUGCACCACUGCCGUCAUCUCUUUUUCUUGGACCGUGUAUCUCCGUUCCGUCUCGUUAAGCUUUCGACUCUCGAAAGCAAUCGGAUGCCCAUCUUGCAUCAACACCCCUCCAAUCGCAUACUCCGAAGCAUCUGUGUGUACCUCAUACGCCUUUGAAAAAUUGGGCAAUGCGAGUACAGGCUCACUCGUCAUCGCUUGCUUCACUUGGUUGAAGGCUUUCUCACACCGAAGGUCCCAAUCCCACACUUUGCCCUUUUUCAACAGGUCCGUCAAGGGUGUAGUGAUCUUGGAAUAGCCCUCAAUGAAGCGACGGUAGUAAUUUGCUAAUCCAAGGAAAGACCGUAACUCCGUCACCUUGGUUGGUGACUCCCAAUCGGCAAUUGCUUGAAUUUUUCUUUCAUCCAUUCGAAUCGUGCCCCCUCCCACAAUAUGGCCUAGAAAUGGCACUUCUCGUUGGGCAAAGGAGCAUUUCUCCUUUUUGACAUAUAGCUCAUUUUCUCGUAGAGUUUGGAACACCUCCCCCAAGUGUCCCACAUGCUCUUCGAGCGUCUUACUAUAUACCACAAUAUCGUCAAGAUAAACAACCACAAAACGAUCCAAGAAAGGUUGUAAUACCUUAUUCAUUAGGGUACAAAAUGUGGCCGGAGCAUUUGUCAACCCGAAUGGCAUCACCAAGAACUCAAAGGACCCAUACCUAGUUACACAGGCUGUCUUGGGUUCAUCCCCUUCGGCUAUUUUCACUUGGUGGUACCCCGAUCGUAAAUCCAACUUAGUAAACCAUCUCGCGCUACCAAGUUGAUCGAACAAAUCUGCAAUAAGAGGAAUGGGAUACCUGUUUUUUAUAGUGAUUUUGUUUAAGGCCCUGUAGUCGAUGCACAUUCUCAAAGAUCCAUCAUGCUUCUUUUGAAAUAACACAGGUGCGCCGAACGGGGCUUUAGAUGGUCUAAUGAACCCGGCAUCUAAAAGCUCUAUCAACUGCUUCCGCAAUUCCUCUAGUUUCGGUGGAGCCAUCCGAUAUGGUGCCCUUGCUGGUGGUUCAGCAUUGGGCAACAACUCAAUCUUGUGGUCCACCUCCCUCUUAGGUGGUAAUCUUUUGGGCAACUUUACGGGCAUUACAUCUUGAAAUGACUUUAGCAACCGUUCCACUUCCUUUGGAAUUUCCACCUCGAAUUUAUCAUCCAUAUUGUCUCUCAAGGUAGCUAGGUAGGAGACUUCAUUUCGACGGACUCCUUUGGCAAAUUGAAUUGCCGACAAGGUUUUUCCCUCUAUGCUUCCUUUCCUUUUCAUUCUCACCAUAUAUCGUUGAUUUGCAUCGGAGAUGGUCAUGUAGUUCUCGGAAGGGUGAAUAUCCGCAUUAAGCCUGUCAAGUAAACUUAAUCCAACUACAAAAUCGUAAUCAUCAAGUGGGAUUACUUUAAUGGUCGCUUUGCCCGUCCACUCACCAAGUUUGAGUUCUACCCCUUUUGCCGCACCCGUUAUGGGAAUGCUUUCUGAAUUCACCGUUUUGAUUCGUCCCGAAUCUUUCUCGAUUCUAAGGCCAAGUUCCUUUGCCAUUUCUUUAGACAUGAAUAAAUCAGAUGCACCAGUAUCAACAAGUGCAUUCAAUCUUCUGCCAGCUACGAUGAUGUCCACAAACAUCAACCCAUUGCUUGACUUCUCUUCGACACCUCCUAAUAUCGAAUUGAGGCUUUUGGUGUCAUCUUCGGCUUCUUCGCGUGCCUCCAUGGCAUGAAAAGCGGCUUUCUUUGGACAGACACUCAUUCUAUGUGGGCCUUGGCAAAGAAAGCACUUCAUUGGUCCUUUUCUAUCCCAAUGCUUACCUUGACUAGACUUUGGGCCUUCGUCGUUGUUUUCCCUUUGAUCAUUGUUUCCCCCACCAUUGUCUUUGGGUUUCGACUUGGGUUUGUAAGAAUCAUUAUUAUCAAACUUUCUUCCCCUAACAUCAUAGAAAUUUUCUACCUUGGCCAUAGCUUCGGUCAAUUCGGUGAUAUCUAGGCGACGCAACUCUUGCUUGGCCUACAUUUUUAAACCAUCCUCGAACCAAUAGAAUGCUUCUUUCUCAUUCAAGUCUGAGAUCUGAAGCAUCAACUCGCUGAAUUCCUGAACAUAAUCUCGAAUAGUGCCUUGUUGCGUAAGCCGAUGCAACUUAGCACGAGCCUCCUUUUCGGCAUGUUGUGGAUAAAAUUGCUUCUUCAACUCUCUUUGGAACUCCUCCCAAGUUCCAAUGGUCGUUCCUCCACGUUUCUCAUCCGUGGACCUACGUCUCCACCACAAGAGAGCAACAUCAGAAAAGUAAAUUGAAGCGAUGUUUACCUUGGUGGCAUCAUCCUCAAUGCCAAUUGCUCGAAAAUAUUGCUCCAAUUCCCACAGGAAGUUGUCCACUUCUCUUGCGGACCUAAUCCCCUUGAACUUCUCGGGUUUUGGAAUAUCCACAUGACGUUGCUUCGGUCCUGAAGCCAACAUCCCACUUCCCAAGGCAACCUUACAGAUUCUGAGCUCCCCCUUAAGCUCAGCAAUCUCUUCCUUCAUGGCAGUCAGCAGGGCCUCAAGAGCUUCGUCCCUCCCUGUCAGUUUGUCCGAAGUGGAUCUGAGGGAGUCCAACACAAACUCCUUGCUAUCUUCCCUCAGUUCAUCCAUACGGGUUAGGACCACUUCGAGUGUUUCCUUCAUGUCACCAACGGACUCCUCGAGAUUAACCACUCGAAUUUCCAAGCUCGACAGCAUAUCCCUCGAUCGACUAGCCUUUCUAGCCCUCCCACGGGUCUCCAUUGGCUCAUUCUGAUCAACAACUUCUUUCGACAUAUCUUAAAAGUGCUUUCGAACUGGCUCUGAUACCAACUGUCACGGACUUAAGAUUCUUGCCUCAGAAUCCGUGCGGCCUUAGGCAGUUUCUUACUCCAAAAACGCCUAAGUCAACCUAACUUCCACAAAAGAAGGAUUCAACAGAAUUCCUCCCAAAAACACAACUCAAGCGAAAGGAACUCAAAGCCAACAAGAUGAAAGAAGAAUGAGACAAGAACAAGCCAGGGAAAAUAAGAACACAAGAGAGAAAAGUUUGAGUGAAUGCUCUCAAGGAUUCUUCUUACUCAAAACUCAAGUGAUUUACAAUGAGGGAAGAGGCCUCUUAUUUAUAGUUGAGCCUCCCCAAAUCCAACGGUACAAAAUUAAGUACAUCAACGGCUAUGAUUAAAGGGCACCUACCACCAAAUCUUUAAGAAUAUAAAAUCAUAUCUUCUAAGAUUACAUAUCUUAUCUAAGAUAUGUAAUCUUAUAAAAUAAUAUCUUAUAUUUGUCUAACUUGUAGAUGGGCCUUCAAUCUCUUCAAGCAACGGGCCGGUCCGAUUGGGCCAAAUGACCUCCUUCCUUCUUGAUGGUUCACACAGAUGUGUCAUGGUUGCGGGCUCCCAUGCGCAACCCAUGACACUAGCCUCUGAUUUACUCUUCUUGCCUCUUACAACACCGUCAUAAUUCACCUUCAUCCACCCAAUUAGCGGUGGUUUUCACCCAACCGAAGCUAGUUGUUUAUCUCGUCAAUUCUAAAAUCAAAUUAAAAAUUUAAAUCAAUUUUAAAAUUAGAUUAAAAAGUCAAUUUAACCCAAAAAGUUCAAAUAAGCCCCUAUUUUAAUAAAAUUAAGUUCAAAUUUGAAAUCUCAAACAAAAUUAGGUGUCCAAAAUUUCCAAAAUGAAUUACCAAAAUUUAUAAACUUAUAUCCUUAAGACAUUUUGGUUUAUACCACAAAUUCUAAGACAAUACCAAAAUUUCUAAAGUAAUAGUUAGAAUUUGUGAUAUACUAAAAUUUCUAAGAUAGUAUAUCAAAGAUAUUAUGUUAUAUACCACAAUUUUAAGGGAAUACCAAUAUUUCUAAGAAAUCUCAUUAGAAAUUUUGGUAUAUCAAAUCAUGUUACACAAGCUUUUACCAAAAUUUUUAAGAGUUCAACUUUAGAUAUUUUGAUAUAUACCACAAUUUCAAAAGUAUAUAUCAAAAUUUCUAAGGAACCUCGUUAGAAAUUUUGGUAUACCAAAAUCAUGUUGCACAAGCUAAUACCAAGAUUUUUAAUGGAUUGCUAAAAUUUCUAAGCGCAUAUCUUUAGAUAUUUUGGUAUACCCAAAUCGCGUUAUAAAAGCUUUUACCAAAAUUUCUAAGAGAAUAGUAAUAUUUCGAAGAAACCUCGCUAGAAAUUUUGAUAUAUAAAAAUCAUGUUACACAAGCCUAUACUAAGAUUUCUAAUAAAAUACCAAAAAUUCUAAGCACAUAUCUUAGAUAUUUUAUCAUAUGCCUCAAUUUCUAAGGGUACCAAUAUUUCUAUGGAACUUUUUAGAAAUUUUGGUAUGCUAAAAUCAUUUUACACAAGAUUUGACCAAAAUUUCUUAGAGCUUAACCUUAGAUAUUUUUAUAUGUAGCGCAAUUCUUAAGGGAAUAUCAAUAUUUCUAAACAGCCUCGUUAGAAAUUUUGGAAUACUAAAAUUAUGUUACACAAGCCUAUAUUAAUAUAUUUAAUGAAAUACUGAAGUUUUUAAGAGCUUAUCUUUAGAUGUUUUGAUAUAUACCACUUUUUGCAAGGGAAUACUAAUAUUUCUAUGGAACCUUGUUAAAUAUUUUAGCAUACCAAAAUCUGGAUUUACAAACUUAUAUCAAGAUUUCUAACAAAAUACCAAUAUUUUUAAUAACAUAUCCUUAAAUAAUUUGAUAUAUUCCAAAAUUUAUAAUGGAAGACCAAAAUUUUUAUAACUUUCAAUGAACUACGAUUCUUGGUCAAUCUAUAUAUCUAUAUAUAUAUAUAUGAAAGGAAAAACAUCUUCCUUUUCCUAACGGCGGAGUCAAGUAGAGGUUUAGGGGGCUAUCACCUCCCAAAGUUUAAUUUUUUUUUUAAUUUAGUCUUUUGUAAAUAUCCUAUGGCUCUUCCUAAAAUAUAAGUAGAUCCUCCCAAAGUUUAAGAUUUUUGUAAUUUCCUCCUUUCCAUAUAUAUUAUAGUUCUCCUAAAAAUAUAAAUAGGUUCCUCCAAUAUUUUUAUAGUAUUAAAAAUAAUAUUAAAAAAAUUAUUCUUGAUAAAAAUAAAGGAAAGUCUUAUUGAAGAAGCUAAAUUACUCAUGAUGACUUUUGAAUGAUAUUUUUGUUAAAAAAUAAUAAAUCGAUUGUUAUAUUGGAAUAUAGCUUCUUUUGAAUCGAUUGUUAUAUUGGAAUAUAGCUUCUUUUGAAUCGAUUGUUUAUAUGUUUAAAUCGAUUGUUACGUAGCACGUCUAAUUUUAGCUUGGCCCCCUCCAAAAUUAACAUCUUAUCUUUGCCACUGCCUACAAUACUUCUUUUGUUUUGUAUUCUAUAGAAAAAGUUAAAUUUCAAUUUUAUUAAUUAGUUCAACAUAAUUUGGUUUCUAUAUAUUGAUAUAAUAUUAUUAAUUAGUUCAAAUAAUUAAUAUUUUUAAAUUUUCAAUUAAAACAUUAUAUGGUUAUAUAUAAUUUGAACACCUUAGUAGUCUUGGAGGUUAACAUACAACUUAUUGUUUCAUUUAGGUUCGUGUCAAUUUUUUUAACAUUAUAAGAUAAUGGUCAAAUUUUAUUUUUGGCUUCUAGACUAUGUUAAAACUUGAGAUUAAUCUAUAUGCUUUAAUAUUUUACAAAAUUUAGGUCAUCUACUUUUACAAUGUCAUUAGUUGGUCUAAAUAAUUAAUAUUAUUAACUAUUUUAAUCAAAAUGCUGGCGUAAAUUUUUCUUGAGAACAUUAUUCCAAGAAGGAAAAAAUAUAUUUUCUUGAAUUUAAAUGAGUGUUUUUAAGAGAAACUCCUAGUCAAUAUUUUUAACAUUAUUUUUAUUGAGAAUUUUUUUAUUUCAAAAUGUCCACCAGAGAAUUUAAUAUAAUCAUUUUAUCGAUGGUAACAACUUAGCUAAAUUUUUAAAUUUGAAAAGUAGAUAAUUAUGUUCUUAAAAAUAAAAGUAAGACUAAAUUUUAAAUGUAUAAAGUGUAUAAGGACUUAGAGUAUAUUUUAACCUUCAAAUUUUUACUCUAUAAUUUUACACAAAUAAAUAAUUAACUCAAUGUGAAGCAUGGGAUGAGAACCAUAUUAGUAUUUUUCAAAAGUUGCUUUCAAAUGCUUUAAAAGUUGUCAAGUAUUUUACAUUAGGGCAAAAAAAGAGUAAACUACACUCAAAGUCACUAAACUACUAGUAAAUUUAACGUUUAGGUCACUCGACUUUAGAAAGUUAUAAAAUGAUCAUUGAACUAUUAGAAAGUUUUUAUUUAACUUGUUGGACUGUUAAAAUCGUUGAUGUAUGGCCUUCCUAUUUGCACCGCAGACACCAAUUGAAAGCUUUCAUUCACUUUCUCUUCUACAGUUCAUUUUUUUCAUGAAACAACUUUGAACGUGACAAAUCUGUGAACAAAAAUCCAAACAACUUUCUUCUUUAAUCUCUGACACUAACUAUCAGAUCAACUUGAAUAUAAUGUAUAUCCUUCUACUCAUCAAUUGAUACAGAUCCAUCGUUGAACCAUUGCUUAAAGCUUGCUAGCCUGACCUUUUUAAAAAAAUAAUAACUUUAUAACCUAAUGACUUAAAUUAAAACAUUCAAAAAUAGUUCAGUGACUUAAAUGAGAAUGACUAUUCUGUAACAUUUUAAAGUUGAGUGAUCUAAAUAUAAACUUACCAAUAAUUAAGUUAUCUUUGGUGUAGUUGGUGUAGUUAAAGACCAAAAAUUUCUAUAACGACUUUCAAUGAAUUACAAUUCUUGGUCAAUCUAUAUAUAUAUAUAUGAAAGGAAAAACAUCUUCCUUUUCCUGCUAGAUGGCACACUACAAUCAACGGCGGAGUCAAGUAGAGGCCUAGGGGGCUAUGACCUCCCAAAGUUUAAAUUUUUUUUUAAUUUAGUCAUUUGUAAAUAUACUAUGGCCCUUCCUAAAAUAUAAGUAGAUUCUCCUAAGAUUUAAGACUUUUGUAAUUUCCCCCUUUUGUAUAUAUAUUAUAGUUCUCUUAAAAAUAUAAAUAGGCCCCUCCAAUAUUUUUAUAGUAUUAAAAAUAAUAUUAAAAAUAUAUUCUUGAUAAAAAUAAAGGAAAAUCUUCUUGAAGAAGCUAAAUUACUCAUGAUGACUUUUGACUGAUAUUUUUGUUAAAAAAUAAUAAAUCAAUUGUUAUAUUAGAAUACUGCUUCUUCUGAAUCGAUUGUUUAUAUAUUUAAAUCGACUGUUACGUAGCAUAUUUAAUUUGAGCUUGGCCCCUUCCAAAAUUAAUGUCAUGUGUCUGCCACUACCUAUAAUACUUCUUUUGUUUUGUAUUCUAUAGAAAAAGUUAAUUUGAAUUUUGGUUCAUCUAAUAUGCCUAAAUUUGAUAUUUAAUAUAUAUACUUUAAUUUCUAACAUAAUUUGGUUUCUAUAUAUUAUUAUAAUAUUAUUAAUUAGUUCAAAUAGUUAAUAUUGUUAAAUUUUCAAUUAAAACAUUAUAUGGUUAUAUAUAAUUUGAACACCUUAAUUGUUUUGGAGGUUAACAUACAGUUUCUUGUUUCAUUUAGGUUCGUGUCGAUUUUUUUAACAUUAUAAGAUAAUGGUUAAAUUUUAUUUUUGGCCUCUAGACUAAUUCUUGGCCACUAGACUAUGUUAAAACUUGAGAUUAAUUUAUAUACUUUAAUAUUUUACAUAAUUUAAGUCAGCUACUUUUAUAAUGUCAUUAGCUGGUCUAAAUAAUUAAUAUUAUUAACUAUUUUAAUCAAAAUGCUGGCGUAAAUUUUUCUUAAGAACAUUAUUCUAAGAAGAAAAAAAAUUAUUUUCUCGAAUUUAAAUGUUGUUUUUAAGAGAAACUCCUAAUCAAUAUUUUUAACAUUAUUUUUAUUGGGAAUUUUUUUAUUUCAAAAUGUCCACCAAAGAAUUUAAUAUAAUAAUUUUAUCGAUGGUAACAACUGAGCUAAAUUUUUAAAUUUGAAAAGUACAUAAUUAUGUUCCUAAAAAUAAAAGUAAGACUAAAUUUCAAGUGUAUAAAGAGUAUAAGGACUUAGAGAGUAUAUUUUAACCUUCAAAUUUUUACUCUACAAUUUCACACAAAUAAAUAACCAACUUAACCUCAAGCAUGGGAUGAGAACCAUAUUAGUAUUUUUCUAAAGUUGCUUUCAAAUGCUUUAUAAGUUAUCAAGUAUUUUACAUUAAGGCAAAAAAAAAAGAGAGUAAACUACACUCGAAGUCACAAAACUGCGAGUAAAUUUACGUUUAGGUCACUCAACUUCAGAAAGUUAUAAAAUGAUCAUUAAACCAUUCAAAAGUUUUUAUUUAACUUGUCGGACUGUUAAAAUCGUUGAUGUAUGGCCUUCCCUAUUUGCACCGCAAACACCAAUUGAAAGCUUUCAUUCACUUUCUCUUCUACAAUUUUCUUUUCAUGAAACAACUUUGAUCGUGACAAAUCUGUAAACAAAAAUCUAAAAAACUUUCUUCUUUAAUCUCUAACACUAACCGUUAGAUCAACUUGAAUAUAAUGCAUAUUCUUCUACUCAUCAAUUGGUACAGAUCCAUCGUACUGGUCGUUGAACCAUUGCUUAAAGCUCAAUAGCCUGGCCUUUUAAAAAAAAAAACUUUAUAACCCGGUGACUUAAAUUAAAACAUUCAAAAAUAGUUCAGUGACUUAAAUGAGAGUGACCAUUCUGUAACAUUUUGAAGUUGAGUGAUCUGAAUAUAAACCUACUAAUAAUGUAGUUAUCUUUGGUGUAGUUUACCCAAAAAUAUAUAUUAUAUAUCGUUAAAAUAUGUCAUAAGUCCCUAUAUUAUUCAUAAUUUUGAAAUUUAAUCUAUCUUAAUUUCCAGAAAUUUAAUCCCUAUACUUUAAAGAUUUUUCAAAAUUCAAAUUCAAUUGUUAACAUUGUUAAAAUUAUUUUAUUAAAUUCAUGUUCAUUAUAACAUUACAUUGCUAUCAAGUGAGUAUUUUUUUUAAAUGUCACACCAACAAAUUUAAAAUAAAAAUAUCGUUAACAAUUGUACCAAUAUUUUAAAAUCUCAAUAGUAGAGGAAUUAAAUUCUUGAAAAUAAAAAGUAUAAAAAUUAAAUUUGAAAUUUAUGAAGAGUACAAAUAUUUAUGACAUAUAUAAACCUAUAUAUAAUAAAAGAAAGGAAAAAACAAAAAUACCAACUAGUGUUAAUGAUAACAUAUUGCAUUUUCAAAGGAAGAUAUAAGUUCGAAUCUUAAACACAACAUAGUUAGUAGAAGCAGCCACAAAUACGAACAUAAAUAGUAAAAUUGAUAUUUAAAAUGCCCAAAAAAUACAAAAUAAAUAAAGAAAAUUAUAAAGGGAAUUGUAUGCUACAAGAGAUGAAACGCUGUGGACCAACUAAUUUUUACUCGUCAACUAAUUGGGUAUAGAUCCUUUGUUCCAUAUUCAUCAUCUACCAUCAUAAGAUAUGGCUUCGAAGGCCUCCCUGACGGUAUCAGAGAAAUUCUGUGCCUCUCUAAUUCAUUAAUUGAUGACAGUUGGCCAGCUCGAAACACAACCUCAUUUCUCAUUAUCCGGAUAAUAAACAUACACCCAAAAGUUAAGACUGUAUCCUGAUCACUGAAGAUAACCAGUGAGAGAGAUUAUGCCGUGACAGUAAAUGGAGUGUACAUCUGAGCUAGACAUAAGGAGAUAUGUCUCCUUAGUACGUUUCUACCAUUGGAGAUUGCAACUUUACUCCCAAAUAUCAGACAAUCGUUACGUUCUCUAUGAAGAAGCCUUGGACACAUCUUUAGUUGACCUAUUGUAUUUCAUAUGGCUCUUAACUAAUUGUCCUGCUGCAAUUGCAGACAUAAGAGACAGCUCCCCGGCAAGAACAGCAGACGCUACAAUGGCUGCCAGCAUCCUAGAGUUUGCUCCUGGUGUCUCUUUGCUUGCACCCUUCACUCCAAGUAAGUUCAAACAGGCUGAUUGAGAUGCAAGCUGAGUUCCACCACCAACAGUACCAACCUAAAAGAUACAACAACACAAUAAUUAGGGACUAACAUAAAUACCCAGAUCUUGUUUUGGCAACGAAAGUCCUUGUGUUGGAAUCAGACAGCAACACUAUCAAUUACCUCGAUGGAAGGCAUUGUGACAGAGACGUGGAGGUCCUUGCCAUCAUUAACAGCUUCCAUCAUCGUGAUGCAAUGCGAGCUCUCGACGUUUUGAGCCGGAUCUUGGCCGGUGGCUAUGUAGAUUGCAGCAACGAUGUUACUGGCGUGAGCGUUAAAUCCACCCAGAGCUCCAGCCAUAGCUGAUCCAGUAAGGUUCUUAAGCAUGUUAAGCUCAACGAGAGAUUCCACACUUGUCUUCAGGACCUUCCUAACCACAUCACCCUUAAUGGUGGCUUCACAGACAACAGAUUUGCCUCGUCCUUCAAUCCAAUUUACCGCAGCCGGUUUUUUGUCGGAACAAUAGUUUCCUAUAUGCAAAAAUUCAUAAAUAUCAGAGAUCCUAUGUCGGACGGUAAAAGACAUAAUUGCAAGCCUAUACAAAAAAAAUGAAACUCACCAGAGAUGCCAAUGACAUCCAUGUCAGGGAAAUCAGUUUGAAGGAAAUCCAAAACGUUUUGCACUCCCUUGGAAACCAUGUUCAUCCCCAUAGCAUCACCUGUACUGCAAGUGAAUCUAAUAUACAGAUUCUUUCCAGCAAUUGCACAUUUGAUACCCUGGAGCCUGCCAAAUCUACUUGAUCUGCAACCACCAAAAAGCCAAAAUUUUCAAUAUUUUAAAUCCAUCAAUAUGGAGUUCUAGAAAUAUAAAAACAAACCUGUUGAAAACAACGGACAAGGUCUCGAAAUUAUCAGGGUCCUCCAAAUACAACUUCAAAUCAGCUGCCCUUUUUGCAGUACCGAACCUUACACAUGGAGCUCUAGUCAUACCAUCUUUCAAUAGAACACUUGUAGCUCCACCAGACAAAUGAAUAGCCUUACAGCCCCUAUUAGUGCUAGCCACCAGGCACCCUUCCGUGGUUGCCAUAGGAACCGAGUACUCUCUUCCAUUAACCAACAAAGGCCCAGCAAUUCCGACGGGAAUUUGCACGUAGCCAACCGGCAUCUCACAACACUGCCCUAAAAUCGACUCGUAAUCAAAUCCAUCCAAGGGCAACCCAGAUAACGACUUCCCCGUUAAUCUUUGCAACGCUUCCCUCCUGAUUGCAGCCGCCCUCUUGCAAUCACCCAAUUUCGAUUCCAAGGAAUACGAAGGGGUUGUCCCAGAAACUACAGAUUUAACUAUUUCUUCAUCUUCCUCUGGUAUAACCAUCAAAGGCUUUUCAUCGCACACCUUCUGGGUAGUCACGAUUGGUGCGGCAGGAGGCAGAGGUGGAAGCGAGCAAUCGAGAGCUUGUCCACAAGGGACCUUACGGGCGUCUUCCUUAGCGAGCAGAACUUCAUUAUCCUCUUCCUCGUCCUCAGCAAUCCAAACGUCAGGCGAUGGUUGGAAAACCAAAGAUUGAACGAAGUCAAUCCCAAAGAAACCCAAAAGGUAAAUAAAGGACGCGAAAAAUGAGAAAAUGGCGAUGAUGUCGGAAAAGGUGACGACAUGGAGAGGUGUGGAGGUACGUAUCUUCUCACGCCAACGGGAAAGAAGAAAAUAAACCACCGAGAAGAAAAGGGUGAAGAACAGGGCAUUGGUUAGGUACAAGGGAAGCGGCAAUGCGUCGGAGGCUUUACCGAGAUCUUCCUCUAAAGGAAUCUUCUUCGUUGGCUUGAGAGAUUGAACAGGUUUAGUCGAAUACAGCCGAGGAGCCUCCAUAUUGGGUGCCGACGGCGGUGGAAGCUCGGCAGUGGAGAAGGAGAAUAGAAGAGGAGUGGAAGUGAGAGAGGAUUUCAGCUAGUUUUACGAUUAUGGGGAAGGAGGAGUUUGAGAUGCUGGAGUUUAGCGAGGGAAGGGGAGUAUUUAUAGGACAGAAGGUAAAGAGUGGUGGAGCGUGAAGAAAACGGCGCGUGAAGUGAAGUGUUGGGCACGUGUGAGUGAAGAGUCAAAGAAAGAAUUUGAAGGGCAGUGCUUGCGUGCAGUGCAUGUGCAUGGGGGGCAUCGCAGUUUCCUUUCGUUUGGUCUUGUCUCCGUUAACUGCUAUUUUGUAUCUCUUUUAAUUAUUCCUUAUUUUGGGUUGUUUUUAAUUCAUAUAUUUUGGAUGAAUGGUGGUGAUAAAUAUAUAUAAUUCCGAAUAUAAACAGUAAAAUAAAUAUCAAAUAAAUAUAUAUAAUUAUAUGUGAUAAAAUUUUAUUAUUAGUAAUACGAAUAAAGAUUACGAUGAAAUUUAUUUUUUCGAUAUUCACAUAAUAUAUACAAUGUUUAAAAUUAUAUAUAAUCUCAUUCAAUUUUUAAAAAUAAGAGGAUGAUGUGUUUUAGCGUACUUAAAUUUAUAUUUUCUUUCACUGACAACAAUAUCAAUGCCAACUGAACGAAGACUCAAUCAAUAAUAAUCUUACAAUUUUUAUUUUGUAUAAAAAGAAGAGCUUGCAUUUUUUAUUUAAAAAAUACAGAUACAAUUAUAUUUAUUUUGAAUAAAUAAAUUAUUCAUAUAAACAUUAAGGGGUUGUUAAAUUAUAUACAUUUUAGGGUAGAUGUUUAUAAAAGUAGAUUUUUUAUAUUUUUUUGUUCUUAUUUAAUUUAUAUGCCAUAUUUAUUAUAUAAUAAAAUUUAGAUAAAAUACCACUUUGAUUUGAUUCUAAUUAAUGAUAAGAUAAUUAAUUUGGAAUUUUCUUUUUCCUCAUGAUUAAUUGGAUAAGUUUACAUUUGGUUAAAAUAUAGAACUUCACAACUCCAUUUUUCUUGUUCCUUUUUAUAAAAAUUAGGUUAAAAUUUCAUCUCUCUUUUUUUUUAUACAUAUUUUAAUAUUUUUUAUGACUAUUUUAUAGUUAAUAUUCGAGAUUUUGCACAGUUUUCUAUAUGAUGGUGUUUUAAAUCCUCUGAAAAUAUGUCAAUGGAUAAGAGAGAAAUUAUUUUCUUAAUGCCUACUGUUUCUGUAGCACCCCAAACCCAGCCCAGAAGUUAUGGUCGGAUCCGGCAUGCCACAUCAAAAACGUUAAAAAAAAAAUUUCAUUCUAAGUCCAAAAAAUCGUACUUGAUGUUCAAAAGAUUAAUUCAUUAAGGGUUAAAGUGAAUGGAAGCUGUGCACCAGGUAGGAAAGCGAAAAAGAGGUGGUGAGUCCAUCGGACUGCUUAAGUACCAAGCUCCCUUCGGAUCCAAUCCUAGACAUGCAUACCGCCAUUGCCACACCUUAACGUCAUGGAUAUUUCUAGGAAACCGAUUUGAUUAAGUCAUUUUUAGGAAAAGUGAUUAAUUUUGGAAAAUACUUUCAUUGCAGAAGCUUUGCUUGUUGUCGUGUUAUUUUGAAAUCAACUGUUGUUUUUGAAAACGCGCCCUAAAGCUAUCCAAUUUCAACAGUUAAAAUAAGUAUUACCUAUCUUAGUAAUACAUAUUAAAACUGUUGUAGGCCAAUUUUAGCCCAUUUACAUCAAAACCCAAUUUAGCCUUACCUAACCCACCAAAAUUAAACCCAAAACUCAAAAUCUUAACUACCCAAAGCCCAAUUUACAUCAAAACCCCAAUGGCCCAAACCCUAAGCCCAAAUCAAAAUAAAAAAACCUAGCCCACAACUUAAACUUUUCUCAACUAGCCACACCUUUUCCACCACCAACUUCACUAGCCACUCCUUUUCCACCACCAACUCCACUAGCCACACCUUCUCCACCACCAAAUCCACUAGUCACACUUGCUCCAUUACCUACUCCACUAACCACACUUGCUCCAUCACCACUUGUACCUACAAAUGAAUACAUAGACAAUAAAAAAAAUAUUUUGUAAAUGGCUAUAUAAGCCUUCUUAUAUUUUGUAUAUGGGGGGGAUUUUUUUUGGAGAGUUUUUGGGAGAGAAAGUUAUUGUAAAGGAUUUUUGGAGAGGUUUCUUUUUAAAGUAAUCAAGGAGAAGAGUUAUUGUAAAGGCUAGUUUUUGGAGAAGCUAGUUUUUUUUUUGGAGAUUAAUCAAAGAUCAAAGCAAAAGAGGUUUCUUUGUCUAUUCUCAUUUUAAGUUCUUUGUUUACUUAUUGUUUUCCUUUCAAUCUUAUUUUGUUUCUUUUAUACGAAAGUAAAAAAAAAUAAAAGGAGGAAGCUUACCCAUUUUUACCGAAAAUUUUUUUUUGAGGUCCGGCUGCCGUGUACGGUGGCGCCGGCGGCGGUCCGGCGACCGGAUGAUGGCCGGCCUUGUGGCCGAAAAUCACCUACCCUCUCCCUCUCUCUCUUUUUUUUGUUAUUAUUAUAUUUCUUAAUAUUAUAUUAUAUAUAUUCUUUUAAUAUAUUAGGUAUAUUUUAAAUUCUAUAUUACGUAUAUAUAUAUUUUAUACUAUUUUAUGUAUAUAUCUUUAAUAUUAUCUUAUUUAUAUAUAUAUAUAUAUUUUUUCUACAUGUUAUCUUAUGUAUAUAUCUUAACUAUAUUAUGUAUGUAUUUUUAACACUAUAUUAUGUACAUAUUUUUAAUAUUAUCACGUAUUUAUUUUUUAUAUAUGUACAUAUUGAUGUAGUAUUAUUAAUAGUAUUGUUUUUUUUAAACAUCAUUAUUAUUUCUAAUAUAUAUAUUAUGUACAUUUUUUUUAUUUCUAUUUUAUUUUUUAUUUGUCAAUAUUAAUUAUUAUUAUUCUAAUAUUUUGAUAUUUUAAUAUAUUAUAUAUUAUAUAUUUUAUUAUUCACAUCAUUAUUCGCAUUUUUUUAACAAUAAUAUUCUUGGAUUUUUUUUACUAUCAUUUUAAAAACUUUUUACAUUUUAAUUUUAAGAAUAAGGCAAUGUACCGAUUUUAACAUUAAGUCAUCGAUUUCAUCGCUAUGUUGGGUGAAAUUAAUCGGCUCGUGUUAAAAACGGGACGUCCUUCUAAAAAAACAAAAAAACUUGCAACUUCUCAUUUCAUUCAAUCGGAUCACACUUAAAUGUCAAAUUGAAUUCGUAUUUUUGAAAAUCAAGACAACAUGUGUUUAAUAAGAUACCAAUUUUGGGCGUUGCGAGGGUGCUAAUACCUUCCUCGCGCGUAACCGACUCCCGAACCCUAAAUUUUCUCUGGAUUUUAACGUAGACCUAAACUCAGCCUUUUAUUCGUUUUAAUAAGAGAUCUAAUAGGUGUCUGAUCACAAUUAGGAAAAAGGAUCGUUGGCGACUCCCUGUUUAUUUCAAAUAUCAAACGUCAAAUUUCAAACUUUUUUUCAAUAAAUCGCCACAAUUAGCGACCAAGCUAAGGUAAAAUUUUUACGUCGCUACAAAAACCAUAAAAAAUAAUUAAGUGGCCUUAUUACAUUUAAAAGCCCAAAAACUUCAAACGUAAAUAAAAGGAUGUCCAGUUCACCAGAAGAAAAUCAAACUUUCAGAACGGGUGGCCACUCCGAAUUCCCUCACAGCUCUAAGCCCACUAUGGUUGGGGAUUUCCUGGUUAGAUGAAAAUAAAAGGGUGAGUUUGGGGAAACUCAGUGUGUAAGGAAAACCCAUUCAAAGCCCAAGUCAGCUAAGCCUAUUGGGCCAGAGCCCAUUCAGGUAACAGUAGUACUGGGCCAGAGCCCUUUUCAGAUUACAAUAAACUGGGCCUUAGCCCCUUAUUCAGAUAACAGUAUGGCCCAUAGGCCCAUUUCAAAAUACAUGCAACAUCAAUAAACAUAUGCAAGCCCAUUUGGGGAGACUACUCAACCCACCAACCACUACACUCCACCCGUACCAGCCAUACACUCCAUGUGGGGAAUAGCUCAACCCACCUAGCCCAACACUCCACAGUUGCAGCCUUGCUGCUCAGUUAACAGUAAAUUGAGACAAAGCCUCCAGUACGUGGACAAGCCACUUUCAGUACUUCCUCCGUCAAUAUCCCAGUCCCAUGCAUCAGAUAAUAAUAACAUGGCAUGUAGUAAAUAACAACAGUCAAACAUGCAUUUAGGUCAAUUUAACCCUAGGGGUAUUUCAGUAAUUUAUCUCCUAGGGGUAAAACUGUAAAUUUUUCACUUUUAAAGGUAUUUCAGUAAUUUAUCUAUUUUAGGGUUUUUCAUGCAUAUUCCUACCUUUCACGUACUAACAGAAUUACUACUGAGGGUUCUUACCGAAUUGGGGCCGUUGGCCCAUCUUUCCAAUUUUGGCCCAUUAAGCCUAAAAAAUCGAGGGCACAGAAAUCAUGCACUUUGCAGUCCAAAUUUUAUAGCUUACCAAAAACAUUAAUCGAUUUACCUCACGAGCAUUCGCACACUCGCAAAUCUACAAAAUACCGGUUUUCGGCAUUUCGGCUUUUCGGCUUUUGCCGAUCUAGACUAAGAAAGAGGGUGUUAGUUACACACCUGUUUGCGACGGUAUGCUGACGAGAUCCACACACGAACUGCCUACAAUUGGAUUACUAACACGUUAAUCUAACUAUUCAAAUACAAACUACGUAUUAACCCCUUACAAUAUUUGGCCAACCACACCUACAAAUCAUAGUAAGCUUAUAAGAAAUCAAUAAGCAACUCAUUAACAAAUUUUUGUCAAUGUUUACCAGAUAAUUAUAAUUUCACUGCAAGUUGUCUUCCUGAGAAACAGUCACUAAAUUAUUUAUAACUGGAGCUACGAAACUCCAAAUCAAGUUCCGUUAAUUUUUCCUGAAAAUAGACUCAUAUAUCUUCUAUCCAUAAAAUUUUUAGAAUUUUUGCUAUGGCCAAUCAAUACCAGAUUUUUCUUAAAGUUUCCCAUGUUUCACUGUUUGACUAAUCUGACCACUCUUCAUUACGAAUCAAAUUUCUCAUUCUACAGAAUUCAAAAUAUGUACUAGUUUAUUCCAUUUGAAACUAGACUCAUUAAGCUUUAAUUACAUAAUUUAUGCAGCUUCUAACUCAUCUCCCACAAUUUAUGGUGAUUUUCCAAAGUCACGUUACUGCUACUGUCCCAAGCAGAUUUAUUACCAAAUCACUCUUUCACACCUAACUUGCAUGCUUGUUAUUUAAACAUGUGUAUCACCAAUCAAUCAUCACAUAUCUAUGAUUUUACUUAAGUAAUCUCCAUUUCAUCAUUUUAAAGCACAACAUGUUAGCUGAUUUUUCCCUUUAACAUCUAAGGCACAUGCAUGCUCAUUUGGCUCAACUUCACCUAUCUUCCAUUUUUCAUCAAAAGAACAUGAAACAACAACCAUUUCCUUCAUUUUAAUUCAUGACUAAAUGCUCACAACACAACUAAAAAUCAAAAUAUACUUCAAGAGUUAAGGUAGAAUCAAGAAGAACUCAUGAACCUCAAAAUAGAAGCAAGGUACCAAGAACUUACCUUCAAUUUUCCUCCUCCUAAUGACCGAAUACUCAAAGCUUUCUCCUCUCCUUUCUCUUCUCUAACUUUCAGCUAUGAUGAACAAAGAUGGACAAAACUUUGUUCUUUUCACCCCUUUUUCUUUUAAUAAAACUUCAUAUUUUAUCCAUUUAAUUCUUUAAUACAAAAGACAUGAAAUUCUUAUCAUGAAACAUUUACCUAACCCAUUAUCAUGGAACAUUUACCUAACCUAUUAUCAUGGAACAUUUACCUAACCUUUUAUCAAUUUGUAUCAAUUUGUACCAUAAAUUAUGGAUAUCAAGUGUACAUUUUGUCUACAACAACAUGAUGGCUGGCCACUUCAUGUAAAAUGGGAGGUUUGUCAUGCAAAUCCUCCUAUUUUGCACUCCUAUUUAUUUGGCCACUUCAAUUUAGCCUAUAGCAUUUUCAAACAUUUUCACAUAGGUCCUAUUUCAUAAUUUCACUCCCUUUUUCUUAUGGAACAAAAAUUAACUAAAAUCAUCGGGUUCUAUCUUAAGUUUGGGCUUUCUAGAGGCCCACUAACAUAAUUAAACCUAUGCCAACAUUCACAGGAUUCCCGAAAAUUGGGGCGUUACAAUUCUACCCUCCUUAAAGAAAUUUUGUCCUCGAAAUUUACCUAAUCCAAACAGAUGAGGGUAUUGCUGUUGCAUCGUCUCUUCUGGCUCCCAAACUCAGAAGUUUCCCCUUCCUUAACUUGUUGAAAACGAGCGACCAAAGACUCACCGUUCAACUGUUUUUUUUCCUUAAUCUGAUCCACCCAGGUUGGCCUCACUUGCAACUCAGCCAACAGACUUCCAUCAUCAUACAGACUCAGACGAGCAAACAUUGCUCUCAGAUCAGAUACAGCUCUACGACUUAGAGCAUCGGCUACCACAUUAGCCUUGCCUAGGUGAUACUCGAACGAACAGUCAUAAUCCUUAAGUAACUCAAUCCAUCUCCUUUGUCUAAGGUUUAGCUCCUUCUGAGUCAACAAAUACUUAAGACUCUUAUGGUUAGUGUAUAUAAUACACCUUUCUCCGUACAAGUAAUGUCUCCAAAUCUUAAGUGUAAAUAUCACUGCUACCAACUCUAAAUCAUGAGUCGGAUAGUUCCCCUCAUAAGGCUUAAGCUGUCGUGAUGCAUAUGCAACCACCUUACCCUCUUGCAUUAACACGCAGCCCAAACCCACGUGUGAUGCGUCACUGUACACACUAAAAUCCUUCCCAGACUCACGGCUGAAUCAACUCAGGUGCUUCAGUCAGAACUUUCUUCAACUUCUCAAAAGCUUCCUGCUGCUUCUUAGUCCAUACAAACGGUACUCCUUUCCUUAUGAGUUUUGUCAGAGGUGCUGCCAUCACAGAAAAACCUUCCACAAACCUUCUGUAGUAUCCUGCCAACCCUAGGAAACUUUAAAUUUCCGACACCGUCCUAGGUGGCUUCCACUCCAAAAUUGCUUCAAUCUUUCAAGGGUCCACCUUAAUCCCCUCAGCAUAGACCACAUGUCCUAAGAAGGUUACCUCCCUCAACCAAAAUUCACACUUGUUGAACUUCGCGAAGAGUUCCUUCUCUCUUAACACUCGCAGCACUAUACGGAGAUGCUUAUCAUGUUUCGCUUCAGUUUCAGAAUAUACCAGGAUAUCGUCAAUAAAGACGACUACGAACUGAUCUAAAAAUGGUUGGAACACAUGAUUCAUCAGAUCUAUAAACGCUGCAGGAGCGUUCGUCAGUCCAAAUGGCAUAACCAGAAACUCGUAAUGACCAUACCGAGUCCUGAAUGCUGUCUUAUGGAUAUCUACCUCCUUGACCCUUAACUGAUGAUAUCCAGAUCGAAGGUCGAUCUUGGAAAAUACAGAAGCUCCUCUAAGCUGGUCGAACAGAUCAUCAAUCCUUGGCAGUGGAUACUUAUUCUUAAUCGUCAGUUUAUUCAACUGGCGAUAAUCAAUGCACAUCCGCAUCGUACCAUCAUCCUUUUUCACGAAUAGCACCGGUGCUCCCCAUAGAGACACGCUUGGCCUAAUGAAGCCCCUAUCCAAUAACUCUUGAAUUUGAGUCUUUAACUCCACUAACUCCUUCGGUGCCAUCCUAUACGGUGCGAUAGACACUGGUGCCAUUCCAGGCAAUAAGUCGAUUCCAAACUCCACUUCUCGGUUCAGAGGCAAUCCUGGAAGCUCCUCCGAAAAAACAUAUUGGAACUCAUUUACAGUCCUAACCUUAUCCACUGACAAUCCCUCCUCUUUUGACUGACUUACAAAUGCCAAAUAGACCUCACAACCUUUCUGAAUCCACUUUUCGACUCUUAAAGCCGACACCAUAUUGGACAAAUAAUCCCUUCGCUCACCUAUCACUAUAACCUCCUCAUCCUUUGUGGUCCUUAACACCAUUCGUUUAGUAGCACAAUCCAGAGUCACUUUAUGCUUAACAAGCCAGUCCAUUCCCAAAAUGAGAUCAAACUCUCCGAACGGUAACUCCAUCAGAUCUCUAGGGAAAAUCUUACCUUGAGUUUCUAAGGGUACAUCCCUAUACAGUUUGUCUACCCUAACCGAGUGACCCAAAUGACUUAGUACAGAUACCCCACUCACAAUCUCUUCAGAGCAGUCUAAGUUGUCCAUAAUUCGUUCUGUGGCCUCCAAUCAAUAUUCUCCCACAUUCGAGGCGAUACCAGACACGCCCCUAAAGAUCUCCGCUCCGUUGGCCCGAAGUCGUUCAGAAAUAGAUCCCCGAACUCUAUUGCCCGCACUUGCCCCGAAAACCCUUUCCAGAACACGAAGCAUUGCCUGUGACAGGGCAUCAUCCCCGGUACUGCGGUCAUGAGACUCUACCUCUGUUGCUGGUGGUACCGGUGCAUCCACCGCCGGCAUAUGUCUCGAAGACGAAGAUCUCGCUCGAGCACUUCCUCGGCUUCGUCCACGGCCUCUUGUACUCAUAUCGUAUUAUCUUGAUUACGAAUUUUUAUGCAUCAAUUAAUAUUUCAGUGUUUAUUACAGAUGUUUUAUGAAUCAGAUAGUAGUUCAGAGUUUAUUUUCGCAGAAUCGAAGUCUAGCUACAGUUUCAGUCUCUUAUCAGAUUUUUCCUAUGGUUUCAGUAUCAUCCUAUCUAGAGUAUCCUAGCAGGAUUUCAGUACAGACAGAUAAGUCAGAAAAAUAUUCAGAAGAGUUCAGAGUAAUACUUACAGGCUUGGGCCGGAGAUUCGGAAUGCCACCUUCUAAAGAUCUAAAUUUUGAAAAUCGUGUUUUUCGCAAUCUUUAUAAAUUUUUUUUAUUUUUGAAAAUCUUUUUUUUUGUAAACUCAUUCCACAGCCGAGUUGUUGCAACCUAGGCUCUGAUACCAGUAAAUGUAGCACCCCAAACCCAGCCCAGAAGUUAUGGUCGGAUCCGGCAUGCCACAUCAAAAACGUUAAAAAUUUUUUUCCAUUCUAAGUCCAGAAAAUCGUACUUGAUGUUCAAAAGAUUAAUUCAUUAAGGGUUAAAGUGAAUGGAAGCUGUGCACCAGGUAGGAAACCGAAAAAGAGGUGGUGAGUCCAUCGGACUGCUUAAGUACCAAGCUCCCUUCGGAUCGAAUCCUAGACAUGCAUACCGCCAUUGCCACACCUUAACGUCAUGGAUAUUUCUAGGAAACUGAUUUGAUUAAGUCAUUUUUAAGAAAAGUGAUUAAUUUUGGAAAAUACUUUCAUUGCGGAAGCUUUGGUUAUUGUCGUAUUAUUUUGAAAUCAACUGUUGUUUUUGAAAAUGCGUCCUAAAGCUAUCCAAUUUCAACAGUUAAAAUAAGUAUUACCUAUCUUAGUAAUACAUAUUAAAACCAUCAAAAAUAAUUAAGUGGCCUUAUUACAUUUAAAAGCCCAAAAACUUCAAACGUAAAUAAAAGGAUGUCCAGUUCACCAGAAGAAAAUCAAACUUUCAGAACGGGUGGCCACUCCAAAUUCCCUCACAGCUCCAAGCCCACUAUGGUUGGGGAUUUCCUGCGUGGAUGAAAAUAAAAGGGUGAGUUUGGGGAAACUCAGUGUGUAAGGAAAACCCAUUCAAAGCCCAAGUCAGCUCAAGCCUAUUGGGCCUAAGCCCAUUCAGGUAGCAGUAGUACUGGGCCAGAGCCCUUUUCAGAUUACAAUAAACUGGGCCUUAGCUCCUUAUUCAGAUAACAGUAUGGCCCAUAGGCCCAUUUCAAAAUACAUGCAACAUCAAUAAACAUAUGCAAGCCAUUUGGGGAGACUACUCAACCCACCAACCACUACACUCCACCCGUACCAGCCAUACACUCCAUGUGGGGAAUAGCUCAACCCACCCAGCCCAACACUCCACAGUUGCAGCCUUGCUGCUCAGUUAACAGUAAAUUGAGGCAAAGCCUCCAGUACGUGGACAAGCCACAUUCAGUACUUCCUCCGUCAAUAUCCCAGUCCCAUGCAUCAGAUAAUAAUAACAUGGCAUGCAGUAAAUAACAACAGUCAAACAUGCAUUUAGGUCAAUUUAACCCUAGGGGUAUUUCAGUAAUUUAUCUCCUAGGGGUAAAACUGUAAAUUUUUCACUUUUAAAGGUAUUUCAGUAAUUUAUCUAUUUUAGGGUUUUUCAUGCAUAUUCCUACCUUUCACGUACUAACAGAAUUACUACCGAGGGUUCUUACCGAAUUGGGGCCGUUGGCCCAUCUUUCCAAUUUUGGCCCAUUAAGCCCAAAAAAUCGAGGGCACAGAAAUCAUGCACUUUGCAGUCCAAAUUUUAUAGCUUACCAAAAACAUUAAUCGAUUUACCUCACGAGCAUUCGCACACUCGCAAAUCUACAAAAUACCGGUUUUCAGCAUUUCGACUUUUCAGCUUUUGCCGAUCUAGACUAAGAAAGAUGGUGUUAGUUACACACCUGUUUGCGACGAUAUGCUGACGAGAUCCACACACGAACUGCCUACAAUUGGAUUACUAACACGUUAAUCUAACUAUUCAAAUACAAACUACGUAUUAACCCCUUACAAUAUUCGGCCAACCACACCUACAGAUCAUAGUAAGCUUAUAAGAAAUCAAUAAGCAACUCAUUAACAAAUUUUUGUCAAUGUUUACCACAUAAUCAUAAUUUUACUGCAAGUUGUCUUCCUGAGCAACAGUCACUAAAUUAUUUAUAACUGGAGCUACGAAACUUCAAAUCAAGUUCCGUUAAUUUUCCCUGAAAAUAGACUCAUAUAUCUUCUAUCCAUAAAAUUUUCAGAAUUUUUGCUAUGGCCAAUCAAUACCAUAUUUUUAUUAAAGUUUCCCAUGUUUCACUGUUUGACUAAUCUGACCACUCUUCAUUACGAAUCAAAUUUCUCAUUGUACAGAAUUCAAAAUAUGUUCUAGUUUAUUCCAUUUGAAACCAGACUCAUUAAGCUUUAAUUACAUAAUUUAUGCAACUUCUAACUCAUCUCCCACAAUUUAUGGUGAUUUCCCAAAGUCACAUUACUGCUGCUGUCCCAAGCAGAUUUAUUACCAAAUCACUCUUUCACACCUAACUUGCAUGCUUGUUAUUUAAACAUGUAUAUCACCAAUCAAUCAUCACAUAUCUAUGAUUUUACUUAAGUAUAAUCUCCAUUUCAUCAUUUUAAAGCACAACAUGUUAGCUGAUUUUUCCCUUUAACAUCUAAGGCACAUGCAUGCUCAUUUGUUUGGCUCAACUUCACCUAUCUUCCAUUUUUCAUCAAAAGAACAUGAAACAACAACCAUUUCCUUCAUUUUAAUUCAUGACUAAAUGCUCACAACACAACUAAAAAUCAAAAUAUACUGCAAGAGUUAAGGUAGAAUCAAGAAGAACUCAUGAACCUCAAAAUAGAAGCAAGGUACCAAGAACUUACCUUCAAUUUUCCUCCUCCUAAUGACCGAAUACUCAAGAGCUUUCUCCUCUCCUUUCUCUUCUCUAACUUUCAGCUAUGAUGAACAAAGAUGGACAAAACUUUGUUCUUUUCACCCCUUUUUCUUUUAAUAAAACUUCAUAUUUCAUCCAUUUAAUUUUUUAAUACAAAAGACAUGAAAUUCUUAUCAUGAAACAUUUACCUAACCCAUUAUCAUGGAACAUUUACCUAACCUAUUAUCAUGGAACAUUUACCUAACCUUUUAUCAAUUUGUAUCAUAAAUUAUGGAUAUCAAGUGUACAUUUUGUCUACAAUAACAUGAUGGCUGGCCACUUCAUGUAAAAUGGGAGGUUUGUCAUGCAAAUCCUCCUAUUUUGCACUCCUAUUUAUUUGGCCACUUUAAUUUAGCCUAUAGCAUUUUCAAACAUUUUCACAUAGGUCCUAUUUCAUAAUUUCACUCCCUUUUUCUUAUGGAACAAAAAUUAACUAAAAUUGUCAGGUUCUAUAUUAAGUUUGGGCUUUCUAGAGGCCCACUAACAUAAUUAAACCUAUGUCAACAUUCACAGGAUUCCCGAAAAUUGGGGCGUUACAGUUUCUAUAGAAAAUCUAAAACUGGCAUUCAGACUAUGACAUGAAAUUCAAAAUAGGAUGCCUUCUUAAUUAUUAUAAAUAUUGGUUCAUGCCGUCACCAUUAUGACAAGGAAAUAUUCAAUAAUUAAUUAUUUUAAAUCCUCUAAGUGUAUUAUAUUUUUAUAUAAAUUUGGUAUGUUAAUAAUUUAAUUACUCUUUUGAUGAAAUGUUUUAAAAAAAUAAACUGUUAAAAUAGUCAGUUUUAUUUACUUUAGAUUAUAUUUAGUUAUUUAUAUUUAAAAUAUUACGUUUUAGUUACUUAGGUGAACGUGUUGUAACAUUUUAGUCACUGAGCCAUUAAUUAUGUAAUGAUAAGUUGACGUGACAUGUUAAAUCAUCAUUUUAAACAAAAAAAUUAGGUUAAAUUAGACAAUUGGUCCAAUAUUUCUUUGUUUUGAACAAUUUAAUUUUUUUUAUUUUAUGUUCUUUUAACCUUUUUUUUCUUUAUUUUCAACUCUUAUGCUUCUCUCUUUGUUUUUCCCCCUUCUCCAUCUUUUUUUAACUUAAUUUUUCUAUGUUUUCCAUCUGUUAAAACUAAUCCCUAUACUUUUAUUUUUUGAACAAUUUAAUUUUUUAUUAUUUAUUUAUUUUCCUUUUCUUCUUCUCCUUUAGUUUUAACAAAUGAAAUAUAGAAAAACUACAUUAAAAAAGAUGGAAAAAGGGAGGAAAAUAGAGGAAGAAGCAGAAGAGAAAGAAAAAUAAAGAAAAAAAAUUAAAUUGCUCAAAUGAAAAAAAUAUGGGGACUAAUUGUAUAAUUUAACCUAAAAUUUUUGUUUGAAAUGAUGAUUUAACGUGCCACAUCAGCUUACUGUGACACCGUUAACGGCUCAGUGACUAAAAUGUUACAACACGUUAAUGUAAAUGACUAAAAACUGACUAAAAUAUAACAUGAAGUAAACAAAAUUGACUAUUUUAAUUGUUUACACUUUAAUAAAUUAUUGAUUACACUAAUAUAUUAAAUUUAUUCUUAUUUUGUAUUGUUUUUCACAUGUGUAAUAUUCUGAUUAUUUUUUAAUGUUUAAUGUACUAACGUUUAAAUUUAUUCCAUCAUAAUUCAUAGCAUAAGAAAAAUAAUAUGAAAUAGACGAUAAGAUUGAAGUAAUUUUUUUUCCAAAAUAACAAGAAUGCAUUCAUGCAUGAGAAUUAUUCAUCACCAUGUGCUAAAGACUUGGACUGUUUGUCAAAGUUUUCUUCAGAAAAAUCAUAUAAUUUAUAAUGGAAGUAUAUAUAUAUAUAAGCAGAGUCAGGCCAACCAAAGAAGAAAAAAAUUAACAUGAUAUCAUCUUUUUUUUAUUACCCAGUAUUUAUUUAGCAAAUAUUGACUGUAAUAUUGUCAUGGUUAGACCAUAUUAUUUUUGCACAAGUGACGCACGUAUAUUAAGUGUAGACUUGCUCAAAACAGUUGGAAAUGAACAAGGUCAUUUCGUAGAAAUUGCAGUCAAUGCUCAUAUUUUUGGCUUAAUCCAGCUCGAGUUUAGGUAAAAAUUGAUUCAAAAUUGGACAAAUAUAUAUAAUAUUGAUAUCAUAAAUAAGUUAAUUUGAAUUCAAGGGAAUUCAAGGCAGUGUAAUCCAUGAAUACCUUUAAUAUGUAUACAUGAUAUGUGAAAGAUCAGCUCUAACUCAUGAAUAUCUCUAAUAUGUAUGCAUGCUUGAUGCAUGAUAUGUGGAAAAUAACUUAACUUGUUGAAUAGGUUUUGUAUCGAGUGUUGAGAGCACUUAUAAGUUCAUUUUUGGAACUUGUAUUUGAGAGUGCAUUUGAGAAAGUAAAUAAGUUUGUUGAAGUUUUCUGGAGGAGAAUUUAGAGGUGAGUUGUAGUAGCCCAAAUUUGACUGGGCUGAAAACGGAAUAAAAGAAUUAAAUAAAUAAUAAUUUAUUUAAUGUCCAUUUAAAAGUCCAUAAAUAACCAGCCCAAUAGACCCAUUUAGCCUAAACCCAACAGACCCGUUACACCUAGCAGCCCAUUUACAAUCAAAUACCUAAAGCCCAACUAAACUAACCCAUUAACUUGUAAAUCACCUAAAACCCGGUUACACCCGAGCCCAAAUACCCAAACAGACCAUGGACUAAAGUGGCCCAACUGGCCCAAAUCAUUACACCAAGGCAAGAAACCCUAGGGUUUCGGCCUUUCCCUCCUAGCGCCGCAAUGUCUUCUGGAAGCUUUGGGGAGUGUCUGUCCAGUUCCCCAAAUCAAGACGGCCAUCAAUGCUCUGUCUCAGGUUUCCAAUGCCCCAUCAGUGCCUCGCCGUCUCAAUAGCCACCGAUCGUGCCCCCAUCAAGGCCACGAUUCCAGGCCCUGAGUCACGCCUUGAUCAACGCCUCCGGUAGACCAUCGUCAAGCCUUCGUCAUUGCCGGAUUUCUCGCAAACAUCUGCAAGAAAAGGAAAGAAAUCAAAGCAAGAUUGCAGUAAAUAGGUUGGAACAGAGUUUGGAAAGAAAUCUUUCGAUUUCUUUCCAAAAUAGGCAGUAGAUCAAGGUUAUAAAGCCUUUUCUCAAAUCUGUAAAAAGGGAUACACAGAAAUAGAGAGAAACAUAUCACAAAAAGCAUUGUACAUCAAACCUUUGCAAUAAUAUUUCAGAAGGUGAUUAUUUUUCAUACUUAUCUCUUUUUCUCUUUUACGAAUAUAUGAAUCAUUUUUUUUUAAAAGUAACAUUUAAAAGGAAAGAGGUUACCUGUGGAAGGACGAAGGUUAUUAAACCUUCAGACCACCGCGUAUGGCAGCGCAUGGGCACUCGUGGGCCAGUGGUCGGAGGCCUGAGGCCAAGGCCAGAGAACCCCCCCGUCUCCUCAUUCAGAGGAUUUUUAGAUUUUUUUCUUCUAAACUGAUUGCUAAAUAAGUUUUAGGCUUAAGUUUUAGCUUAUAUAAUCCAGCCAAAACGACAUCGUUUCUAUUUAAACAAUAAGCUUUGAAACGUCACCGUAUUAGGCAGAGGAUCCGCGUGUUGACCCGAUUACCCGGGGAAAAUCCGCGUGUUUUCAUGAAAUGGGUUAAUUGUCCAAUUGGUCCUCUCGCAAUUUUUAUAUUUUUUAAUUUCAAUUUAUUUAUUUUUUAAUUUAGCUUUAAUAUUUUAAUUCUAUUUCAAUUUGGCCCUCUCAGUGAUUUACAACCGCAUUAGGGAAAACGCUGCCGUUUUGGGAAUAGGGCGAUUUGCCCAAUGAGUCCCUUUUGUUUUAUGCGUGUUUUAAUUAGGACCUUAAUUUAGCUUUUUUUUUUUCUAAAUUCACCCCUGUAAUUUUAUUAAACUUCAAAUUUAACCAUAUAUAUUUAUUUCUAUUAUUAUAUAUAUAAAUUUUUAUUGUUAUUUGCUUUAUUUUUAUUUUUAAAUUAUAUAUUAUAUGAUUAUUUUAUAUAUUACUCAUAUUAUUUAUAUAUAUUAUAUAUUAUUUUCACAUAUAUACUUUCAUAUUAUAUAUUAUAUAUAUUUUAUAUUAUUAUGUCAUUUUAUACUAUUAAAUAUUUUUAUCUACAUAUUGUUAUCAUUAAAAGUUUUAACUUGUAUUAUAUAUUUAUUUUUAUUUAUAUGUAAAUAAUUACUUUACUUAUAUUCUAUUAUUACACAUUUUGAAGAUAUUAUAAUAUAAUAAUUUGUAUAAUAUGUAUAUUUCAUUAUUAAUUACUUAUUUCAUAUUAUUCUAAACUUAUAUUUAUAUAUUAUACAAUUAUUUUAUUGUAAAUAUAAAUUCUUUCACAUAUUUGAUAUUUUAUACAUUAUUUUUUCUAAACCAUUAUAUUUUAUGUUUUUAUAUAAUUAUUAUUCUUAUAAAUAUAUUUUUAUAUAUUAUAUCAUUAAAUAUCACAUUUUUUAUAUGCUCAUUCUAUUUAUCAAUCGUUUGUAUGAUAUAUAUAUUUAUUAUUAUACAAUAUUUGCUUUUGCUUUAGAAUUAAUGUAUUAUUGCUAUGUUAUGUAUUUUAUAUGUUAUGUAAUAUCUUAGACCUUUAUAAUUUAUUUUCAAAUGCAUUUUUUAUAUAUAUGUGUUAAAAUUGUAUAUCAUGCAUCAUUUGUGUUUAAAUAUAUGUUGAAUUAUAUGUUUAGGGAUUUUUACCUACUUUUCUUAAAUAUGCAUUGUGUUUUAUGUAUAGUUUUUCUUAUUUAAAAAAUUGUCAUGUUUUAUUUCUUAUAUAUGUUGGUUAGUGUAUGAUAUUUAUGCUGUUAUGCUAUUACUUAUCUAUUAUUAUAACAUGUUAUCUCGUAUGUUAUGUUAAUAUGCUCCUUCAUGCAUCGGUUUUAAAAACGAGACUUCAAAGUUUUCAAAAAAUAAAAAGGCAAUGCUUGGUAUUUGGAAGCUUCGAGAAAAGUAGUGCCCUAACUUAUUGGGUUGCAACUUUUCUCGUUGAGUUCGAAUAGUCAAGUACCCUUCUAAGUUUUUAAGAUUUUCAAAAAACGAGCAACUGUCUUGGAAUUUCAAAGCGUUGUGUCCUAACUUAUUGGAUGUGGCGUUUUGUUGUUUCGAGAUAGGGAUUUCCAAAAAGGCUAACUUAGUAUCAAUAUUUUGAUACAAGUGAAUCUCAAUUUUCAAAAUCAAAAUAUUUUAAAGAGGAUUGUAUCUUAAAAUUUUUAAAUUUUCGACCUUAAAGACAUUUGAUAAUUAAUUAGGUACCAAUUUUUGGGCGUUACGAUGGUGCUAAUCCUUCCUUGUACGUAACCGACUCCCGAACUGUUCUUUUUAUUACGUAGACCAAAACUAAUGAUUUUAAAACAAAAUGUUUUAAAGGUGAUCCAAUCACACCUAAAAAGAUUGGUGGCGACUCCUGUUUUUGUUUUCUUAAAGUCGAUUCUCAUUUUUCAAAACUCGAUUUAAAAAUGGUUUCGACAGCUUGGCGACUCCACUGGGGACUAAUAAGAGAGUCAAGCCGUAUAGUUGAUUACCUUUUGUCUUAAUGUCGGGAAUUUGAAAAAUUUUAAAAUUCAAUCCUCUUUGCAUUACAUGUGUUUGUAUUAUUGCAUAUGUUAUAUAUUCUGAUACGCAUUAAAUUUGCAUGAUCGUUGUGGUCACACCCUUAAGUGGGAGUGAGAAACUACGCUUUCGUGAGGUUUUCACCUCCGUGCAGGAUAGUGGAUCACUUUCGGGAUACAUCCGUACCUAUGGUUUCGUGAGAUUUUCAUCUCCGUGUAGCCAUAGAGAAAUGUAUUCCUCUGAACUGAACUCAUUUCAAAUGAGCCUAUAAUGGGUGAGAAUUGAGGAAUCUGCUGGUUCGGGUACCUCAAACUUUAGAACCAACUUCAUAUAGAAAAACCAUAAGAGCCCAACUUAGUUAGAGUAAAACUUUAGAUAUUACCCUUAUAAAUUAUUGUUGAUAUUUAUUGAUAUCAUGUGAUACUAACUAUUUCUUUUCUUUUGUUUUGUGUAUGUCAUUUUGCAUUUAAAAGGUAUCGAUUCACGGUCAGUUUUUAAGUUAGGAAGUUUUAUUAUGGAGAACGGACUUCUUGAUAGAGUGGAGGGCAACGCCAACGUCCAUAGAUGGUCUGAACAAACUCAACUAAGAAGGGGAGAUAGUAUAGUUGUGGGAUACGUGUCAGAGCUGUCAGAUUACACUCGUAUUAGUGCCACGCAGAAUAAUCUCUAAGAGCUUAAGGAAAUUUGGGAUCAGUGGAGCAAAGAGACCAAUGAGUUAUUCUACGAUAAUUACGGAGACUUACCUUGCUGGAUGUUCAGGUAGACGAGCACUUAUUCUGAGCCCUUGCUCAGUUUUGGAACUCGGCGUACAGUUGUUUCACUUUUGGGGAAGUAAACUUGGUACCUACUAUGGAGGAGUACACUGCCUUACUUCAUUGUCCCAGGUUUUAGAAUGAUAGGAUCUAUUCUCGAGCUGCUUGUGUCCCUACCUUUUGGAAGAAAUUGAUGACUAUUAUGGGGAUGAGCGAGCAGUGGAUCACAGCCAGAAUUAAAGAGAAGGGUGAGUGCAAGUGCAUUUCGUGGGACGCUUUGAAAGAUCUGAUUCUGACACACCUUGAUGAGACGAAGAAAGUAGAUGUUUUUUCUUUAAGUUUGUAUGGACUGAUAGUUUUUCCUAGGGCUUUGGGAUAUGUGGAUGAGGCAACCACGGAUCUUUUUCAUCGACUCAGUAAAAGGGUCACUUCCGUCCUUGCAAUUUUGGAGGAGACAUUCAGGUCUUUAGGUGCAUGUAGGAGGGCUGGUGCUGGCAGGUUUAUAGGAUGUACUCAGUUACUUUUGGCUUGGUUCUACAGUCAUUUCUGAUUGAUAGAUAGGGUGAUUUGUCGAGUCUUCUUCGAGGAUUAUUCAUCGUUGAAGGACAUAGUAGCUUCAACUAGGAGAGUUGAUUUCCAGAAGAGAAUUGGAUAGCGCUACUUCAGAACCUUCAGUCGAAAGAUGUUGAGUGGAGGGCUCCGUGGAUGAUUCCUGGUGAGAUUCUUUACCGAUGAGGAAGUUUCGAUUGGGUCCCUCUGUUGGGAAUUUGGGGUGCCAUUGGUUAUGCCCCUUUGCUUGUGUUGAGGCAAUUUGGAUUGAGGCAGUUUGUACCAGCAACUUAUGGGUUGGCUCAAAGUGAGUUCAUGUACAAAGGAGCCGAUUACAAGAGGAAGGUUAGCGAGAUUUCUAGUACUUGGAAUAAGACUUGUCAGUUGAAAGGAGUAGCUAUUAGCCCUACUACGACACCGGAAUAUGUCGAAUGGAGAGGCAGAAGGGUUAAUGAUAACAUCCCUAAGCCACGCGUAGAAGGAGCUCGACCGAUAGAGGAAUAUUUGCAAGUAAUACCCUCUAAGUUAGAAAUUAUGAAGCAAGAGUUUGAGAGAAAGAGCUUGGAGUUCGAGAAGAGGGUAGCAAAGCUCGAAGAAGAAAAGAUGUACUUGAGCUUGGACGUCGACGUUCAAAAGAUGGAGGUCGAGAAAGAGAGGAAAGAAAAGAGGAAGAUCGAGAUGAUCUAAAUGAGCACUACAAAAAGGCACGAGUAUCCUUGAGGAGAGUGAGAGUAGGAGGAUAUUCAGAUCAGUUGCAGAAAGAGGUCCAAGUGGAAAAGGCUAGAGCCGAGUAUUGGGAGAAGAAGUUCCAAGAAAUGUAGUCGCAGAAUUUGGCAUUAGAAGAAGAGAAUAAAGGGUUGAAGACUAAGGUAACUGAGCUUGGAAGAUCCCUACGUUGGCACCGAAACCAUUAUCCUACAGUCGAGUUAGAGGAGCUAAAAAGUAAGGUUGAAGAUUUGGAAGUGGCAUUGCAUGAUGGUGAACUGCGGAUUGAGCAGCUCGAGGCGCAAGAAGAUUAUCUCAAAGAAGAGAUCCAUCAAGUUAAAGGUCAAGUCAUAGGUUGGGAUUACAUUAUUAGGGAGGCUAUAGCUCAGAUCGGAGAGGUUGCUGAAUAUGUUCGAGACUUAGUAGUACGAGCUGAUGCUUUGAGUAUGAUGUAUGCGUCAGCGUCUGAUAAGGGUCGAGAGUUAGCCCUUUUAUUAGAUAAAGUUAGAACUUUGGGCAUUAGGGAAAAGACGUAUAUGUAAUCCAUUUAUAUGUAAAGAUAUUCUUUUUCUAAAUAAAGUUUUCUAAAUGAGAUUGAAUCGAGAUCGAUGCCUUUUUUACAUUCAUGCAUUUGCAUCUCAUAGCAUUUCAUCGCAUCGUUUGCAUUCAAAGUUAUAGAAAGACCCUAAUUAGUUAAAGUUUACUUUCAAAGGUGGAAAAGAAAAUCUGGAAAUCACACAUCCUUACGGCACUCGCACUAAAACUAAGAGUAUGGAUCAAAGGUUCGAGCAAUUGCAAAAGGAUAUGCAAGACCAAUUGCAAGUGUAGUUGGCCAAAAUGCAGAAUGAUAUGAGGGAACAAAUGCUAGAGGCUCAGAGGAGUAUGAUGGCUGAAAUAGCCCAGCUGCUGAGGGCCACUGAUAAAGGAAAAGCUCCCAUGGCAAUCACUAAAGAGGAGAAUGAGGGUCCUCCUCCGGGUUUUACUCUGCCUCAUGUGCCACUACAAAUCGAGGCACAUCUUAGAAGGCCAUCUGUCACUGUGAGGCCUCAACAUGGGCCAGUUGAUGCUGGAAUCCCCGUGAAUUUCCCAUCUGGGUUGGGAAAUAAUUUGGGCGAUAGCUCGAUCAACCCUAUCACUCUUGAUCUGGAUCUGAUGGAGAAAGAAAUAAUGGCAACUGAAUCCUCAAAACAGUUGGAGGAUCGUUGAAAGUGGUUGGAGGAGAAAUUUAGAGCUUUGGAGGGCGUUGGCAAUUAUCAUGGGAUUGAUGCCAAAGACUUAAGUUUGGUCCUAGAUUUGGUGCUUCCUCAUAAAUUUAAGAUGCCAGAGUUUGAAAAGUACAACGGGACUACUUGCCUAGAGGCACACAUAACAAUGUUUUGUAAGAGAAUGACUGGGCAUGUGAACAAUGAUCAAUUAUUGAUCCAUUGUUUUCAAGACAGCUUAGUAGGAGCAGCGGCUAGAUGGUACAAUCAGUUGAACCGCGUAAGAAUCGGUUCAUGGAGAGAUCUAGCGCAGGCCUUCAUGCAACAGUACAAUCAUAUGACUGAUAUGACGCCAGACAGGAUCACACUUCAAAACAUGUAGAAAAAGCCUAAUGAAAGUUUUAGGCAAUAUGCACAACGAUGGAAGAAGGUGACAAUGCAAGUACAACCACCACUGUUAGAAAAGGAGACCACCAUGUUAUUUAUCAACACUCUGAAGGCGUCAUUCAUCACUCACAUGAUUGGAAGCACCACAAAAAGUUUCGCGGAUAUAGUUAUGGCAGGAGAGAUGAUUGAAAACGCUGUAAGGGGCGGUAAAAUUGAGGGGGAAAUGGCUAAAAGAUCGGCCCCAAGGAGAAAGGACAAUGAGGUGAAUAAUAUGAAUAGCCUCAAACCAUCACAGUUGGUUAACCCAAAGCAGCUGCGAUCGAGCAACAAAGUACUCGAAGUCAGGAAUUGGGUACAAGACAGAAUUAGGAGAGGAUGCAAUUCACGCCUAUCCAUGUGACGUAUCGUGAGCUUUAUCAAAGCUUAUACGAUGCACAUGCCAUUGCUCCAUUUCACUUGAAACUACUACAGCCACCGUACCUUAAAUGGUAUGAUAUAAAUGCUAAAUGCGAAUAUCACGCGAAAAUACCGGGGCAUUUGAUUGAAAACUGCACCGGAUUCAAGAAGGUCGUGGAGAGGCUUAUCAAAAUAGGGGUUGUGAGGUUCGAUAGUACCCCUAAUGUUGAAAAUCUUUUACCAGAUCAUGGCAAUCAAGGAGUGAAUGCCAUUGAUAAAACCAGGGAAGGAAAAAUCAAUGAAGAUAUUGCUGAGGUGAAGACACCCAUGAAAGCAAUAUGGGAGGAGAUGGUGAAAAGAGGUAUGUUGACCUCUGGGAAAGGUAGAAGAUGAAUAGACAAUUAUUGUGAAUUCCAUGGAAAGAUGGGUCAUAUGAUCCAAAAUUGUGAGAAGUUCAAGGCCAUGGUGCAAGGCCUUAUGUUUAACAAAGAGCUACAAAUUUUUGAGGGUAGUUCUUGCGAAAGACAAAUAUGCGUGCUAGAAAAUGAACAACAAGGAACCAGCCGACCAAGAAUUAUUAUUUCCUUGUUGAGGAAUAAUGAAGUGGGGGCGCGAAUCGGGCCCAAGGUCUUCAUCCAUAAACACACUCCUUUCUCUUACAAGGAUGACAAGAAGGUGCCAUGGAGCUAUGGCUGCAGUGUAACAGUACCUGAGGGGGAGAGCAUAGCCAGUGCGUCUAGGAGCGACCAAAAUGAAGGUUCCCAUACGCGAAGUGGGAAGCGUUAUGAUAGGGGGGCAUCAGAGUGGAGCCCACGAAAACAAAGGAUGUUGACAUUGAGAAGAAGAAAGAGGUUGAAGUGCUUAUCAAAGAGCCGGUAAAGGAAGAGGAGGCUAAGGAGUUUCUAAAAUUCCUUAAGCAUAGCGAGUACAGUAUGGUUGAUCAGUUGCAUAGGCAGCUGGUGCGUAUAUCAGUAUUAGCCUUACUUUUGAGUUCUGAGGUGCAUCGGGAUACAUUGUUGAAGGUACUUAACGAAACAUAUGUCACCCACGACAUAUCCGUUAACAAGUUAGACCGAUUGGUAAAUAAUAUCAGUGCUGACAAUUUCAUCUACUUCAAUGACGAUGAAAUUUCACCUGGGGGCAUAGGGUCGACCAAAGCCUUGCACAUAACUACUCGGUGCAAAGGAUACACGCUGCCAAGUGUACUCGUUGAUAACGGGUCUGCUUUGAACGUCCUUCCAUUAUCAACAUUGAACAGAUUACCCAUUGACAGUUUGCAUAUGAAAACAUGUCACAAUGUGGUAAGAGCCUUUGAUGGAACUGAAAGGAAAGUGAUGGGACGAAUCAACAUCCAUUUGGAAAUUGGGCCAAAUACAUAUAAAGUUGAUUUCUUGGUGAUGGACAUCAAGCCCUCCUAUAAUUGUUUAUUGGGAAGACUAUGGAUACACUCGGCAGGAGCGGUGCCCUCCUCAUUGCACCAAAAAUUGAAGUUAGUGACAGACGGACGAUUCAUGACCAUCAAUGCGGAGGAGGACAUUAUAGCAGCAGUCACUAGUAAGACCCCUUACGUCGAGACAAAUGAAGAGGCUAUUGAGUGUUCUUUCCGCUCUUUAAAAAUCAUCAAUGCAACCUUCAUUUUGGAAGGAAGUGAGGUGCCGGUACCCAAAAUGUCUAGAGCCACAAGGAUGGCCCUGCAAAUGAUGAUGGGGAAGGGAGUAUUGCUAGGAAAGGACUAGAAAGGCAGUUGCAAGGAGGGGUUCAGAUCCCAAAAAUGAUUGAGAAAAAAGAUUGCUUUGGUUUGGGCUUCAGGCCAAACCAUAAGCACAAAAGGCAAGAGAUUGAGAAGCGCCAGGCGAGAAGAAAGGCGCAUUUAAACGAAGGAGAAGUGCAGUGGGAACCGAUGACAUUCCCACCUAUAUCCAAAUUCUUUAAGUCUGGAGGAUUACUGGUAGAAGAGAGUCAUCAAAUUAAUCCUGUACACGGUGAGGGAUUGGAGCAAGGAAGCCUCGAGGGUAUUCGCCCUUACGAGCCAGGGAGCUUUCUGAUUAAUUGGACUGCGGAGGACCUUCCUGUAGUCUUUAGGAAUUUUUUAGAGUAAUUAUCGGAACAUGUCUAUUACUCUAGGGCCUAAGAGUAGUAAGAUUACGUUUUUAAAAACAGGCCUAUGUUUAUCUAUUAUUAUUUAAAUAAAAUAUAACUUUUAUCAAUUUAAACGAGUAUUGUUUCAUUUUUAUCAACCAAUAUUCCUUUAAAUUUUGGAAAUUCUUAUUCUUUUAUUCAUAGCACAUAAACAAUCAUUCUUAGAUUCAUUCAUUCUUUGUAUAUUCUUUCAUACCCCCACAGGUCCCUAGAUAUCAAUGAUAUGAGCACUAAUACAGCAAGUCCUGAUUUCUCUUGCGAACAAGACAUGUGUUUAGAGGAGCCUCAAGAUUUUGAAGAUGUUCAAGAUUAUGACGUAUCUCUUGAUCUAUUAAGAAUGGUAAAGAAGGAGGAGAAACAAAUCAUGCCAUAUGAGAAAGAGGCAAUAGAGAAUAUAGCCCUAGAGGAAGGGAAAGAGUUGAAAAUUGGAACACUGAUUACCGAGGACACAAGGCAUGGUCUGGUUGAGUUGCUUCGAGAGUUCAAGGAUAUCUUCGCCUGGUCAUAUCAAGAUAUGCCCAGAUUAAGUACCGACAUUGUAGUACAUCUUUCGAUAAGACAGGAUUGUAAACCAGUCUAAUAGAAGUUGCGAAGAAUGAGGCCAGAUAUUGUUCUGAAAAUAAAGGAUGAAGUCAAGAAGCAGUUCGAUGCAGGAUUCUUGCAAGAAGUGAAAUACUCCGAAUGCGUAGCUAACAUUGUAUCAGUUCCUAAGAAAGAUGGAAAGGUACGAAUGUGUGUUGAUUACAGAGAUUUAAAUAAAGCUAGCCCCAAAGAUAAUUUCCCUCUGCCACACAUAGACACUUUGGUGGACAACACAGCAGGAUAUUCGUUGUUUUCCUUCAUGGAUGGUUUCUCAGGAUACAAUCAGAUAAAGAUGCAUCCAGAGGACAUGGAUAAAACCACCUUCAUAACCUUGUGGGGCACCUUUUGGUACAAAGUAAUACCAUUUGGACUGAGGAACGCAGGGGCAACAUACCAACGAGCAAUGGUAAACUUAUUCCACGACAUGAUGCAUAAGGAUAUUGAGGUAUACGUUGAUGAUAUGAUUGCCAAGUCGCGAACAGAGAAAGAACAUAUUGAGGUCUUUAGAAGAUUGUUCUUGAGAUUGAGAAAAUUUCAAUUGAAACUCAAUCCAGCAAAGUGUACCUUUGGAGCUAGAUCGGGAAAAUUAUUGGGUUUCGUAGUCAGUGAAAAGGGAAUAGAAGUGGAUUCAGAUAAAGUCAGGGAAAUACAAGAUUUACCUCUACCACGUACUCAGAAGGAAGUUCGAGGAUUCUUAGGAAGGUUGAAUUACAUCGCUCGGUUCAUUUCACAACUGACCGAGAAAUGCGAUCCUAUCUUUCGCCUCAUCAGAAAGCACAAUCAAGGUACUUGGGAUGAGAAGUGUCAGAAUGCUUUUGAAAAGGUCAAGAAGUAUUUGUUGAAUGCUUCGGUAUUAUCUCCACUAAACCCAGAUAAACCGUUGAUACUAUACUUGUCAGUGUUCAGUAAUUCUAUGGGAUGUGUGCUUGGUCAGCAUGACGAGUCAGGGAAAAAGGAGAGGGCAAUUUAUUAUCUCAGUAAGAAAUUCACUGACUGUGAAAUGAGAUAUCCACCAAUUGAAAAGUUGUACUGUGCGCUGAUUUGGACAACACGGAGAUUAAGACAGUAUAUACUAUACCAUACCACUUGGCUCAUUUCAAAGCUUGAUCCAUUGAAAUACAUGAUAGAGUCAACGGCUCUAAAUGGGAGAAUGGCGAGAUGACAAAUUUUGCUUUCAGAGUUUGAUAUAGUCUACAUAAGUCAGAAGGCUACAAAAGGAAGUGCGGUAGCAGACUUCUUGGCCAGUAGGGCUUUAGAUGAUUAUGAGCCAUUGAACUUUGAUUUUCCAAAUGAGGAGUUAAUGUGUAUAGCAACGUCUGAAGAUUCUCAUUGGAAGCUAAAUUUUGAUGGGGCUUCUAAUGCAGUCGGAAAUGGAAUUGAGGCAGUUUUGGUAUCCCCGAAUGGUGAUCAUUACCCGUUCACGUGCAAGUUGGAUUUUGAUUGUACGAACAAUAUGGCUAAUUAUGAAGCAUGCAUGAUGGGACUUCAAGCAGCUAUAGAGCGAGGUAUAAAAACCCUAGAAGUAUACGGAGAUUCCGCGUUCGUAAUUUAUCAGCUUAAAGAUGAAUGGGAGACAAGGGACCCUAAAUUGAUCAAUUAUCGAAAGGUAGUUUUGGGGUUACUUGAGAAGUUUGAUGACAUCACCUUCAAUUAUCUCCCACGAGAUGAAAAUCAGAUGGCAGAUGCUUUAGCAACCUUGGCCUCAAUGAUUAAGGCGAAUAAAGAGGAAGAGAUGAGACAAAUUCAAAUGAGCGUCUACGAGGCUCCAGCUCAUUGUUGCAACAUUGAGAAGGAAGAAAAUGAUAAUAACCCUUGGUAUUAGGAUAUAUUUCGAUAUGUAAGAGAUCGUAAAUACCCUGAACAGGCUAAUGAAAAUGACAAAUGAACUUUAAGAAGGUUAGCUUGCGACUAUGUCUUGGACGGGAAUAUCCUGUACAAGAGAAGGAAAGACUAACUACUUUUGAGAUGCGUGAUGCUGUGGAAGCUAAGCUUAUUUUAGAAGAAGUUCAUGAAGGUGUAUGUGGGACGCAUGCAAAUGGGUUCACGAUGGCAAGGCAAAUCAUGAGGUUUGGCUAUUAUUGGGCCACUACAGAAGGGGACUAUAUCAACUAUACCAAGAAAUGCCAUAAGUGUCAGAUUUAUGGGGACAAAAUUCAUGUACCACCUUCACCUUUGCAUGUUAUGACUUCUUCAUUGCCCUUUUCCAUAUGGGGCAUGGAUGUCAUUGGACCAAUAUCACCGAAAGCUUCGAAUGGACAUCGGUUUAUCUUCGUGGUAAUUGGCUACUUUACAAAAUGGGUAGAGGCCGCUUCUUACGCGAAUGUUACUAAGUCAGCUGUGAGUCGAUUCUUAAAGAAAGAGAUCAUUUGUUGGUAUGGAAUGCCUGAAAGGAUCAUAUCCGAUAAUGCAUUGAACUUGAACAACAAAACAAUAUCAGAGGUUUGUGACCAGUUCAAGAUCAAGCAUCACAAUUCUUCUCCUUAUCGUCCAAAAAUGAAUGGGGCAGUGGAGGCCGCUAAAAAGAACAUCUAGAAAAUAGUGGGGAAGAUGACUGAGACCUAUAAAGAUUGGCAUGAGAAGUUACCGUUUGCACUCCUAGCCUAUCGAACAUCUGUCAGAACCUCUACUAGGGCAACCCCAUUCUCGUUAGUUUAUGAGAUGGAAGCAGUGUUACCUAUUGAAGUAGAAAUACCUUCUCUUCGAAUUUUGAUGGAGAUAAGGUUAGAUGAAGCUGAAUGGGUUCAAUCGCGAUAUGAUCAGUUGAAUUUGAUUGAGGAGAAGAGGCUAAAAGCCAUUCGACAUGGUCAGAUGUAUCAGAAGCGAAUGAUGCGAGCUUAUGAUAAGAAAGUUCGACCAAGAGAAUUCCACGAGGGAGACCUUGUACUGAAAAAGAUCAUUCCUAUUCAAAAAGACUUUAGGGGGAAAUGGAUGCCGAAUUGGGAGGGGCCGUAUGUCGUUAAGAAAGCUUUCUCUGGCGGUGCAUUGAUCUUAACAGAAAUGGAUGGGAAAAGUUUACCCAAUCCAGUGAACUCAGACUUAGUUAAAAAAUACUUUGUCUAAAGGAGAGGAGAAUCCAAGGUGAAAACCCGUAAAGGGCGCAUUGAGAUUUAAAAAAAAGAAUAAAAAACGGAGAGGCCAAAGUGAAAACCCACAAAGGGCGCCUUGUGCCCAAAGGGGUUUUGAGUUGAAAACCCAAAAGGGCGACUCAAAUUUUGAAGCAUCCGGUAAUCUUGCUCAGCAAAGAACGAAGAACGUUGCAUACUAGGGCAUCGACAGAGUACUUUGAAUCUUCUAAACACAUACCUUCAUGAAGUUGAUGGAUAAGUGCUCAAGCGGCGAUAUCUAGGGCAUCUAAUUUUGGCCUGUUUGCUAUCUUUAGAUUUUUUUUUCUUUCUCUUCUCAAAGAUAGGCUUUCAGAUUAAUUUCCAUUGUAUCUUUUUUGAUAAUUCAUUCAAAUCCAAUUAUUCUUAGAGUUUAUACAUCUUCUAUUGUUCUUUAAGUAUUGAAAUAAUGAUAGAUGAACUAAAUAUGUUCACAAACGAAGUUUUGCACAUUACUCUGGAAUUUCUAGAUAAUACAAGAAACUAAAACAGGACAAUUGUUCAAGAAAUUCACGUAAGUAAGGAGUGAAGGAACUCGAGGGAUUUCUUUCUUCCAGUCUAAAAGGAAAAUGGACAAAACCAACGACUCAACUUUAAGGAAAGAUUGUCUUACAGACAUCCUCAGUGGAUUGUAGCAUUGGAGGAAGGGAACAGGCCUAUAGGCUGAGCAAGAAUGAUACUUUGAAAAAACAAAAGAAGGAAUAAGUGAUGACGUUUAGGAUAGGGGUCAUAUUCACAACAUUUUGCAUCAUAACAUGUUUAAUUAGGAACAUUCGACUUACUUCGAUCAUAGCAUCCUAAUUAUCAAGCAUAAUCAUUCUACAGAUUAUCAAAGAUGGCGUGCCUUAAUCCUCUAAACAGUAGGGUAGUAGGCCGCAGCAUAGCAGAUCUCACCUUCAGAUGUUUAUACUGAAGAAGAUCCAAGAUGAUUUGGCAUCCUUGUGCUUACAAUGAGCGAAUCGAAGACAUAGCUGAUAUGGCUUUCACGUGUUUACGAUGAAGCAAAUCUAAGAUGAUUUGGCAUCUCUGUAUUGUCAGAGAACAAAUCGAAGUCUGGCAUCUCCACUUCGACGGGGAGCAGAUGCAUAGUAGAUCUCACAUUCAGAUGUUUAUACUGAAGAAGAUCCAAGAUGGUUUGACAUCAUUGUGCUUACAAGGAGCGAAUCGAAGACAUAGCUGAUUUGGCUUUCACGUGUUUACGAUGAAGCAAAUCUAAGAUGAUUUGGAAACUUUGUAUUAUCAGAGAACAAAUCGAAGUCUAGCAUCUCCACUUCGACAGGGAGCAGAUACAUAGCAGAUCUCACAUUCAGAUAAUUUCACUGAAGCAAGAUCCAAGAUGAUUUGACAUUUUUGUGUUUACAAGGAACAAAUCAAGGACAUAGCAGAUUUGACUCUCAGAUGUUCUCAAAUAGAUCCAAGAUGAUUUGGUAUCCUUGUGCUUACAAGGAACGAAUCGAAAACAUAGCUGAUUUGGCUUUCGCGUGCUUACGCUGAAGAAAAUCUAAGAUAAUUUGGCAUCUCUGUAUUGUCAGAGAACAAAUCGAAGAAGCAGAUUUGACGUAUCUGUGUUCGACGAAUAGCAAAUUGAAGAUAUCAACAUGACAGUCACAAGUUUACGAGAAGCAGAUUGAGGACUAUGAUUUGAUAAGACCGGUCAAAUUUGGUUUUUCUAAAUCUUUGCUCGAUUCCCGUUAUACAACAAUGAGCAAAGAGGGGCAGCUCUAGUAGCCCAAAUUUGACCGGGCUGAAAAUGAAAUAAAAGAAUUAAAUAAAUAUUUAUUUAUUUAAUGUCCAUUUAAAAGUCCAUAAAUAACCAACCCAAUAGACCCAUUUAGCCUAAACCCAACAGACCCGUUACACCUAGCAGCCCAUUUACAAUCAAAUACCUAAAGCCCAACUAAACUAACCCAUUAACUUGUAAAUCACCUAAAACCCGGUUACACCCGAGCCCAAAUACCCAAACAGACCCAGGACUAAAGUGGCCCAACUGGCCCAAAUAAUUACACCAACGCAAGAAACCCUAGGAUUUCUGCUUUUCCCUCCUGGCACCGCAACGUCUUCUGGAAGCUUCUGGGAGCGUCUGUCUAGUUCCCCGAAUCGAGACGGCCAUCAAUGCUCUGUCUCAGGUUUCCAAUGCCCCAUCAGUGCCUCGCCAUCUCAACAGCCACCGAUCGUGCCCCCAUCAAGGCCACGAUUCCAGGCCCUGAGUCACGCCGUGAUCAACGCCUCCGGUAGACCAUCGUCAAGCCUUCGUCAUCGUCGGAUUUCUCGUAAACAUCUGCAAGAAAAGGAAAGAAAUCAAAGCAAGAUUGCAGUAAAUAGGUUAGAACAGAGUUUGGAAAGAAAUCUUUCAAUUUCUUUCCAAAAUAGGCAGUAGAUCAAGCCUAUAAAGCCUUUUCUCAAAUCUGUAAAAAGGGAUACACAGAAAUAGAGAGAAACACAUCACAAAAAGCAUUGUACAUCAAACCUUUGCAAUAAUAAUUCAGAAGGUGAUUAUUUUUUGUACUUAUCUCUUUUUCUCUUUUACGAAUAUAUGAAUCGUUUUUUUUUAAAGUAACAUUUAAAAGGAAAGAGGUUACCUGUGGAAGGACGAAGGUUAUUAAACCUUCAGACCACCGCGUACGGCAGCGCGUGGGCACUCGUGGGCUAGUGGUCGGAGGCCUGAAGCCAAGGCCAAAAAACCCCCAUUGUCUCCUCAUUCAGAGGAUUUUUAGAUUUUUUUCUUCUAAACUGAUUGUUAAAUAAGUUUUAGGCUUAAGUUUUAGCUUAUAUAAUCCAGCAAAAAUGACAUUGUUUCUGUUUAAACAAUAAGCUAUGAAACGACACCGUAUUAGGCAGAGGAUCCGCGUGUUGACCCGAUUACCCAGGGAGGAUCCGCGUGUUUUCAUGAAAUGGAUUAAUUGCCCAAUUGGUCCUCUCGCAAUUUUUAUAUUUUUAAUUUCAAUUUAUUUAUUUUUUAAUUUAGCUUUAAUGUUUUAAUUCUGUUUCAAUUUGGCCCUCCCAGUGAUUUACAACCGCAUUAGGAAAAACGCUGCCGUUUUGGGAAUAGGGCGAUUUGCCCAAUGAAUCCCUUUUGUUUUACGCGUGUUUUAAUUAGAACCUUAAUUCAGCUUUUUUUUCUAAAUUCGCCCCUAUAAUUUUAUUAAACUUCAAAUUUAACCCUAUAUAUUUAUUUCUAUUAUUAUAUAAAUAUAAAUAUUUAUUGUUAUUUGCUUUGUUUUUAUUUUUAAAUUAUAUAUUAUAUGAUUAUUUUAUAUAUUACUCAUAUUAUUUAUAUAUAUUAUAUAUUAUUUUCACAUAUAUACUUUCAUAUUAUAUAUUAUAUUUAUUUUAUAUUAUUAUAUCAUUUUAUACUAUUAAAUAUUUUUAUCUACAUAUUGUUAUCAUUAAAAGUUCUAACUUGUAUUAUAUAUUUAUUUUUAUUUAUAUGUAAAUAAUUACUUUACUUAUAUUCUAUUAUUACACAUUUUGAAGAUAUUAUAAUAUAAUAAUUUGUAUAAUACGUAUAUUUCAUCAUUAAUUACUUAUUUCAUAUUAUUCUAUUUAUCAAUCGUUUGUAUUAUACAUAUAUUUUUUAUUAAUAUGCAAUAUUUGCUUUUGCUUUAGAAUUAAUGUAUUAUUGCUAUGUUACGUAUUUUAUAUGUUAUGUAAUAUCUUAGACCUUUAUAAUUUAUUUUCAAAUGCAUUUUUUUAUAUAUAUGUGUUAAAAUUGUAUAUCAUGCAUCAUUUGUGUUUAAAUAUAUGUUGAAUUAUAUGUUUAGGGAUUUUUACCUACUUUUCUUAAAUAUGCAUUGUGUUUUAUGUAUAGUUUUUCUUAUUUAAAAAAUUGUCAUGUUUUAUUUCUUAUAUAUGUUGGUUAGUGUAUUAUAUUUAUGCUGUUAUGCUAUUACUUAUCUAUUAUUAUAACAUGUUAUCUCGUAUGUUAUGUUAAUAUGCUCCUUCAUGCAUCAGUUUUAAAAACGAGACUUCAAAGUUUUUAAAAAAUAAAAAGGCAAUGCUUGGUAUUUGGAAGCUUCGAGAAAAGUAGUGCCCUAACUUAUUGGGUUGCAACUUUUCUCGUUGAGUUCGAAUGGUCAAGUACCCUUCUAAGUUUUUAAGAUUUUCAAAAAACGAGCAACUGUCUUGGAAUUUCAAAGCGUUGUGUCCUAACUUACUGGAUGUGACAUUUUGUCGUUUCGAGAUAGGGAUUUCCAAAAAGGCUAACUUAGUAUCAAUAUUUUGAUACAAGUGAAUCCCAAUUUUCAAAAUCAAAAUAUUUUAAAGAGGAUUGUAUCUUAAAAUUUUUAAAUUUCCGACCUUAAAGACAUUUGAUAAUUAAUUAGGUACCAAUUUUUGGGCGUUACGAGGGUGCUAAUCAUUCCUUGUACGUAACUGACUCCCGAACCUGUUCUUUUUAUUACAUAGACGAAAACUAAUGAUUUUAAAACAAAAUGUUUUAAAGGUGAUCCAAUCACACCUAAAAAGAUUGGUGGCGACUCCUGUUUUUGUUUUCUUAAAGUCGAUUAUCAUUUUCCAAAACUCGAUUUAAAAAUGGUUUCGACAUGAGUAAUUUAGAUCUUUAGGUACAAAGUUCUUACUAGGCAAAAAACUAACAUGACACCCUGUAAGAUGUGAAAUGGGAGGAAGCCAAAUGUCAAGUAUUUCCAUGUGUUUAGAAGUACCUUGAUAGGUGGAAAAAUAAAAUCCUACACCUAAUUAAACAGGAUAUAAAUUAAAAGUAUAAGGAGUAGGGUCGAUCCCACAAGGACUAAUUUAUGUGAACUUGUAGUUUGUUAUAACCAGGACGUAUUGUAAGCAAUUUUGUGCCCAUAAUUUAUGCUAACCUAUACGAAAUAGAAAGAAGGAUUAAAUAUGAAUGUAACUAAAUUGCAAAAAUUAAAUAAUAAUGAAAUAGAAAUAAACAAAUCAGAAUUAAAAUUGAAUAACCCAAUAAGAUGGAUUUUGACUUCAACUUUGGAUUGAUCCCUGAACAAUGGAUUUUUUUCUCUAAUCGAUAAGUCGGGUAUAGUGAUCAAGGAACAACCUCAAACCACCAACCCUUUCGUAUGUAAAUUAACUGUAUGAACAACUUUACAGUUAACCUUACCAUGUAACACCCCUAACCCGUAUCCGUUACCGAAACAGGGUUACGAGGCAUUCUGGACUUAUACACUAGCAUUCGUAUAAAACCAAGUAAAAAAUUUGCAUUCUAAAUUAAAACUUUUCAAAUUUUAUGAUAAAGUCCCUAAUAUGGGCCUACAGGGCUCAAUACAUGCUUUGGAAGUGGUUCGGGACUAAACUGGCAAAUUUGGAAAUUUUACCUUGAAGAUAGGGGCAGACGCCCGUAUGGCCUGGGACAUGGCCGUGUGGCUAGCCCGUGGGGAUCCCAUGGUCGUCUGGCCAACCCGUGUGGAAUUCUGACUUGUAAUUUCUUAAGUAUCAAAGGGGCACAUGGCCUGGGCAUACGCCCAUGUGGCUAGGCCGUGUGGUAAACUGAUUUUUCAUCAUUUUUAAGCCAUUUUCACAUGAUUAUAACACGCAACCAUGCUUGAAACCCGUGUCCUUCACACGACCAAGACACACGGCCGUGUCUUUUGCCUGUGUAUUAUCCUGACUUUACAUUUAAGGAUGCAAGGGACACACGGUCAUAUCACACGCCCGUGGGCUUACCGUGUGUCACACACGGCCUAGACACACACCCGUGUGUCUAACCAUGUAGACGAAAAUAGGCCGUUUUAGGCCACUUUUCUCACCCUUUCAUCCAUUACCUACACUUAAACACAAUUAUACACUAAUAGAGUCCAACCAAACAAUUAUUUCAAGCCGAAACAUGUAUAUUUCAUUUUCAAACACAAAACACCAUAUUCAACUUACUUUGCAUACUUAAUCAUUCAUACUAUUACAUUAUCAAAUCAACCCCUAUACAUGCCAUAUAAAUCAAAAAGUUGUUUAACAAAAUCUACCGGAGUAAAUCUGGAUAGUGUGAUUCUUGAUGUAGAUCCGAUCCUCCAUAUGUAUAUAAGUCAAUCUACAAAACAAAUAACAUACACAAGUAAGCUUAUAAAAGCUUAAUAAGUUCAUAGGCAUAGAAAAAUAAAUCUUACCAAACAUUGUACACAAUUAUAUAUCUUAUAAUUUAACUAAAUCUUCCUGUAAAUCACAAAAUCAUUAAUAAGUUCAUAUGAAUAAUUUCCAUGUUGCUAUUCACAAAUUUUAACUCAUUUGGGCCCAUUUCUAAUUUACUUUCAUAGUCAAAUUAGGGAACACUAAUGGAAUUGAGUACUUCAUUAUCACAUUGCCAUGGUAAACCAUGGACUUGCACAUAGUCACAUAUCACACACCAAAGCUAUAGCCCUGCCAUGGUCUUACAAGGAUCACAUAUCAUACCGAUGCCAUAUCCCAGCUAUGGUCUUAUACGGAAUCACAUUAUCACAUCACACCGAUGCCAUAGCCCAACUAUGGUAUUAUACGGAAGCACAUAUCACAUCUUUUCCGUCAAUUCAUCAUGGUCAUAAAAUGAAAGCACUCAAAACCAUUGUUCCAACUAAUUUGUACUUUUAGUUAAACAUUAUUUAGUAAUUAAUACAAUUUGAUAGUAUUCAUCUACAAUAAGAUACCUUAGAAAUCCUAAGAUUUCCAUAAGAAAAUAUUGAACUUUUUCAUAUGAACUUACCUGGGUUAAUUUGCAAAAGUCGUAGAAAUUCAGGGACUAUUCUUGCAAUUUCUCAUUUCCACGAUUCACUUCGUUUUCUUGAUCUAUAAUUAUAAAAUCAUUCCUUCAUUAGCAUUUAUUUCAAUUCUAUUCUACUUCACAAUUUAUUCCCUUAAAUUUUCAAAAAUACACUAUUACCCCAAACUUUUUAGUUUUUAUAAUUUAGUCCUUGCUCAAUUAAUUCAUCGAUUGAGCUAAUUCCUCUCAAAUAACACUUUAUCAAGACAUUAUAAACUACUUCAAAGCCUUUAAAACUCAAAAUUUCAUCACAAAUCCCUAAUUCUAACAACUUUUACAAUUAGAUCGUAAAAAUUGAUUUCUAUAAAAAUCUCUUCAUGAAAUCAUCAUAUAAUAAAAUUAAAACCUCAAUUCCAUGAUAAAUCAUCAUAAAAUUUCAGCACUUAUUCAUAGAAACUUUCAAAAUUAUCCAUGAAAUCAAAAACUAAUGAAUUAAACAAGUGGACCUAGUUGUAAAAGUCUCAAAAACACAAAAAUUACAAGAAAUAAUCAAGAAUUGAGCUUACAUGUAGUAAAAAUAUGAGAGACCAGCUUAAAAGAACCCUUCAAUGGUGUUUUUGCUAGAGAAGAUGAAGAAAAAUGAAGAAAACUCUAGAUUUACCAAAUAUAUCAUAUUUUACAAUUAAUUUUUUACCCUAUUUCCAAUUUUACCCCUUUUUCACACUUGAUUUUUAUUUUUCCUGCACAAUGAUGCUGUCAACCCAUCUAAUUUGGGUCUUUUUACCUUCUAACUCCUUCUUUGAUAAUAUUUUAAGCUAUUUAAUCAUAUUUUAUAGUUUUGUACUUAAUUCAAUUUAGUCCUUUUUCUUCAAUUAAUAACCAAAAUGUUAAAAUUUCUUAAUGAAACUUUAAUAUUACCUUAUUAACACUCCAUAAAUACUUAUAAAAAUAUUUAUGGCUGGGUUUAUGAAUUUGAGGUCUCGAUACCUCAUUCUUGACCCAAUUAUCUAACAAUUUUCUUUUAAAACACAAAAUUCACUAAUUAAUAAAAAAUAUUUCUAAAAUCACACCUAACCUUUACUUAUAAAUUUCUAAAUUACUAAACUCACAUGUCAGAUUUAGUAAAUUCACAUCACUAUUCCGACACCACUGAAAUUUGGACUGUUAUAUACCAAAUGGCGUAACCAUUUUUAAAAAAAACGGGUAUCGACUUGGAGAAAAAAGAAAACGGGAGUCGCCACCAAUCUUUCUAGGUGUGAUUGGAUCACCUUGUAAAAGUGGUUGUUUUUAAUAAAUGGUUUGAUUUAUUUAAACAACGAUUUUGGUCCACGUAAAUCAAGAAAAAUAGGUUCGGGAGUCGGUUACGCACGAGGAAGGAUUAGCACCCUCGUAGCACCCAAAAAUUGGUACCUAGUUGAUUAAUUAAUAUCUUAGUGUCGGAAAUUGAAAGCUUGAAAGACAUUGAAAUACGACCCCUCUUCGUAAAAACGCUAAUUUGAAAAUGACCGAAUAGAUUAAAACAAACGUUAAAGACUCUCUCAUCUCGAGGUAAUAAAAUGUCACGCCCAGUAAAUUAAGACACGACAUCUCAAACUUUGAGAAUGAGCUUGCCUUUAUUUAAAAUUCAUAUAUUCUAAUUUUUUUUUGUAAAAGGUUGUUCUGUUAUUUAGGAUAAACAAGAAAAGUCGAAACCCAGUAAGUUAGGGCACGUUUUCUUGAAUUUUCUAAUACCAACCUAAUUUUUUUUUGUAAAAGGUUGUUCUGUUAUUUAGGAUAAACAAGAAAAGUCGAAACCCAGUAAGUUAGGGCACGUUUUCUUGAAUUUUCUAAUACCGAAUACUGCCUUUAUUUUAAAAAAAAUUCUUACUUCGAGGUAACGAAGUGUUAUACCCAGUAAGUUAGGGCACAACACCUCGUACUUCUGAAAAUAAGUAUUAUUCAAAACUCGUAUUGCGAUUUAAAAGAGUAUUCCGUAUUUAGAUUAAAUGAGAAAAGUCGAGACCCAGUAAGUUAGGGCAUGAUUGUCUCGAAUUAUCAAAUACGGAAUAUUUAUUUUUAUGAAAGAAUUAUUAUUGGGUUAGAUAAAACCUAAAUUCGUGAUGGAACGAGAUAAUAAAGAACGCAUAACAAAUAAAAAUCAAUAACUAUAACAAGAUAAACAUAAACACAAAUAUGAAUAGUAACGAUAAAUACGAAGGUAAGAUAAAUGAGUCGAACAAAUAAUAAGAAAGGGAAAUAAUGAAUAAGAUAAAUGUUUGAAAUUAUUUUAAAAAACUAUAAGUAGAAUAGAUGAUGAAAUAAUAAUAAAAAAAGUAAUGAUAUGUAAAUAAAAUAAAUAUGCUAAAAAAUAUAUAUUUAUUAAAUUAGUUAAUAUAAAAAAUAAUAACGUAUAAGUAAAUACAAAAAAAGAAAAUAUAAUAAUAAUAGUAAAAACACAAUAGUAAUAAUAAUGAAAAGGUAUUAUAAUAUAAUAGUAAUAAUGAUAAUAAUAGUGGUAUUAGUAAUAAUAAUAAUAGAAAAUAAUAACAAUAUUAAAAAUAACACUCUCUCCCUCCCUUCUAAAUCCGGCUAUUGGUCCGGCUUUGCUUCGGUCACAGACCCCCACGGGUCGCCGUCGGCGCCACCGUACACGGCGGACGGACCUAAAAAAAAAACUUUUUCGAUAAUGAAAAUAUGGGUAAGCUUCUUACUUUUAUUUUUACUUUCGUGUAAAAAAAACAAAAUAAAAUUGAAAGGAAAACAACAAACAAACAAAGAACUUAAGAUGAUAAUAGACAAAAGAAACCUCUUUUGCUUUGAUCUUUUGAUUAAUCUCCAAAAACUAGCCUUUCCAAAAAAAAACCCCUUCUAACAUAGUCUUGAAUGGCUUUUUUAGCCAAAUUUUACAACUAAUUUUUUUGUAGGCAAGUGGAGUGGUUGGGAUGGUUUAGUGGGGUGGUUAGAGUGGUUUAGUGGGGUGGUUGGAGUGAAGAUAUUUGGAUUUUUUUUUAUUUUUUUUAUAUUUCAUAAAUGGGCCAUUAGGGUUUAGGUGAUUGGGCUUUAAAGGUUGUUGGGUUUUGGGCUGUUAGGUUUUAGAUGUUGAGCUUUUUAGCCCGGGUAAAAUUUAGGCUGUACAACUGCCCCUCUUUGCUUGUUGUCGUGUAACGUGAACAGAGCAAAGACUAUAAAAAGACCAAUUUUGCCCGGGCUCGCCGAGUCUUGAGUUCUUGAUCUUUGAUCUUCUUUAAAUGGCCUCUUGACGGCUUCAAUCUGUUUCACUGCAACUUAGGAAAGCGAUAUUUUCUAUCUUUGAUCUGCUCCCCGUCUAAUACAGAGACGCCAAAUCUGUCAUCUUCGAUCUGCUCCCCGUCUAAUACAGAGACGCCAAAUUUGCUUCGUCAAUCUACUCCUUGCAAACUCAUGACUGUCAUGUUGAUAUCUUCAAUCUGCUUCCCGUUGAACACAGAGACGCCAAAUCUGCUUCUUCGAUUUGUUCCUUGUAAGCACAAGGAUGCCAAAUCAUCUUGGAUCUUGCUUCGGUAUAAACAUCUGAAGGCCAGAUCUGCUAUGUAUCUGCUCUCCGUCGAAAUGGAGAUGCCAGACUUUGACUUGUUCUCUGACAAUACAGAGAUGCCAAAUCAUCUUAGGCUCGCUUUAGCGUAAGCACGCAAAAGCCAAAUCAGCUAUAUCUUCGAUUUGCUCCUUGUAAGCACAAGGAUGCCAAAUCAUCUUGGAUCUUGCUUCAGUAUAAACAUUUGAAGGCCAGAUCUGCUAUGUAUCUACUCUCCAUCGAAAUGGAGAUGCCAGACUUCGACUUGUUCUCUGACAAUACAGAGAUGCCAAAUCAUCUUAGACUUGCUUUAGCGUAACCAUGUGAAAGCCAAAUCAACUAUGUCUUCGAUUUGCUCUUUGUAAGCACAAGGAUGCCAAAUCAUCUUGGAUCUUGCUUCAGUAUAAACGUCUGAAGGCCAGAUCUGCUAUGUAUCCACUCUCCGUCGAAAUGGAGAUGCCAGACUUCGACUUGUUCUCUGACAAUACAGAGAUGCCAAAUCAUCUUAGACUUGCUUUAGCGUAAGCACGCGAAAGCCAAAUCAGCUAUGUCUUCGAUUUGCUCCUUGUAAGCACAAUGAUGCCAAAUCAUCUUGGAUCUUACUUCAGUAUAAACAUCUAAAGGCCAGAUCUGCUAUGUAUCUACUCUCCGUCGAAAUGGAGAUGCCAGACUUCGACUUGUUCUCUGACAAUACAGAGAUGCCAAAUCAUCUUAGACUCGCUUUAGCGUAAGCAUGCGAAAGCCAAAUCAGCUAUGUCUUCGAUUUGCUCCUUGUAAGCACAAGGAUGCCAAAUCAUCUUGGAUCUUGCUUCAGUAUAAACAUCUGAAGGCCAGAUCUGCUAUCUAUCUGCUCUCCGUCGAAAUGGAGAUGCCAGACUUCGACUUGUUCUCUGACAAUAUAGAGAUGCCAAAUCAUCUUAGACUUGCUUUAGCGUAAGCACGCGAAAGCCAAAUCAGCUAUGUCUUCGAUUUGCUCCUUGUAAGAACAAGGAUACCAAACCAUCUUGGAUCUGUUUUAGCCAGAUUUGCUAUGCUGCGGCCUAUUACCCUACUGCUUAGGGGUUAAGGUGCGUCAUCUUUGAUAACCUGUAGAAUGAUUAUGCUUGAUAAUUAGGAUGCCAUGAUCAAAAUGAGUCGGAUGUUCCUAAUUAAACAUGUUAUGAUACAAAAUUUUGUGAAUAUGACCCCUAUCCUAGACGUUACCAUUCAUUCCUUUAUUUGUCUUUUCAAAGCAUUAUUCUUGCUCAACCUGUAGGCCUGUACCCUUCCUCUAAUGCUACGGCCCACUGAGGAUGUGUGAAUUUCUCGAACAAUUGUCCUGUUUUAGUUUCUUGUAUUAUCUAGAAAUUCUAGAGUAGUGCGCAAAAUUUCAUUUGUAAAUAUAUUUAGUUCAUCUAUCAUUAUUUCAAUGUAACAUGGAAAAUGAAUGACUCUUUAAGAAUAAUUGGAUUUGAAUGAAUUAAAAGGAAAGGAUACAAAGGAAAUUAAUCUGAAAGCCUAUCUUUAGGAAGGAACAAAAUCUAAAGAUAGAAAACAGGAUAAAAGUUAGAUGCUCAAGAUAUUGCUGCUUGAGUGCCUAUACACCAGCUCCAUGAAGUCUUUCUUGAGUUCAACAUGUGUUUAAAAAGAUCCAAAGUACUUUGUUAAUGCCCCAAUAUGCAACGUGUUUCGCCCUUCAAAUAUAGCAAGAUCACUGUGUACUCUUCAAAAUUUGAGCUACCCUUUCGGGUUUUCAACUCAAAACCCCUUUGGUCACAAGGUGCCCUUUGCGGGUUUUCACCUUGGCCUCUCCUUUUUUUUUUUAAUCUCAAGGCGCCCUUUACGGGUUUUCACCUUGGAUUCUCUUCUCCUUUAGACAAAGUAUUUUUUAACUGAGUCUGAGUUCACUGGGUUGGGUAAACUUUUCCCAUCCAUUUCCAUUAAGAUCAAUGCACCACCGGAGAAAGCUUUCUUUACGACAUACAGCCCUUCCCAAUUCGACAUCCAUUUCCCCCUAAAAUCUUUUUGAAUAGGAAGAAUCUUUUUCAGUACAAGGUCUCCCUCGUGGAACUCUCUGGGUCAAACUUUCUUGUCAUAAGCUCGCAUCAUUCGCUUCUGAUACAUCUGACCAUGCCGAAUGGCUCUUAGCCUCUUUUUCUCAAUCAAGUUCAACUGGUCAUAUCGGGAUUGAACCCAUUCAGCUUCAUCUAACCUUAAUUCAGUCAAAAUUCGAAAAGAAGGUAUUUCUACUUCAAUAGGUAACACUACUUCCAUCCCAUAAACUAACGAGAAUGGGGUUGCCCCAGUAGAGGUUCUGAUAGAUGUUCGAUAGGCCAGGAGUGCAAAUGGUGACUUCUCAUGCCAAUCUCUAUAGGUCUCAGUCAUUUUCCCCACUAUUUUCUUAAUGUUUUUGUUGGCAGCUUCUACUGCCCUAUUCAUUUUUGGACGAUAGGGGGAAGAAUUGUGAUGCUUAAUCUUGAACUGGUCGCAAACUUCUGCUAUCAUUUUGUUGUUCAAGUUUAAUGCAUUGUCUGAUAUGAUCCUUUCAGGCAUCCCAUACUGACAAAUGAUCUCUUUCUUCAAAAAUCGACUCACAGCCGACUUAGUAACAUUUGCAUAAGAAGUGGCCUCUACCCAUUUUGUGAAGUAGUCAAUAACCACGAAGAUAAAUCGAUGUCCAUUUGAAGCCUUCGGUGAUAUUGGUCCAAUGACAUCCAUGCCCCACAUGGAAAAGGGCCAUGGAGAAGUCAUAACAUGUAGAGGUGAAGGUGGUACAUGUAUCUUGUCUCCAUAAAUCUAAUAUUUAUGACAUUUCUUGGCGUAGUUGAUACAAUCCCCUUUCAUGGUAGACCAAUAAUAUCCAAAUCUCAUGAUUUGUCUAGCCAUCGUGAACCCAUUUGCAUAUGUCCUGCAUACGCCUUCAUGAACUUCUUCUAAAAUUAGCUUAGCUUCUACGGCAUCAACACAUCUCAAAAGUACUUGGUCUUUCCUUCUCUUGUACAGGAUAUCCCCGUCUAAGACAUAGUCGCAAGCUAGCCUUCUCAACGUUCGUUUGUCAUUUUCAUUGGCUUGUUCAGGGUAUUUGCGAUCCCUCACAUAUCGUAAUAUAUCCUGAUACCAAGUGUUAUCAUCCUCUUCUUCCUUCUCAAUGUUGCAACAAUGUGCUGGAGCCUCGUAGACACUCAUUUGAAUUAGUCUUAUCUCUUCUUCUUUAUUCGCCUUAAUCAUUGAGGCCAAGGUUGCUAAAGCAUCUGUCAUCUGAUUUUUGUCUCGUGGGAGAUAAUUGAAGGUGAUGUCAUUAAACUCCUCAAGUAACCCCAAAACUACCUUUUGAUAAUUGAUCAAUUUAAGGUCCCUUGUUUCCCAUUCACCUCUGAGUUGAUAAAUUACCAACGCAGAAUCUCCAUAUACUUUUAGGGUUUUUAUACCUCGCUCUAUAGCUACUUGUAGUCCCAUGAUGCACGCUUCAUACUCGGCCAUAUUGUUCGUGCAAUCAAAGUCCAACUUGCACGUGAAAGGAUAGUGAUUUCCAUUUGGAGAUACCAAGAUUGCCCCAAUUCCAUUUCCGACUGCAUUAGAAGCCCCAUCAAAAUUGAGCUUCCAAGAAAAAUCUUCGGCCGUUGCUAUACACAUCAACUCCUCAUUUGGAAAAUCAAAGUUCAAUGGCUCAUAAUCCUCUAGAGCCCUACUGGCCAAGAAAUCUGCUACCGCACUUCCUUUGAUAACCUUCUGACUUAUGUAGAUUAUAUCAAAUUCUGAAAGCAAAAUUUUCCAUCUCGCCAUUCUUCCAUUCAGAGCCGUUGACUCCAUCAUGUAUUUCAAUGGAUCAAGCUUUGAAAUGAGCCAAGUGGUAUGGUAUAACAUGUACUGUCUUAAUCUUCGAGUUGUCCAAAUCAGAGCACAACACAACUUUUCAAUUGGUGGAUAUCUCAUCUCACAGUCAUUGAACUUCUUACUGAGAUAAUAGAUUGCCUUCUCCUUUUUCCCUGACUCGUCAUGCUGGCCAAGCACACAUCCCAUAGAAUUACUGAACACUGGCAAGUACAGUAUUAACAGGUUAUCUAGGCUAGGUGGAGAUAAUACCGGAGCAUUCAAAAAAUAUUGCUUGACCUUUUCAAAAGCAUUCUGGCAUUCCUCAUCCCAAGUACCUUGAUUGUGCUUUCUGAGGAGGCGAAAGAUAGGGUCACAUUUUUCGGUUAGUUGUGAAAUGAACCGAGCAAUGUAAUUCAACCUUCCUAGGAAUCCUCGAACUUACUUCUGAAUACAUGGUGGAGGUAACUCUCGUAUGGCUCUGACCUUGUCUGAGUCAACCUCAAUUCCCUUUUCACUAACUACAAAGCCUAAUAACUUUCCCGAUCUGGCUCUAAAGGUACACUUUACUAGAUUGAGCUUCAACUGAAAUUUUCUCAACCUCAAGAACAAUCUUCUCAAGACCUCAAUGUGCUCUUUUUCUGUAUGUGACUUGGAAAUUAUAUCAUCAACGUAUACCUCAAUAUCCUUAUGCAUCAUGUCGUGGAAUAAGUUUACUAUGGCCUGUUGGUAUGUUGCCCCUGUGUUCUUUAGUCCAAACGGCAUUACUUUGUAGCAAAAGGUGCCCUAUAAGGUUAUGAAGGUGGUUUUAUCCAUGUCCUCUGGAUGCAUCUUUAUUUGAUUGUAUCUUGAGAAACCAUCCAUGAAGGAAAACAACGAAUAUCCUGCUGUGUUGUCCACCAAAGUGUCUAUGUGUGGUAGAGGGAAAUUAUCUUUGGGGCUAGCUUUAUUUAAAUUCUGUAAUCAACAUACAUUCGUACCUUCCCAUCUUUCUUAGGAACUGGUACAAUGUUAGCUACCCAUUCGGGGUAUUUCACUUCUUGUAAGAACCCUGCAUCGAACUGCUUCUUAACCUCAUCUUUUAUUUUUAGAACAAUAUCCGGCCGUAUUCUCUGCAACUUCUGUUGAACUGGCUUACAAUCUUGCCUUAUCGGAAGACGAUGUACUACAAUGUCAGUACUCAAUCCGGGCAUGUCCUGAUAUGACCAGGCGAAGAUAUCCUUAAACUCUCGAAGCAACUCAACCAGACUAUGCCUUGGGUCCUCUGUAAUCAGUGUUCCAAUUUUCAACUCCUUCCCUUCCUCUAGGGAUAUAUUCUCUAUUUCCUCUUUCUCAUGUGGCGUGAUUUGUUUCUCCUCCUGUUUUACCAUUCUUAAUAGAUCGAGGGAUACGUCACAAUCUUGAACAUCUUCAAAAUCCUGAGAUUCCUCUAAACACAUGUCUUGCUUGUAAGAGAAAUCAGGAGUGGCAGUAUCAGUACUCAUAUCAUUGAUAUCUAGAGACCUGUGGGGUAUGAAAGAAUAUACAAAGAAUGAAUGAAUCUAAGAAUGAUUGUUUAUGUUCUAUGAAUAAAAGAAUAAGAAUUGCCUAAAUUUAAAAGAAUAUUGGUUGAUAAAAAUGAAACAAUGCUUGUUUAAAAUCGAUAAAAGUUAUGUUUUAUUUAAAUAAUAAUAGAUGAACAUAGGCCCAUUUUCACAAAUGUAAUCUUACUACUCCUAGGCCUUAAAGUAAUAGACAUGUUUCGAGAAUUACUCUGAAAAUUCCUAAAGGCUACAAGAAGGUCUUCAGCAGUCCAAUUAUUCAGAGAGCUCCCUGGCUCGUAAGGGCGAAUGUCCUCGAAACUUCCUUGCUUCAAUCCUUCAUCGUGCACAGCAUUAAUUUGAUGACUCUCUUCUAUCAGUAACCCUCUUGACUUAAAGGAUUUGGAUAUAGGUGGGAAUGUCAUCGGUUCCCACUCCACUUCUCUUCCGUUCAAACGCGCAUUCCUUCUCGCUUGGCGCCUCUCCAUCUCCUGCUUUUUGUGCUUAUGGUCUGGCUUAAAGCCCAAACCAAAGCGAUCUUUCUUCUCAAUCAGUUUUGGGAUUUGAAUCCCUCCUUGCGACUGUCUUUCUAGUCCUUUUCCCGGUAAUGCCCCUUUUUCCCAUCAUCAUUUGUAGGGCCAUCCUUGUGGCUCUAGACAUUUUGAGUACCGGCACCUCACUUCCUUCCAAAAUAAAGGUUGCAUUGAUGAUUUCUAAAGAGCGAAAAGAACACUCAAUAGCUUCUUCAUUUGCCUCAACAUAAGGGGCCUUGCUAGUGACUGCUGCUAUAAUGUCUUCCUCCGCGUGGAUGGUUAUUAACCGUCCAUCUGUUACUAACUUCAAUUUUUGGUGCAAUGAGGAAGGCACCGCUCCUGCCGAGUGUAUCCAUGGCCUCCCCAAUAAACAAUUAUAGGAGGGCUUGAUAUCCAUUACCAAGAAAUCAACUUCAUAUGUAUUUGGCCCAAUUUCCAAAUGGAUGUCGAUUCGUCCCAUCACUUUCCUUUCAGUUCCAUCAAAGGCUCUUACCAUGUUUUCAUAUGCGAACCGUCAAUGGGUAAUCUAUUCAAUGUGGAUAAUGGAAGGACAUUCAAAGCAGACCCGUUAUCAACGAGUACACUUGGCAGCGUGUAUCUCUUGCACCGAGUAGUGAUGUGCAAGGCUUUGGUUGACCCUAUACCCCCGAGUGGAAUUUCAUCAUCAUUAAAGUAGAUGAAAUUGUCCGCACUGAUGUUAUUUACCAACCGGUCCAACUUGUUAACGGAUAUGUUGUGAGUGACAUAUGUUUCGUUAAGUACCUUCAACAAUGCAUCCCGAUGUACCUCAGAACUCAGAAGUAAGGCUAAUACUGAUAUACGCGCCGGCUGCUUAUGCAACUGAUCGACCAUACUGUACUCGCUAUGCUUAAGGAAUUUUAGAAACUUCUUAGCCUCCUCUUCCUUUACUGGCUCUUUGACAGGGAUUUCAACGUCUUUCUUUUUCUCAAUGUCAACAUCCUUUGCUUUUGUAGGCUCCACUCUGAUGUCCCCCCAUUAUAGCGCUUCCCACUUCGCGUAUGGGAACCUUCAUUUUGCUCGCUCCUAAAUGCACUGGCUAUGCUCUCCCCCUCAGGUACUGUUACACUGCAAUCAUAGCUCCAUGGCACCCUAUUGUCAUCCUUGUAAGGGAAAUGAGUGGGUUUAUGGAUGACGAUCUUGGGCCCAGUUCGUGUCUCCACUUCCUUAUUCCCCGGUAAGAAAAUAAUAAUUCUUGGUCGGCUGGUUCCUUGUUGUUCAUUUUCCAGCACACAUAUUUGUCUUUUGCAAGAACUACCCUUAAAAAUCUGUAGCUCUUUGUCAAACAUAAGGCUUUGCACCAUGGCCUUGAACUCCUCACAAUUUUGGAUCACAUAACCCACCUCUCCAUGAAAUUCACAAUAAUUCUCUAUUCCUCUUCUACCUUUUCCAGAUGUCAACAUACCUCUAUUCACCAUUUCCUCCCAUACUACUUUCAUGGGUGUCUUCACUUCAGCAAUAUCUUCCUUGAUUUUUUCUUCCAUUGUUUCAGCAAUGGCAUUUACUCAUUGAUUGCCAUGAUCUGGUAACGGAUUUUCGGCAUUAGAGGUACUGUCGAAUUUCACAACCCCCAUCUUGAUAAGCCUCUCCACGGCCUUCUUGAAUCCUGUGCAGUUUUUGAUCAAAUGCCCCGGUAUUCCCGCAUGAUAUUCGCAUUUAGCAUUUGCAUCAUACCAUCUGUGAUACGAUGGCUGUAGUGGUUUCAAGUGAAAUGGAGCAAUGGCAUGUGCAUCAUACAAGCUUUGAUAAAGCUCACGAUACGUCACAGGGAUAGGCGUAAAUUGUAUUCUUUCCGAAUUCUGUCUUAGGCCCGAUUCCUGUCUUUGGGUAUUUUGUUGUUCGACCAUAGCUGCUUUGGGUUAACCAACUGUGAUUGCCCUCGAGUUGAGACUAUUCACCUCAUUGUCCUUUCUCCUUGGGGCUGAUCUUUUAGUCGUUUCCCCCUCAAUUUUACCGCCCCUUACGGCGUUCUUAAUCAUCUCUCCUGUCAUAAUUAUAUCCGCAAAACUUUUCGUGGUGCUUCCAAUCAUGUGAGUGAUGAAUGGCGCCUUUAGAGUGUUGAUAAAUAACAUGGUGGUCUCCCUUUCCAACAGUGGUGGCUGUACUUGCAUUGCUACUUCCCUCCAUCGUUGUGCGUAUUGCCUAAAAUUUUCAUUAGGCUUCUUCUCCAUGUUUUGAAGCGUGAUCUUGUCUAGCGUCAUAUCAGUCACAUAGUUGUACUGUUGCAUGAAGGGUUGUGCAAGAUCUCUCCAUGAACCGAUUCUUGCAUGACUCAACUGAUUGUACCACCUAGCCGCUGCUCCUACUAAGCUGUCUUGAAAACAAUGGAUCAAUAGUUGAUCAUUGUUCACAUACCCAGUCAUUUUCCUAUAAAACAUUGUUAUGUGUACCUCUGGGCAAGUAGUCCCAUUAUACUUUUCAAACUCUGGCAUCUUAAAUUUAUGAGGAAGCACCAAGUCUGGGACCAAACUUAAGUCUUUGGCAUCAAUCCCUUGAUAAUUGCUAGCGCCUUCCAAAACCUUAAAUUUCUCUUCCAACCACUUGCAACGAUCCUCCAACUGUUUUGAGGAUUCAGUUGCCAUUCUUUCCCUCUCCAUCAUAUCUAGAUCAGGAGUGACAAGGUUGAUUAGGCUAUCGCCCACGUUAUUUUCUGACCCAGAUGGGAAAUUCACGGGGAUUCCAGCAUCAACCGGCCCAUGUUGAGGUCUUACAGUAACAGAUGGCCUUCUAAGAGGUACCUCAGUUUGCAGUGGCACACGUGGCGGAGUGAAACUCGGAGGAUGAUCCUCAUCCUCCUCACCAAUGAUAGCCAUGGGGGUCUUCCCUUUAUCAGUGGCCCUUAGAAGCUGAGCCAUUUCGGCCAUCAUACUCCUCUGAACCUCUAGUAUCCCUCAUGUCAUUCUGCAUCUUAGCCAACUACUCUUGCAAUUGGUCUUGCAUAUCCUUUUGCAAUUGUUCGAACCUGAUCCAUACUCUUAGUUUUAGUGCGAGUACCGUAGGGAUGUGUGAUUUCCAGAUUUUCCUUUUCUACAUCUCUGGAAGUAAACUUUAACUAAUUAGGGUCUUUCUAUAAUUUUGAAUGCAUAUGAUGUGAUGUAAUGCAAAUGCAUGAAUGCAAAAAGAAAAGGAGAUGUUGAUCUUGAAUUCAAUUCCAUUAGAAUAACUUUUCUAGAAAACAGAUUUCUUUACAUGAAAAUAUAUUACAUAUGCGGUCUUGCCCUUCAUAGUCCAAGUAAACGCUGAUCUUUUCUUUAUGGUCGAAUCCUAUAAAUUCUCUAAAAGAUGCCUCUGCUAGCUCCUUGUUGCUUAAUCUGAGCCUCGAUCUCUUGCUCGCUUAUCUUCAUGAUACUCAUCAAAAAGUGUCGGCUCUUGGAUAAUCUUCAUUGGCAAUUAAAUCAAGUCAUGUAUUCCUUCGUGGACUUCCGGCUUUCUCUCGUCAUUCUCUUGGAUAACCUUUGUUGGCUUAAAUCUCUGGCAAUUACAUCAUGUAUUCCUCCGUGGAUUAUCAGCUUUCUCUCGUCGUGUUUACUUGAACUAUAUUCAGACGACAGCACUAGAAUCCACUUUAUCAAGAAAUUCGUUUCCUUAUGACAAACUAUUCUAUUUAGGAAUCGAAUUUUGAAUCAACAUAUUCUUUUCUUUGAUGUAAUGUAAUGCAAAUGCAUGAAUGCAAAAAGGUAUCGAUCUCGAUUCAAUCUCAUUUAGAAAACUUUAUUUAGAAAAAGAAUAUCUUUACAUAUAAAUGGAUUACAUAUACGCCUUUGCCCUAAUGCCCAAAGUUCUAACUUUAUCUAAUAAAAGGGCUAACUCUCGACCUUUAUCAGACGUUAACUCAUACAUCAUGCUCAAAGCAUCCGCUCGUACUGCUAAGUCUUGAACAGAUUCAGCAACCUCUCAGUUCUGGGCUAUUGCCUCUCCAAUAAUAUAAUCCCUAUCUCUGACUUGACCUUUAACUUGAUGGAGCUCUUCUUUGAGACAAUCUUCUUGCACCUCGAACUGCUUAAUCCGAAGUUCACUACCAUGUAAUGCCGCUUCCAAAUCUUCAACCUUACUUUUUAGCUCUUCUAACUCGACCGUAGGAUCAUGGUUUCUAUGCCAACAAAGAGAUCUUCCAAGCUCAGUUACCUUAGUCUUCAACCCUUUAUUCUCUCUCUAAUGUCAAAUUCUGCGACCGCAUUUCUUAGCACUUCUUCUCCCAGUAUUCGGCUCUAACUUUUUCCUCUUGAACUUCUUUCUGCCACUGUUCUAAAGACCUUCCUAACCCCACUCGCUUCAAAGAUACUUGUGACUUCUUAUACUUUUCUUUUAAAUCAUCUCGGUCUUCCUCAACCUUCCUCUUUUCAUUCCUAACCUUUUCAACCUCCUUCUUUUGCAGGUCGACAUCUAGACUUAGGUACAUCUUCUCCUCUUCAAGUUUUUCUAUCUUCUUUCCGAGUUCCAAAUUCUUUCUCUUAAAUUCUUGCUUCAUGAUAUCAAGCUCCGAGGGUAUCACUUGUAGAUAUUCCUCCAUUGGUCGAACUUCUUCCAUUUUUGUCAUAGGGAGAUUAUCGUUAAUCCUUCUACUCCUCCACUCGACAUAUUCCGGUGUCGUGGCAAGAUUAAUGGCCACUCCCUUCAAUCGAUAAGUCUUGUUCCAAGUACUAGAAACUUCGCUAACCUUCCUCUUGUAAUCGGCUCUUCUGUAUACAAACUCACUUUGAGCUAACCCCUGAGUCACUGGUACGAACUGUCUCAAUCCAUGCUGCCUCAGAAAGAGCAAAAGGGCAUAACCAAUGGCACCUCAAAUUCCCAACAGGGGAACCCAAUUAAAGCUGCCACAUCGAUAAAGUAUAUCACCAGGAACUAUCCAUGGAGCUCUCCAUUUCACAUCUUUCGACUGAAGAUUCUGAAGUAAUGCUAUCCAAUUCUCCUUCGGCACAUCCACUUUUCUAGACGAGGCUACUAUAUCUUUCACUGGGGAGUAGUUUUCAAAGAAAACUCGACAAAUAGUCUUAUCAAUCAACCGAAAGUGACUGUAGAACCAAGCCAAAAGUAACUGAGCACAUUCUAUAAACCUGCCUACGCCAGCCCUCCUACAUGCACCUAAGGACCUGAAUGUUUCCGCCAAAAUCGCAAGGACAGAAGUGACCCUUUUGCUGAGUCGAUGAAAAACAUCCGUGGUUGCCUCGUCCACAUAUCCCAAAGCCCUAGGGAAAACCAUCAGUCCAUACAAACUUAAGGCAAAAAUGUCUACCUUCUUCGUCUCAUCAGGGUAUGUCAAAAUCAAAAUUUUCAAAGCGCCCCACGAGAUGCACUUGCACUCACCUUUCUCUUUAAUUCUGGCCGUGACCCACUGCUCGCUCAUCCCCGUAAUGGCCAUUAAUUUCUUCCAAAAGGUAGGGACACAAGCAGCUCGAGAAUAAAUCCUAUCACUCUGAAACCUGGGACAACGAAGUAAGGCGGUAUACUCCUCUACGGUAGGUACCAAGUCUACUUCUCCAAAUGUGAAACAGCUGUACGCUGGGUUCCAAAAUUGAGCAAGGGCUCGGAAUAAGUGCUCAUUUACCUGAAUAUCGAGUAAGCAAGGUAAAUCUCCGUAAUUAUCGUAGAAUAACUGCUUGGUCCCAUUGCCCCACUGAUCUCAAAUUUCCUUAAGCUAUUGGAGAUUAUUCUGUGUGACACUUAUACGAGUAUAAUCUGGCAGCUCCGACACAUAUCCUAUAACUAUACUGUCUCCCUUUUCUAAUUGAGUUUGCUCUGACCAUUGAUGAGCAUCAACAUUGUCCUCCACUCUAUCAAGAAUUCCGUUUUCCAUAGUAAAACUUCCUAACUUAGAAACUGACUGUGAAUCGAUACCUUUAUAAAUGCAAAAUAACAUGCAAACAAAAGAAAAGAAGUAGUCAGUAUUGCAUGAUAUCAAUAAAUCUCAACGAUAGUUUAUAGGGGUAAUAUCUAAGGUUUAAUCCUAACUAAGUUGGGUUCUUACGGUUUUUCUAUAUGAGGUUGCUUCUAAAGUUUGAGGUACCUGAAUCAGCAGAUUCCUCGAUCCUCACCCAUUAUAGGCUCAUUUGAAUCGAGUUCAAUUCAGGGGAAUACAUUUCCCUAUGGCUACACGGAGAUGAAAAUCUCACGAAACCAUAGGUACGGAUGUAUUCCGAAAGUGAUCCACUAUCCUGCACGGAGGCGAAAACCUCACGAAGGCGUAGUUUCUCACUCCCACUUAAGGGUGUGACCACAACGGUCAUGCAAUGCAAUGCGAGAAGAUAUAUGCAUAAAAACUUGAAACGAUUAAAGAAAAUAGGAAUAAAAUGAUGAAAACAGUACGAAAAACGGGUGAAACGUAAUGAAGAGAUUGUAUAUCAAAACCAAAUUCUCAAUUUUCGAAAAAAGGCAAAAGUUAAUCAACUUGUGGCUUGACUCUCUUAUAAGAAUCCCCAGUGGAGUCGCCAAGCUGUUGUAACCAUUUUUAAAAAAAACGGGUAUCGACUUGGAGAAAAAAGAAAACGGGAGUCGCCACCAAUCUUUCUAGGUGUGAUUGGAUCACCUUGUAAAAGUGGUUGUUUUUAAUAAAUGGUUUGAUUUAUUUAAACAACUAUUUUGGUCCACGUAAAUCAAGAAAAAUAGGUUCGGGAGUUGGUUACGCACGAGGAAGGAUUAGCACCCUCGUAGCGCCCAAAAAUUGGUACCUAGUUGAUUAAUUAAUAUCUUAGUGUCGAAAAUUGAAAGCUUGAAAGACAUUGAAAUACGAUCCCUCUUCGUAAAAAUGCUAAUUUGAAAAUGACCGAAUAGAUUAAAACAAACGUUAAAGACUCUCUCAUCUCGAAGUAAUAAAAUGUCACGCCCAGUAAGUUAAGACACGACAUCUCAAACUUUGAGAAUGAGCUUGCCUUUAUUUAAAUUCUAAAUUUUUUUUAAAAGGUUGUUCGGUUAUUUAGGAUAAACAAGAAAAGUUGAAACCCAGUAAGUUAGGGCACGUUUUCUCAAAUUUCCUAAUACCGAAUACUGCCUUUAUUUUAAAACAAAUUCUUACUUCGAGGUAACGAAGUGUUAUACCCAGUAAGUUAGGGCACAACACCUUGUACUUCCGAAAAUAAGUAUUAUUCAAAACUCGUAUUGCGAUUUAAAAGAGUAUUCUGUAUUUAGAUUAAAUGAGAAAAGUCGAGACCCAGUAAGUUAGGGCAUGAUUGUCUCGAAUUAUCAAAUACGGAAUAUUUAUUUUUAUGAAAGAAUUAUUAUUGGGUUAGAUAAAACCUAAAUUCGUGAUGGAACGAGAUAAUAAAGAACGCAUAACAAAUAAAAAUCAAUAAUUAUAACAAGAUAAACAUAAACACAAAUAUGAAUAGUAACGAUAAAUACGAAGGUAAGAUAAAUGAGUCGAACAAAUAAUAAGAAAGGGAAAUAAUGAAUAAGCUAAAUGUUUGGAAUUAUUUAAAAAAACUAUAAGUAGAAUAGAUGAUGAAAUAAUAAUAAAAAAAGUAAUGAUAUGUAAAUAAAAUAAAUAUGCUAAAAAUAUAUAUUUAUUAAAUUAGUUAAUAUAAAAAAUAAUAACGUAUAAGUAAAUACAAAAAAAGAAAAUAUAAUAAUAAUAAUAGUAAAAACACAAUAGUAAUAAUAAUGAAAAGGUAUUUUAAUAUAAUAGUAAUAAUGAUAAUAAUAGUGGUAUUAGUAAUAAUAAUAAUAGAAAAUAAUAACAAUAUUAAAAAUAACACUCUCUCCCUCCCUUCUAAAUCCGGCUAUUGGUCCGGCUUUGCUCCGGUCAAAGACCCCUACGGGCCGCCGUCAGCGCCACCGUACACGGCGGUCGAACCUCAAAAAAAACUUUUUCGGUAAUGAAAAUAUGGGUAAGCUUCUUACUUUUUUUUUACUUUCGUAUAAAAAAACAAAAUAAAAUUGAAAGGAAAAUAAUAAACAAACAAAGAACUUAAGAUGAGAAUAGACAAAAGAAACCUCUUUUGCUUUGAUCUUUUAAUUAAUCUCCAAAAACUAGCCUUUCCAAAAAAAAACCCUUCUAACAUAGUCUUGAAUAGCUUUUAUAGCCAAAUUUUACAACUAAUUUUUUUGUAGGCAAGUGGAGUGGUUGGGAUGGUUUAGUGGGGUGGUUAGAGUGGUUUAGUGGGGUGGUUGGAGUAAAGAUAUUUGGAUUUUUUUUUAUUUUUUUUAUAUUUCAUAAAUGGGCUAUUAGGGUUUAGGUGAUUGGGCUUUGGAGGUUGUUGGGUUUUGGGCUGUUAGGUUUUUAGAUGUUGGGCUUUUUAGCCCGGGCAAAAUUUGGGCUGUACACCAAGUAAAUAACAUUGAAAAUAGCUUCCAUGGUUUAAUUCCUCAACAGCCCGGCGAACUAAAAUGACUCAGCUCAAAUUGACAGCCUCAAUUGCUUGGGUCUACACACCUAUUACCUUUUCCAUCUUUGAUUUUCCAAGUUCUUUUGAAGCAAAAUCCAAGGAUGGUUUGAGCCACAAAACAUCUCGAAAGAGAAGUUGUUAAGUUGAAAUUCUCUCCAAAAUGGCUUGAAGGAAAGCAUGAAUCAGUAGCCCCAACUGAUCUAACUGAAGGAGAACAAAAAGUUGAAUCUGACCUUGAAACUAUACUAAUUGUUCAUUUAGUGACUAUUUUAGUCGAUCUUGCGAGCAACCUAGUAGGAUUCAAUCAAAGGAUGGUUAGCAUUUUACUGCUUCUAUGACUCUCAAAAUUGAUUUAUCUCCAAACUUCAAAUUGAAAUCCAAGUCGUUUAACAGAUUCGACGUUGGUAUUUUAACAACAAUAUAAAACAUAGAAAAUAUGAAAGAAAGAUAUAUUGGAAGCAGACUAUAAGCUGUUGUAUUAUUCAUAUUAUAUAGUAAAACAAAAACAAAAACCUACAAAAGUUACUCUUAAAAAACAUGCCACAAACACUUAACUUACUCCUAAAAUCAUGUAACAUAAAUUUAAAUUCCUAAAUACUUUCUCUACAUACAUAUUAUUAAGCAAGUCUAAGGCACAUCCUCAACACUCCUUAUUUCCUUAGUAAUUGCAAAAGCCUAAUUUAUUUCUUAAAACUUUAAAUCUAACUUUUGGAAGAGCCUUGGUUAACAUAUUUGGAAUUUGAUCUUCAAUCUUGCAAAAAAUAGACUUGACUUCACCAAUCUUCUGUUCUUCUUUCAAAUGAUAUCCAUCAAUCUUGUUGUACCAGGCCCUGGAAGUUUGUUUAAAACCACAUGAGGCCUUCUUUAACAUGUAGACUUUCUCCUCUUAUCGCUUGACUUGGAAUACAUCGGGUUGCUUUUCUCUCAUUGCUUCAAUCCACUUGUCAUCCUUCUCAGCUCCUUUAAACUCAGAAGACUCAAAUAUAGCAAUAUUGUACCUUUCAUAAAUUUUAGAUAAAGAUCUUAUGUCACGAACUGGAACAUCAUCGAUGUUGCCAUCAAAGUACUGAGGAGUCUCUAGCAAUUGGUUCAUUGUUGACUUCUCCUCCAUUAGAUUUAGAGCAAAACUUUUUGUUUUCAUUUUUACUUUGAAUACAUCUCUACCUUUUGAGUCUUUGAUCAAGCACCAUUUUUCUUCAAAUAUGAUAUUGAAUCCUUUUUCAAUCAACUACCCAACACUUAGAAGAUUUUGGUUAAUGUUAGGAACAUAUAGAACAUUAGUUAUGUGUUUCAAACCUAUUAAACUUUCAAUAACAACUGCUCUUUUUCCCUUAACUGGAAUAAACUCACUAUUUCCAAUUUUUAUUUCAGAAAUGAUAAUUUUAUCAAGUUCUUUGAAAAGUGUUGGGUCAUUGGUCAUGUAAUUUGUGCAAUCGCUAUUGAUCAACCAAGAAUCAUUGGAGAAACAUGUCGCCACAAAAAGGAACUUAUCUUCUUGUUGCUCAGUAGAUGCUUUUGCCUCUUCAUGUUAUUGAGAUUUACAGACCUGCUCUAUGUGCCCAAUACUAACACAUUUUCUGCAUUUAAUAUCAGACCUCCACCAACAUUUUUUUAGCAAGUGAUUUAUCUUCUUACAAUGUGGACAUAGUGGAUAUGUUUCGUUGUUGUUAUUGUUGUUGGUCUCAUCUUUAAUUUUCUUAUUUUUGCCUAUUGAAUUUUCAAACUUUACUUGAAAAGCACCCUUUACUGAUGCUUCUUGUCUUAUCUUUCUCCUUUGUUUUGGAGCCUCCAAUACAUUCACUAAUUAUGCCAAGGAUAUACUUGACAAAUCCUUAGAUUCUUCUAAUGAAUAAAUUUUAGACUUAUAUUUUUAGGCAAAGUGACAAGAAUUUUUUGCACUAUUCGAUCAUCGGAAAAAUCCUUACCCAACAAUCUUACCUUGUUUACUAUGCCCUCCAACUUGUCAGAAUAGUCUUUAAUGGUUUCUGUCUUCUUCAUUUUCAUCAUUUCAAACUCUUUGAUCAGAUUGAGCACUUGAAUAUUUUUCGUUCUUUCAUUGCCCGAAUAUUCUUUCUUGAGGUAGUCUCAAAUUUCUUUUGCUGACCCCAAACUCAUGAUUCUUGUAAAUAUUUUGCUUGAAACAGUAGAGAAAAUACAUGCUUUAGCUUUGGACUUCCUUGUCUUCUUCUCUUUGUGAGUCUCUAGUUGAUUCAUUGUUGGAUUUAUUGGAAAAAACGAAACAUCGUAGUCUUCUUGUACUGCUUCCAAAGAUCCAUUGCAUCAAGAUAGACUGUCAUUCUAACAACCCAAGCUUGAUAGUUACCACCAUAAAAAAUUGGUGGAACAAUAUGAGACAACGUUGUGUCAACUUCCAUGUCUAAAGCUUACGUGUUUCUCUCAACUAACAUAUCCCUUAAGAUAAAAGCUCUGAUACCAAUUGUUAGUAUUUUAGCAACAAUAUAAAACAUAAAAAAUAUGAAAGAAAGAUAUAUUGGAAACACACUAUAAUUUGUUGUAUUGUUCAUAUUAUAUAGUAAAAUAUUAACAAAAACCUGCAAAAGUUACUCCUAAAAAACAUGACACAAACACUUAACUUUCUCCUAAAAUGUAUGUAGCAUAAAUUUAAAUCCCUAAAGACUUGGUCUACAAACCUAUUAUUAAGCAAGUCUAAGGCACAUCUUCAACAUUCGAGAUUAAGAAAUUACUUUCCGUAAUAAUUUAUUAACUCAAUUCGAACAAUAAUGUUCAACAUAUUUUUUUAACAAAAAGGGAAGUAAAGAGGAAGGAGAUGAUGACUAAGAUGGUGACAAGUUGAUUGCUCUUACUAAUGGGAGUUUAUUUUACUUUUGGUUAUUACAAGCUUCAUUUCAUUUUGAGUAUUUCUUUUGAAAUAUUUGUAAUGACUAACUUUUCUAAUGGAUUGAUGGAUUUUAUUUUGGUGUACAAACACUUAUCUUCAUCUUACUUAGAUAUAAUGCUAGUACUUUGGUUGUUGAUACAAAUACUUAAAAGGCAUUAAUGGUUGAUUUACUUGAUUAUGUUUUAAGUUAAGUGUGAUGGAUAAGGGGAUUGUACUAAAAGGAAGCAUUUUUUGUUACUGUUGAUAAGCUUCCUCAUUUGAAUUGGUUUUGUUCAAAAAAUUGCCCAGAGAAAAAAAAUUGUAGAAGUAAGUUUCAAAAAUGGCUUGUGAAGUGCCGACGGUAAUGGCCACUAUAGAUAGCAUUGUAAUAGACUCCAUUACUUGCCAUGUUUAGAGUUAACAAUUUUUGAAACUAAAUAUUUGGCUUGAAAACGAUGAUGAUAUUAUGAAAAUAUCAACGUCCAACUAUGAAGAUCAAGUAAUUGGAUCCCUUGGAUUGUGGAGAUUGGAUCAAGAUAGCAUUAAGGAUAUAUCUCCAAUAGUCCAUAUUAUAUUAGUUUUUAUUAUUUAUUGUAUUUUGCUAGUUUAGCUGUUGAUGUUAAGGGACUACAUUAUAAUUGAUUUCGUAUGUUAGCAAAACUUAAAACUCUUAUAUAUUUAGGAGACUUGUAUAGAUUUUGUACCAAGUAUUGAGAGAACUUAUUUGUUCAUUUUAAGAACUUGUUUUUGAUAGCGCAUUUGAGAAAAUAAACAAGUUUGUUGCUUGGUUUAUUACCUAAGUUCUAGAUCUUUAAGUACAAAGGGAAGUUGUUAUACCGGGGUGUGAUAGGACUUUAAUCACUUGUUGUGUAAGGUUGAAAGAUAAUGAAUUUACUCAUUGAAUUAGGCUCCACAAGUGUAGGAGAAACAAAACUGUAUAUACAACCUUGUGUGUUCAUGUUACAGUGCCGCCUUCAAUGGGCACAACAAUAAUCACUUCCAAUCAAACACUCGAUUUUCUUAAUAAUUUAUCAACCGUCCAUUUCAACACUAUUAAUUCUUUUCAUAGAAUUUGAAAGUUAAUAUGAGACAUUGGGUUGGUAAGUACCAAGCAAAUCUCAACAUUGAAAUUGAACCAAAUUCAAUUAAUUUAUUCAAUCAUAAUAUUCAACAGAUUUAAAAUUUAAAUUUAAACAUCCAUAAUACUUUCUUUUAUAUAUAUAUAUAUUAUAGAAGAAGACAUCAACGCAAAAGCUCUAUUCCAACUACUCUUGGAUUUGUAGAGGUGAAGUAGACAAUACCAAUCCCAUCUCUAGGUGCACUCCUGGCUAAACCGUCAGCAACGAAAUUAGUUUCCCUAUAAAUGUGCCGAAGCACCACAGUCCAAACUCUAUAGCAUAAAGUUCCUGGUAUCCACUAUAAUCGAUAGAUUACAAUCUUCACAGUCCCCUGCUGGAGCAUGUUCAUGAGCUCUAAGCAGUCACGUUCUACUUGGAUCCGCCAAAACCCAUGAUCCCAAGCGGUUAUUAAUCCACCAUGCAUCGCCCUCGCCUCCUAUUGCAAAAUAGAGCAAACACCAAAGGAUUUGUUGAACCCAAUUAACCGGCUGCCAUCCUUAUCAUUUAAAGCUUUUUAACUAUGUUGGUGACACGUUCAAUAAAUAUAAUUUUAAAGGUAUUUUUGUUUUUUUAACUGCAAAUUGUUUGGGCAAUAUAUUUCAAAAGUUGCUUUCAAAUGCUUUAAAAGUUAGGUUACAUGGCCUGAAUUUGUCUUUAAAAGAAAGGAAAGAACAAAAUACAAAAUAAAUAAAGAAAAUUCUUUUUCUGUUCUGUAUAAUCUAUCUACUCCCAUUUACCCGUGGGGUGGGGGUUCUUCCAUUCAAUUUCAAAGGCAUUGAUAGAGGGCAGCUUCCACCACAUGAGUUUAAUCAUCGCCAACUAAUCGUGAGUAACCAAUAUUAAUAAAUAAUCUCCAUUCUUCUCAACCGCCAUAACUGCUCCAUCAACCUGCUAUGUCGGGUGAAAUGGGAACGUACACCUAAGCUAGAGACAAAGGGAUAUAUCUCCUUAGUAAGUUUCUACCAUGGGAGAUUACCACUUUACCCCCAAAUAUCAGGCCAUCGUUACGUUUUCUCUAUGAAGUAGCCUUGGAGACAUCCUUACUUGACCUAUUGUACUUCAUAUGGCUCUUAACUAGUUGCCCUGCUGCAAGUGCUGACAUGAGCGACAGCUCCCCGGCAAGAACAGCAGACGCUACAAUGGUUGCCAGCGUCCUAGAGUUUGCUCCUGGUGUCUCUUUGCUUGCACCCUUCACUCCAAGUAAGUUCAAACAGGCUGACUGAGAUGCAAGCUGUGUUCCACCACCAACGGUACCAACCUAAAAGAUACAGCAACAAUUAUAAUUAGGGACAUACAUAAAUACCCCGAUUCUGUUUUGGUAAUGAAAAUCCUUGUGAUGGAUAAUCAGAAGGCAACAUAAUCAAUUACCUCGAUGGAAGGCAUUGUGACAGAGAUGUGGAGGUCCUUGCCCUCGUUAACAGCUUCCAUCAUAGUGAUGCAAUGAGAGCUCUCCACAUUUUGAGCCGGAUCUUGGCCCGUAGCUAAGUAGAUUGCAGUGACGAUGUUACUGGCGUGGGCAUUGAAUCCACCCAGAGCUCCAGCCAUAGCUGAUCCAGUAAGGUUCUUGAGCAUGUUAAGCUCAACGAGAGAUUCCACACUUGUCUUCAAGACCUUCUUAAUCACAUCACCCUUAAUGAUGGCUUCGCAAACAACAGAUUUGCCUCGUCCUUCAAUCCAAUUUACAGCCGCUGGUUUUUUGUCGGAACAAAAAUUUCCUAUAUGGGCAAAUUCAUAAAUUUCAGUAAUCCUAUAUAGAACAGUAAAAACAUAGAAAGAACACAAUUACAAGUCAAAAAGUGAAACUCACCAGAGAUGCCAAUGACAUCCAUGUCAGGGAAAUCAGUUUGAAGGAAAUCCAAAACGUUUUGGACUCCCUUGGAAACCAUGUUCAUCCCCAUAGCAUCACCUGUACUGCAAGUGAAUCUAAUAUACAGAUUCUUUCCAGCAAUUGCACAUUUGAUACCUUGAAGCCUGCCAAACCUACUUGAUCUGCAACCACCAAAGAGUCAAAAUUUUCAAUAUUAGCUUGAAUUUUAAAUCCAUCAAUAUGGAGUUCUAGAAAUAUCAAAACAAACCUGUUGAAAACAACAGACAAGGUCUCGAAAUUAUCAGGGUCCUCCAAAUACAACUUCAAAUCAGCUGCCCUUUUCGCAGUACCGAACCUUACACAUGGAGCUCUAGUCAUACCAUCUUUCAAUAGAACACUUGUAGCUCCACCAGACAAAUGAAUAGCCUUACAGCCCCUAUUAGUGCUAGCCACCAAGCACCCUUCCGUGGUAGCCAUAGGAACCGAGUACUCUCUUCCAUUAACCAACAAAGGCCCAGCAAUUCCGACGGGAAUUUGCACGUAGCCAACCGGCAUCUCACAACACUGCCCUAAAAUCGACUCGUAAUCUAACCCAUCCAAGGGCAAUCCUGAUAAUGACUUCCCUGUUAAUCUUUGCAACGCUUCCCGCCUGAUUGCAGCCGCCCUCUUGCAAUCACCCAAUUUCGAUUCCAAGGAAUACGAAGGGGUUGUUCCAUCCACUACAGAUUUAAUUAGUUCUUCAUCUUCCUCCGUUGUAACCGUCACAGGCUGUUCAUCGAACACCUUCUGGGGAGUCACGAUUGGUGCGGCAGGAGGCAGAGGUGGAAGCGAGCAAUCGAGAGCUUGUCCACAAGGGACCUUACGGGUGUCUUCCUUUGCGAGCAGAACUUCAUUAUCGUCUUCCUCGUCCUCGGCAACCCAAACGUCAGGCGAUGGUUGGAAAACCAAGGAUUGAACGAAGUCAAUCCCAAAGAAACCCAAAAGGUAAAUAAAGGACGCGAAAAAUGAGAGAAGGGCGAUGAUGUCGGAAAAGGUGACGACAUGGAGAGCUGUGGAGGUACGGAUCUUCUCACGCCAACGGGAAAGAAGGAAAUAAACCACCGAGAAGAAGAGGGUGAAGAACAGGGCAUUCGUUAGGUGCAAGGGAAGCGGCAAUGCGUCUGAGGCUUUACCGUGAUCUUCCUCUAAAGGAAUCUUCUUCGUUGGCUUGAGAGAUUGAACAGGUUUAGUCGAAUACAGCCGGGGAGCCUCCAUACUGGGUGUCGACGGCAGCGGAAGCCCGGCAGUGGAGAAGGAGAAUAGAAGAGGAAUGGAAGUGAGAGAGGAUUUCAGUUAGUUUUACGAUUAUGGGGGUAGGUGCAGUUUGAGAUAUUGGAGUUUAGGGAGGGAAGGGGAUUAUUUAUAGGAUAGAGAAAAGAGUAGAGAGAGCGUAGUGUUUGGCACGUGUUAGUGCGGAGCUUUACCAAGUGACGAGUCAAAGAAAGAAUUUCAAGGGAAGUGUUUGGAAGCGUGCGUGCAGUGCAUGUGCAUGGUGGGGCAUUGCAUUUUCCUUUCAUUUGUUCUUUUCUCCUGCCAAAUUAUGAGAAUUUGGAGACGAUGCUGAUUUUAAAAAUAUAUUCAGGAAAAUUUACAAUUUUUUUUCUGAUAUUUCGAAAAAUAAACUGAUUUUGAAAAACCUAAUAAUAAGCUUAUUUUGUAGAAAGUGUUUUUUUUUCUUCUCGUAGGAUUACUUUUUAACUUUUUAAAUAUAUUGGUUCAUUUUGUUAGAUGAUUAAAUGUUAGUAGUUUUAUUCUUGAUUUUCAAGUUCGAUUUCUCUUCUAUUUACAUUUGUAUUUUUAUUUCAUAUUGUUUCAAGCUUUGCUUUAAUACAUUAGCUCCUCUUAUUAGAUACUUAAACAAUAGUGAUUUUAUCCUUUUAAGUCUUAGCUUCGAAUUUUCUUUUAAACACAAUUGUAUUUUUUUGUUUCACAUUGAAGUUUUUUAUUUAUUUAUUUUUAAUUAAUAAUUCUUUUAUUUAUAAAAUAAAAUAAUUAUUUCAAAUUAUAUAAUAUAAAUUAUAUUUUGAUGAAAUUGAUAUUUAUCAUUAUGUUAAAUAUAUUUUAUUUUUUAAAAGCAACAACUAUUUUGUUAUAUUUUUUUUAUAUAAAAUAUUUAGUUUCUCCACAUAUAUUGUGGGUAUGAUGAUUUCUAAUAUUAUAAAAUCAAUCAAUUAUUUCAAAUAUUAUUAUUUUUUCAUGUGCAUCGUGGGUAUGAUAUUUCAAAUAAUUUUAUAUGUUAAAUAUUUCAAUUAAUUAUUUUAAAUACAUAUACAAAGAUAUAUAAUACUAAAAUUUACUAUAUUCAUGAUAUGGAUUGAAAAAUAAACAUUACACAUAUAAAAAUUAUAUUUACUAAAGAUAAUGAUAUUUGACAAUAAUUAUUUGAUAUUUUAAAUAAAAUAAUUAUUAAUUAAAAAGAUAAAUAAAAAAACUUGAAAACAAUAUAUUUAUUAAUUAAAAAUAAAAAAAUUUGAAACAACAUGAAAUAAAAAAAAAGUACAAACUUUCUUAGAAGAGGAAUCAAACCUAAGACUUAAUGAUAAAAUCACUAUUAUUUAAUCAUAUAUACAAGGUAAAAUAAAAAUACAAACGUGAGUAAGAGAAUAAUUUAACCCAGAAUUAAUGAUAAAACCAUUAAUAUUUAAUUAUCUGACUAAAUAAAUUGAUAUAUUAAAAGAGUUAAAAGAACACGCGGUAUAAAAAGCGUUUGUUUUUUUAUUUGUUUCUCCAAAUUUAAACCUGCUAUUUUGAUAUUUUCUGUCACUUAUUUAGCAUUAUUCUGUCUUUAAAUUAUUCCUAAUUUUGGCUUGUUUUUCAUUAAUUAAUUCAAAAAGUUUAUUAUGAAUGUAUUUAAUAAAAAAGAAAUCUGGAGGUUUUUCUUUUUGCUCAUGAUUAAUUGGAUAAGUUUACAUUUUUACAAAAAACACAUUAAGACAAAGUCAGAGUGAAAAAAAUAAUUAAGCAAGAAAAAUUCAGAAAAAAAUUGACUCUUUAAUAAAAAAAUGUAAAGAUUUAUUUGUUUUAUUAUUGAAAAGAAAAUGCCAUUCUCAAUUAAUAUCAGUAAUAGUCAAAUUAAUUGGGACCAUUUUUCUUUGUCCUAAUUGGGACUAUUUUUUUUUCGCAUGUUUAUUUCAUGUUAUUUUUUAACAAAACUAAAGAAAAAAAAUUGACCAAUCUGAAUUCAAAAUAUAAUUAAAUUUUUUUAUAAAUACUUAUUAAAUUAAAGUCCAAAUUUGACGUUUAUAAUAUUUUAAUAUGCUCAAAUGAUGACUUUUUUAUAUUAAAUAAAAUCUAAUCCACAUUUUACCCCCUUCCUUAAAUUUCAGUCAGUCAAAUCACAUUAAAUUCAAAAUAGGAUGCAUAAUUAUUUAUUAUAUAUACAAGUGAUUGCAAUUUACAUGCAUAUAUGUAUAAUAUUAGUUCAUGCAGUCACCAAUAGUUGAAUAUUAACAUUUACAAUUAUUUCACUCAUUGCAAUGAGUCAAAAAACUAGUGCUUUGCCCUUUUCUUUUUCCCGAUAAAAUGUAUUAUAUAUAUAUUAGCAAUGCAAAGUAGAUAAUCUCAUAUUAAUCGAGAAAAGAUUUUUAAGAGGAUUUAAAUACAGUUUUACCUUUUAAUAUCAUUAUUAUUAAAGCUAAAGGUUUAACACAUAUGUGUUGUCAUCUCCUGCUUGACUCAGUUUGUGUUUACUAUAUGUAUUGUGUGUCUUACUAUUGUAGAAUAUUCUCAAUAGAGGAGGAAAAUCAUCUAUUAUUUUUAAAAAUUGAAAUUGUUAUUUUACUAUUUUAUUUUAUUUUAGUGUUUAAUGUACCUCCCACGAUAGUACAAGAAAAAUAAUAUGAAAUAGACGAUAAGAUUGAAGUAAUUUUCUUUUUCCAAAAUAAAAAGCAUGCAUGAGAAUUAUUCAUCACCAUGUGCUAAAGACUUGGACUGUUUAUCAAAUUUUUCUUCAAAAAAUCAUAUAAUUCGUAAUGAAAGUAUAUAUAUAUAUAAACAUAGUCAGGCCAACCAAUGUAGAAAAAAAACUAUCAUGAUAUCAUCUUUUCUUAUUGCCCAGUAUUUAUUUAGCAAAUAUUGACUGUAAUAUUGUCAUGAUUAGACCAUAUUAUUUUUGGACAAGAACAAGGUCAUUUCCACACAGGAAGAAGUGCAGUCCAUGCUCAUAGCCUGCUUAUGCAUUUACAGAAAAAAAAAAGGAAUUUAGGUAAAAUUUGAUGUUAAUAUUUCAGUGAAUAUUAAAUAGUUGUAUAUGAUAUUGAUAUUAUAGGUAGAUGAAUUGAGUUUAAGACGGUUCAACCUAUAAAUACCUUUAGCAUGUUUAUGUAAGGAAAAUAAUAUAGUUUUUUUACGAGUUUUUUAAUGAAGGAUAUUAUACCUUAAUUUCAUAUAAUAUAUGUGUAUUUAUACUAUUGUUUAAGUUUUUGAUUGGGCUAGUGUCACUCACAACCGGGUCACUAAAUUUAGUAGGAAAAUUAUUGAAACAUCCUUUCAUAAUUAAAAUAAGUUGCAUUAUUCGAAGGUAUUUUAGUCUUUUUAUUUUUAAAAAGCAAAUAAAAAUAUGUAUAUGGUGGAAUUUGAAUCCAAACUAAUUGGGUUAAAAAAAUAUAUUUAAUUUAUCACUCAACUAAAUUUCUUUAUUUUGAUAUUUUUAUACUUUUUUUAUUUUAUUAUGCAUAAUUUAUUUUAAUACCGUACAUAUUUCAUGUAUUAUUAUGUUUAAUUAGUUUCAAAUCAUACGUUUUAUUAUUUAUUAUUCGUAAACACAUAUUUAUAUUCUAAAUUUGUUGUUUCUACACGUAUAUGUGUGAGAUAAAGUUUCUAAUAUUUAUAAAAUAAUAUAAUCCUUAAAAAAGAAACACAAACUUCUAGGUAAGUGAGGUUUUUACCAAAUGACACAUGUUGGUAAUUGACACUUUUGGGUGGUUAUUGAUGGCAUUGUAAAGUCUUUUGAUCUUAACAUUAUGCAAAUCAAAACCUUAGUAUUGCACAAACAAUGCUUUUUGGAUAUUUAGAAUAAUAUGAUUAUCAUAAGUUUAACAAAUAUCUUAUGCGGAAUUGAAGUUGGUUAUUAGAUUUGACGAAGAACACUUGAUAUAUUGAUUUUUCUCUCUUAACAUUUUUCCUUUAAUUACACAAAUCCUAAGCAAUGAAGGCAAAUUUUUUAUGUAAGUGGAAUUAAUUUAUAAUGAUAAACUUUUAAUAUGAUCAAGUAACCUAAUGAAAUGAUAAAAUUUAAUUUCUAUUAAAGUAAAAUUUUUAGGCCUCAUGAUUUUAGACUUAUUGGGUCCACAUAAUUGGGCUUAAAAUCUUACAUUCUCUCAUUUGGUCUAAUCAGAUAAAACAUAAACUUUAAUAGAACAAUUGUUGAGUGCGCAUAAAAAUAAUAGAAAAUUUGUCAUUAAAAUUUGAUUAGGUUGACCUCAUAUAAUGUGGCAUAUAAUUAACAGAAAAUAAACAUGUUAAAUUGACAAAUUUUGAUAGAAACUACCAACGACAAUAAUAACCAAAUUAGAAUCUUUAAAUUAAAAAGAGAAGAUUGAAAUUUUAACUUUUAAAGUACAAGAACCCAAUCUCAAAUUCAUUACAAGUACAGGGACUAACAACACAUGUUAGCUUCUUCUUUUUUUGAGGUAAAAAAAAUAAUCAAUAUAUGACCAACAUGCAAUAAAAAUUUGUUUUAUUUUAAAUAUUAAAUUACUUUUAUUUUAAUUAAAAUUUUUAAUUUUUUUAAUUUAACAAUUGACCCGAGUGAUAAAGUACUUGCAAAUAAAUAUUUUGUGGGCAAAGAUUUAAUCAUUAAAUAUUACAUUUUUAAUUAUUUCAUUUAAGUAUUUUGUAUAAAAAUAGUAAAAGGCGAAAACAUUAAUACUAUAAUUGUGAGACACCUCACAUGCGAUCCAAUAGUCUAAUCCAAAUUGGCGACAUCACAUUAUAUUGUCAGAGUAACUCAGACUAACUAGAUAAACAAAUAAAUCACGUAUAAUUUCAAUUAAAUCACGUGUACAUGUUUAAUGAAUGUCAAUUGAUCUAGUUUAAAGUAUUUAGGAAUUGUACUUGAUCAAAUAUGGAGUUGGGAUUCGAAUCCAAACUCAUUUAUCCAAAUUUUAUAGGGAGUUUCAAGACAUGACCUUCAUGUCUCGAGACACUAAUAAAAUAUGGUCUACAAUGAACAUUUAAAUGUAUUCAAUCACAAACCAAUUCAUACUUAACUUAAACAAACUUUAUACCAAUUUCACAUGCAUGAAUUUAACAAACAAAUAUAUAACCAAAUAUCCGAACAAUUUAACAAUCAAGUCACCUCAACUUAAUGUAGUUAAAUAAAUGGCUUAAUACUUAUAUCCAUGCAAACUCAUUCAUUACUCAAGCAUUAAAACUCAACAAAAGAAACCUUAUAGGUCCAUAGCUAACCAAAACAUACCAUAUUGACCAAAACAAUAUUUAACUCGAGUUGAAUUAUUGACCUUAGAUGUUUUACAAUUUUAAUCUACUAAAAUCCUGUCCGAGACAUGUGCACAAAAACAAACAUAACUAUACGUUGAGUAUUAAAUACUUAAUGGUGCUAGCAUAAUCUGAAUUCAAAUAUAUAACAUUAAGCAAUUUAAUAUACUAAACGAAAACUUCAUUUAAUAGAUUCAAUGUCAUAAUACUAAGAUGGCAUUCUAGUAUUUCAUUUACCCAAUUUCAUAUGGAGCAACAAUCAUCCCGUAACUUUAUACCAUUUCAUUUAUUCACCCUCAUGGUAUUUAAGUAACAUUUACCUGUGCAAUCAAUUUUCUCCUCGUGAGGCAGGUUCAGACGUCACGAUAUCCAAAACAAUAUUGAAAUUGAAAGUCUUGGGGUCUCAGUGUCAUGAUACCCAUCUUUGGUAUCGCUAUAUCACUAGAGUUGACCUUAAGUUUUUUCACUUCAGCAUUGUCAGGGGUAUCACGACUUUCAUGGCCUCAAUGUCGCGAUACCCAGUUCUGAAUGAUAAUUUCUUCGAGUUCGAGCCAUUAUUGACUUCCUACACCAACUCAAUCAUAUCAUUAGGUCCCUCAUGACACCAUUUGGCCAACUUGGGUCUCAAUAUGGCAUAAAACUAAUAAAAAUCAUUAAUUAAUAACAAAAGCAAAAAAUCGACAAAAGUAAAGAAAAUACACUUAUAUUGCUUGAGAAUAAGUUCCUCGAGUGUAAUGGAAAGCCUAAUUUGACAUAUCAAAUUACGUUAGAUCACUUAUUCGAUACGAGUUCAAACCGUGUUACCCCCUUACCCUACCCCUAAUAUUGUACAAAAAAACUAAUUGCUAAUCUUCUAAUGUAGUCUCUGUACUAUAGUGCUUAAUGAUUUAUAUAAUUUAAUUACUAAAUAAUUUUAUUUCUAAUUUAUCUUUUAUUUUUUUAAUCUCGCACUCACUUUGUAAUUACUCUAUCAAAAUUUUGAACAACUCAAUUUAAUAAAUUCGAUCCCACAAUUAACUUUUUCAACAUAAAAAAAAUCGAAUCAUUACAAUAUUAUAAGAAAAAAACUUUUAAGUAUAGGUGUAGUUAGGAGUCCAUGUUUUUUUAUUUAUUUUUUUUAUAUUAAUCUAGUUUGAAGAAAAAACAAAAUAAUAAAAAGUAGCAAAUUCUAAAAAUAUCAUUUCCUAUAAAAAAAAAGUUGUGAAAUUAAAUUAUUAUCUUGAAAGAUGUUUUGGCGAUAUUAUAAGAAGUAUAAAUCAUGUUUUAAAAUUAUUUUGAUUUAAAUUUCGUCACGUGUAGACCGUAUUGAUCUAUAAUAUGUUUAGUUUGUGCUUUGUUAUUUGUUGGAGUUUUAACCAAAUUUUUUUAGUAAGUGUAGACUAAACUGGUGAACGAAAUAUAUCAUUAGGUACUAAAUGAGUAAAACAUUUUAAAUACCAAAAUAAAAAAUAUAUAAUUCAAGAGCUCAAACAUGAAUAAAGGCUAAUAAAUUUUGUGAUAAUUUUCUCUCACUUACUAUAGGCAAAAAAUUUCAAAAAAGAAAUUAUUUGAUAUAUUAUUUGUCGAAACCACCCUUUUUAUUUAAAAUUUUUAUGUUUAAUGAAAAAUGGGAAUCGACCUUUUGAAAAUAAAAUAUAGAGUCGCCACCAAUCUUUUGUUUUGGUGUGAUCGGAUCACAUAAGAAUUUGGUUAUUUUAAUAAAACAUUUUUGGUUUACUAAAACGACGAUUUUGGUCUACAAACUUUUGAGAAAACGGGUUCAGAGUCGGUUAAGCAUGAGGAAGGAUUAGCACCCUCACUACGCCCAAAAUUGAUACCGAAUCGAUUAAAUGCUGUCCUUAUGUCUAAAAUUUAAAGAUAUUUUUUUGAAAUGUGGUUCUUUUUUGUAAGACUUGAGUAACCCGAGUUGGUUGCAAAAAAUCUUCUUGUUUUGACUUUCGAAAGCUUAUAAUUCGAAAAUUACAAAAGGGUGCCCAACUAUUUGGUCCAACGAAAAACCGAAAUCCAGCACAGUAGGGCGCGAUUCCUCGAAUUUCCAAACAUUGAACAUUGCCUCACCUUAGAAAACACGAGUGAAAUUUCGAAGAGAUAUUCGAUUAUUUUGAACAAACGGGAGAUUACAACCCAACACGAUAGGGCACUAUUCCCUGAAUUGCCAAACACUGGACAUUUCUUUCGUUUUAAAGGGUUUUUAGAAAACGUGAGUGAAAUUCCGAAGGAAUCUCCGAUUGUUUUGAACAAACGAAAAUGCGCAACCCAGCACGAUAGGGCACGAUUUUCGAAUCGCCAAACAUCUAAGAUCACCUUCGUUUUGGGAGGUUUUUUAAUAAACAUGAGUGAAAACCUAAAGGAAUAUCCGAUUGUUUUGAACAAACGAGAAAUCACAACCCAGCACGAUAGGAAAUGAUUCCCGAAUUAUCAAACACCGAGUAUUGGCUUCUUUUUAAAGGAUUUUUAGAAGAAAUGAGUGAAAUUUUGGAGGGAUAUUCGAUUAUUUUGAGCAAACGCGAAAUUGCAACCCAGCAUGUUAGGGCACGAUUCCGCGGAUUGUCAAAAUAUCAAAUCUCAUCUUCGUUUUAAAGAAUUUUAAAUGAAUAAUUAUAAAACUAGCUUAAAAUGUAUUAAUGCAUUUUUGAAAUGAGACGAAUUUAACCAAAAAAAUUUGGGUUUAAAAAAAAACCAUAUUUCAUGAACUAAGUGGAAAACGAUGAUAUGGGGGAAUAUGUGUACACACCAAAACACGACAACGGAAUAGUGAAGGCAAUACAAUUUACUUAACCAACUAACGAGAACUUAAAUGACUAAGCAUAACUAGUUUGGAAAUAUAACUCAAUUUCAACCAUGCAUGGAGAAUAAUUAACAUGACGAUAUGAAACAAAUGAAUAAAUAAUAUGCAACGAAAACAUACAUGGCAUAAUAAAAAUUAUUACUAUUAGAUGCACAAAACAAAAUGCAGAUCAAAUGAGCAAUAUGGUGUAAAACUAUUUUAAAACAAUGAUAAGUACAUGACACAUACUAUAUGAAUUGAUGAAUUGACAAGUAAAAAAAAAAUUUGUUAAUGGCAAGCUUAAUAAACACACGCAAUCAUUAGAAUAUAUAUAAUAUAAAAGAAUAAUAAUGAAGAUAUAUGACAAGAUAUAAUACACAAAAUAGAUUUAUAAAACAUAUGUACAUGUAAGUUUAUAAAAAAAAACAUGAGAUUAAUAAUGAGAUAUAUAUAAAUUUUUAAAAUAGUUUCAUAUAUACAUAAUUAUUAAAACAUAUAUUAUGGAAUAAAUAUUUUUAAUCAAAUAGCAUACAAAAUAUUGAGGAAUAUUAGCUAAAAAAUGACAAUUUUCAUAAAAAAUUUUAAAAUAUGUAUCAAAGAUGAAAAGAUUACAAAAAAAAAAUGUAAAAUAAAACAUAAUCUUAGAAACAUAAUCAAUUUACACAUUGCGCAGAUAUAUAUAACAUUAAAAGUAAUUAUUCGUAAAAGCAUGUAAUACAUACAAAAUUAACUUGAUUUUAUUGUAAGUUAUAUGAUAGAUUUAAAAGCACACCUAUAUAGAAAGAAAACCAUACGCGUAGAAUACGCGAGUUUAAUAAUGUAUAGAUUAAAUGUGGUAUCCACAAUGCAUAUACAUAUAAUGAUAAUAACUUAAAAGAUAUUACAUAGGAUUAUAUGAUACAAUACGAGAAUAAAUUUAAAAAGGAAUCAUGUGCGUAAAAUAAUAUAAGGUUGAUUAAUAUAUACAUGCAAUAAAAUUAAUUUUGAUACAAAGUACAUAUAUAUAUGUAGCGACGUAAAAAUUUUAGCUUAGCUUGGUCGCUAAUUGUGGCGAUUUAUUGAAAUUUUUUUUGAAAUUUGACGUUUGAUUUUUGAAAUAAAUAGGGAGUCACCACCGAUCCUUUUUCCUAGGUGUGAUCGGACACCUAUUAGAUCUUUUAUUAAAACAAAUAAAAGGCUGAGUUUAGGUCUACGUUAAAAUCCAGAGAAAAUUUAGGGUUCGGGAGUCGGUUACGCACGAGGAAGGUAUUGGCACCCUCGCGACGCCCAAAAUUGGUAUCUUAUUAAACACAUGUUGUCUUGAUUUUCAAAAAUACGAAUUCAAUUUGACAUUUAAGUGUGAUCCGAUUGAAGGAAAUGAGAAGUUGCAAGUUUUUUUGUUUUUAGAAGGACGUCCCGUUUUUAACACGAGCCGAUUAAUUUCACCCAACAUAGCAAUGAAAUCGAUGACUUAAUGUUAAAAUUGGUACAUUGCCUUAUUCUUAAAAUUAAAAUGUAAAAAGUUUUUAAAAUGAUAGUAAAAAAAAAUCCAAGAAUAUUAUUGUCAAAAAAUGCGAACAAUGAUGGGAAUAAUAAAAUAUAUAAAAUAUAAAAUAUCAAAAUAUUAGAAUAAUAAUAAUUAAUAUUGACAAAUAAAAAAUAAAAUAGAAAUAAAAAAGAUGUACAUAAUAUAUAUAUUAGAAAUAAUAAUGAUGUUUAAAAAAAAUACUAUUAAUAAUACUACAUCAAUAUGUACAUAUAUAAAAAAUAAAUACAUGAUAAUAUUAAAAAUAUGUACAUAAUAUAGUGUUAAAAAUACAUACAUAAUAUAGUUAAGAUAUAUACAUAAGAUAACAUGUAGAAAAAAAAUAUAUAAAUAAUAUAAUAUUAAAGAUAUAUAAAUAAAAUAGUAUAAAAUAUAUAUAUACGUAAUAUAAAAUUUAAAAUAUACCUAAUAUAUUAAAAGAAUAUAUAUAAUAUAAUAUUAAGAAAUAUAAUAAUAACAAAAAAAGAGAGGGAGAGGGUGGGUGAUUUUCGGCCACAAGGCCGGCCAUCGUCCGGUCGCCGGACCGCCGCCGGCGCCACCGUACACGGCAGCCGGACCUCAAAAAAACUUUUUCGGUAAAAAUGGGUAAGCUUCCUCCUUUUAUUUUUACUUUCGUAUAAAAGAAACAAAAUAAGAUUGAAAGGAAAACAAUAAGUAAACAAAGAACUUAAAAUGAGAAUAGACAAAGAAACCUCUUUUGCUUUGAUUUUUGAUUAAUCUCCAAAAAAACUAGCUUCUCCAAAAACUAGCCUUCACAAUAACUCUUCUCCUUGAUUACUUUAAAAAGAAACCUCUCCAAAAAUCCUUUACAAUAAUUUUCUCUCCCAAAAACUCUAAAAAAAAAAAAAAUCCCCCCCCAUAUACAAAAUAUGAGAAGGCUUAUAUAGCCAUUUACAAAAUAUUUUUUUAUUUUUUAUGUCUUCAUUUGUAGGUACAAGUGAUGGUGGAGAAGGUGUGGCUAGUGGAGUUGGUGGUGGAAAAAGAGUGGCUAGUGGAGUUGGUGGUGGAAAAGGUGUGGCUAGUGGAGUUGGUGGUGGAAAAAGAGUGGCUAGUGGAGUUAGUGGUGGAAAAGGUGUGGCUAGUGGAGUUGGUGGUGGAAAAGGAGUGGCUAGUUGAGAAAAGUUUAAGUUGUGGGCUAGGUUUUUUUUUAUUUUGAUUUGGGCUUAGGGUUUGGGCCAUUGGGGUUUUGAUGUAAAUUGGGCUUUGGGUAGUUAAGAUUUUGGGUUUUGGGUUUAAUUUUGGUGGGUUAGGUAAGGCUAAAUUGGGUUUUGAUGUAAAUGGGCUAAAAUUGGCCUACAACAGCUGCCCCUCUUUGCUUGUUAUCGUGUAACGAGAAUAGAGCAAAGAUAUAAAGAAAGGCCAAUUUUGCCCGGUCUUGCUAAAUAUGGACUUCUUUGGUGCUCUUCUCAUCCAAGUAGUCUCUUUCCAGUCCAUCGCAUCUUGUAGCUUUGGUUCAAUCCACUGCAAAUUCGGAGAUAUGCCUUAUAGCUUCAAUCUGUUCCAAUGUAAUUCAAUAUGCUCUUCUAUUGCUUUAGUGAGAUAAGGUUUUGGGUCUUCUCUUCUGCCACUUUAGAAAGGCAAGAUCUGAUAUCCUCGAUCAACUCCACUGCAACUUCAGGGAGACAAAAUCUGGUGUCUUCAAUCAGCUCUAAUAUUGAUUCUUUACUCGGCAUGUGAUCCUGAGCUCAACUCAUUUCUCGCAAUAUGAAUUGACUCUGUAAAACUAGACAUUAAAAACAGAAAUUGAAAAUAGCUCAGCACGUGAGCCAAGGCUCAACUCACCUCUCGCAAAAGUAGAUUUUGAAAAUACCUCGACAUGUAAACCCAAGGCUCAACUCACAUCUCGCAAUAUGAGUUGAUUUUUGAAAAGCAGAAAUUCAAAACGCCUCAGCGUGUGACCCGAGGCUCAACUCACCUCUCGCAAUAUGAGUUGAUUUUUUUUGAAAAGCAGAAAUUGAAAAUAGCUCAGCACGUGAGCAAAGGCUCAACUCACCUCUCACAAUAUGAGUUGAUUCUUUUGAAAAGCAGAAAUUGAAAAUAGCUCAGCACGUGAGCAAAGGCUCAACUCACUUCUCGUAAUAUGAGUUGAUUUUUGAAAAAUAAAAAUUAAAAACAGAGUUUGAAAGACAGAAUUUGAAAAUACCUCGGCAUGUGACUCGAGGCUCAACUCACCUCUCGCAAUAUAAGUUGAUAUUUUGAAAAGCAGAAAUUGGAAAAAAACAGAAAUUGAAAAUACCUCAGCGUGUCUUGAGGCUCAAUUCACCUCUCACAAUAUGAGUUGAUUUAUUUUUUUGAAAUUAAAACACAAAAAUCGACAAUUCCUCAGCGUGCCCCGAGGCUCAACUCACUUCUUGCAAUAUGAGUUGAUUUUUGAAAAAUAGAAAUUGAAAUUACCUCAGCAUGUCCUGAGGCUCAACUCACCUCUCGCAAUAUGAGUUGAUUUUGACAAACAGAAACAGAAAUUGAAAAUACCUCAGCACGUGAGCCGAGGCUCAACUCACUUCUUGCAAUAUGAAUUGAUUUUUUUGACAAUAGAAAUUGCAAUUACCUCAACAUGUCCCAAGGCUCAACUCACCUCCCGCAAUAUGAGUUGAUUUUUGAAAAACAUAAAUUGAAACAAAAAAAUUGACAAUACCUCAGCGUGCCCCGAGGCUCAACUCACCUCUCGCAAUAUGAGUUGAUUUUUGAAAAACAGAAAUUUAAAAAUACCUCAGCGUGUCCUGAAGCUCAACUCACCUCUCGCAAUAUGAGUUGAUUUUUUUUUACGAACAGAAAUUGAAAAACAAAAAUUGAAAAGACCUCAGCAUGUGAGUCGAGGCUCAACUCACUUCUCGCAAUAUGAGUUGAUUUUUGACAAACAGAAAUUGAAAUUACCUCAGCGUGUCCCGAGGCUCAACUCACCGCUCGCAAUAUGAGUUGAUUUUUUGAAAAAUAGAAAUUUAAAAAUACCUCAACGUGUCCUGAGGCUCAACUCACCUCUCGCAAUAUGAGUUGAUUUUUUUUUACGAACAGAAAUUGAAGAACAGAAAUUGAAAAGACCUCAGCAUGUGAGUCGAGGCUCAACUCACCUCUCGCAAUAUGAGUUAAUUUUUGACAAACAGAAAUUGAAAUUACCUCAGCGUGUCCCGAGGCUCAACUUACCUCUCGCAAUAUGAGUUGAUUUUUGACAAACAGAAAUUGAAAUUACCUCAGCGUGUCCUGAGGCUCAACUCACCUCUAGCAAUAUGAGUUGAUUUUGAAAAACAAAAAUUAAAAGUACCUCAACGUGUCUUGAGGCUCAACUCAUCUCUCGCAAUAUGAGUUGAUUUUCCUUGAAAAGCAUGAAUUAAAAACAUCAAAAUACCCAAAACCUGUCCUUUGGUAGAACUCGGGUGUCUUUUCCUUUGAUUCAGUGCGACUCUCAUUCAAGAUUUCUUGCUCUGCUGGAGUACCUGUAUAUGUUAUGUAUGAUGUUAUCAUGAUAUGCACAUGUUUGUCUUAAAUGAUUUUAUGCCUACAUGAUUAUGCAGUGCUCCUUAAGCAUGUUUGUCGUAUGUCCAUUUAGCCACGAUUGUUGAGGAUCUGUGUUCAUUGCUUUGAUUCUCAACUUUCUCUUCAGGCCUUAUACCUGCCUUCAAGCUUCACGAGUAAUCGACGUUCCUCAGAUAUCACUCUUCUGCCCCCGAUUGAACUUUGUUCUUACUUUGAGACUCUUGUGCUUAUCAAAUUUUCAUCCAGGUAAUGCUUAACAUUUAUCUUGUUUAGAGUAUGUCAUUUCUCCAUUUAUCAUGUAAAUAAACACAUAAUGAGAUGCAUGAAAAAGGUCAGGUAGGGAAAAAUGAUAUUUCAUAUUCAUCUAUUUCAAAUGUGGCAAACAAAGCAAGUUAACCAAUGAGAGUAAAAAAUGUCAAAAAGAAAGAAAGGAUCGUAUUCAACGGAUACAAAUACUUUAGAUAUUCGACACAUGAACUCUUCCACGUUCCUCAAUCAAGAAUAUUUUCGAGUCUGGCUCUUUGCGUAGAAGAUUUCGAGCUUUCAGAAAUGCUUCAAAUACUGUAGUCUCACUGUUUGACCCGCUGUUAAAACGCCACGCUCUUUAAGCCAGGUUUACCUCAUUAGGACGCCCUCUCAGGUUUUCAUCCUAAUCUUUUGUGCUAAUCAAGACGCCUUUUGCGGGUUUUCGCCUUGAUCCCUCUUUUUUUUUGGAUGCCCUUUUCGGGUUUUCAUCUCAAGCAUAAUAUUUCUUCACAGCAUCUGAGUUCACUGGAUUCGGUAACUUCUUUCCAUCCAUCUUGGUAAGGAUCAAAGCUCCUCCUGAAAAUUCCUUCUUUACGACGUAUGGUCCUUCCCAAUUUGGUGCCUAUUUUCCUCGCAGGUCCUUUUGUAUUGGGAGAAUCUUCCUCAGUACGAGUUCUCUUUCGUGGAAUUCUCUUGGCCAUACUUUCUUGUCAUGGGCCGCGAUCAUUCUCUUCUGGUACAUCUGCCCAUGACAAAUUGCUCUUAGACAUUUUUCUCCGAUGAGGUUCAACUGAUCAUAUCGAUCUCGAACCCAUUCUGCUUCUUCUAACUUUAAUUCCAUUAAGACUCGCAGGGAGAGGAUCUCAACCUCAAUAGGUAGCACAGCUUCCAUUCCGUAAGCCAGAGAGAAAGGAGUUGCUCCCGUAGAUGUUCGCACAGAUGUGCGAUAUGCAAACAAAGCAAAUGGAAGCUUCUCGUGCCAAUCUUUAUAUGUUUCAGUUAUUUUCCCAAUGAUCCUCUUAAUAUUUUUAUUGGCUGCUUCAACAGCCCCGUUCAUCUUUGGGCGAUAGGGCGAGGAGUUAUGAUGCUUUAUUUGGAACUGCUCCCACACUUCUUUCAUCAUCUUAUUGUUCAGAUUCAUGACAUUAUCUGAAAUGAUUCUUUCAGGCAAACCAUACCGGUAAAUGAUUUCCUUUUUCAAAAACCUGCAAACUGCAGUCCUCGUCCCAUUGGCAAACGAAGCGGCUUCUAUCCAUUUUGUGAAGUAAUCGAUGACCACAAAAACGAAUCGAUGUCCAUUUGAUUCUUUUGGAGAAAUUGGCCCUAUGACAUCCAUGCCCCACAUAGAAAAAGGCCACGGAGAAGUCAUGACAUGAAGGGGUGAAGGGGCUACAUGAAUUUUAUCGCUGUAGAUUUGACAUUUGUGGCAUUUUCUGGCAAAAUUGAUGCAGUCAUUUUCCAUUGUCAGCCAAUAAUAACCGAGUCUCAUGAUCUUUCUGGCCAUAUUGAAACCAUUGGCAUGCAUUCCGUAAAUUCCCUCAUAGACCUCUUCAAGUAUUUUUCUGGCUUCAACAUCAUCCACACAUCUCAAAAGCAUCUGAUCCUUUCCUCUUUUAUACAGGAUAUCCCCAUCAAGAACAAAUCCCGCUGCCAUUCUUCUAAUUGUUCUUUUAUCGUUCUCAUUCGCUUGUUUGGGAUACCUUUGAUUCUUGAUAUAUUCUAAGAUAUCAUGGAACCAAGGUCGUCCGUCUACUUUUUUCUCAAUGCUACAACAGUGUGCAGGGACCUCGUAUAUGCUCAUUUUGAGGGGCAUUAUUUCUACUUCUCUACUUGCUUUGAACAUUGAAGCCAAAGUGGCUAGGGCAUCAGCCAGUUGGUUCUCUUCUCGUGGGAAGUAAUGAAAAGUUAUUUCUUUAAAUUCCUUGAUCAAUCCAGCCACUAAAUCGCUGUACUUAAUCAAUUUUGAGUCCCUCACUUCCCGCUCUCCACAGAUUUGGUAAAUCACUAGGGCUGAGUCCCCGUACACCUCCAAGAUCUCGAUGUUUCGUUCGAUAGCUGCACGAAGCCCCAUGAUACAGGCCUCAUAUUCUGUGAUAUUAUUGGUACAGAAGAAGUUCAGUCUUGCAGUGAACGGAUAAUGAUUCCCGUCUGGUGAUACCAGGAUUGCUCCAAUUCCAUGCCCUAAAGCAUUUGACGCACCAUCAAAGCACAUCUUCCAUGACUUCUCUUUUGAUGACUCGGAUUCCAUUUCUGUGAUGCACAUUAAGUCUUCGUCUGGGAAAUCAAAUUUCAAGGGCUCAUAUUCCUCCGUCGUUCGAGUCGCUAAGAAAUCAGCUAUUGCGCUCCCUUUUAUCGACUUCUGACUUACAUAGGCAAUGUCAUAUUCUGAUAGGAGGAUCUGCCAUCGUGCCAUUCUUCCUGAGAGUGCCGGUGAUUCCAUCAUGUAUUUUAUUGGGUCUAGCUUUGAAAUUAGCCAUGUCGUGUGAUACAACAUAUAUUGUCUGAGUCUCCGAGCUACCCAAACCAGAGCGCAACAGUAUUUUUCAAUGGACGAAUACUUUGCCUCAUAUUCAAUGAACUUUUUACUGAGGUAGUAGAUCGCCUUUUCUUUCUUUCCUGACUCGUCGUGUUGCCCCAGUACGCAACCCAUUGAAUUUUCAAACACAGUUAAAUACAAUAUCAAUGGUCUUCCCGGAGUUGGUGGUACUAGCACUGGAGGACUAGACAAAUAUUGCUCUAUUUUAUCAAAGGCCACCUGGCAUUCCUCAUUCCAUUCUCCAGGGUUAUGUUUUCGAAGAAGUCGAAAGAUUGGGUCGCAUUGGUUGGUAAGCUGAGCGAUAAAUCGGGUGAUGUAAUUUAAUCUCCCUAAAAAUCCUCUAACUUCCUUUUGCAUGCGCGGAGACGGUAACUCUUGAAUGGCUUUUAUUUUAUCUGGAUCAACCUCGAUACCUCUUUCACUGACAAUGAAGCCUAGCAACUUCCCCGAGGUAGCCCCAAACGUAAAUUUGGCUGGAUUGAGCUUUAACUGGAACUUUCUCAGCCUGUCGAACAACUUCUUGAGAUUCACUACAUGCUCUUCUUCCCCUCGGGAUUUAGUAAUCAUAUCGUCGAUGUAGACCUCUAUUUCUUUAUGCAUCAUGUCAUAGAAUAACGUCACCAUAGCCCUUUGAUAUGUUGCCCCAGCAUUCUUUAACCCGAAUGGCAUCACCUUGUAGCAGAACGUUCCCCACAUUGUUAUGAAGGUAGUUUCUCCAUAUCCUCAGGGGCCAUCUUGAUCUGAUUAUACCCCGAGAAUCCAUCCAUGAAAGAAAAUAAUGAAUGUUUUGUUGUGUCGUCCACCAACGUAUCAAUAUGUGGCAAGGGAAAAUUAUCUUUUGGGCUUGCUCGAUUCAGGUCACUGUAAUCCACGCACAUUCGUACUUUGCCAUCUUUCUUUGGUACCGGGACUAUGUUAGCCACCCAUUCUGGAUAUUUGGAGGCUUGUAGGAAGCCAGCAUCAAAUUGCUUCUUGACUUCCUCUUUUAUUUUCAACAGCAUUUCGAGUCUCAUCCGUCUUAAUUUUUGCUGGAUAGGCUUGCAUUCUGGCUUUAAUGGGAGCUUGUGGACCACUAAAUCUUCAUAUAGCCCUGGCAUAUCCUGGUAUGACCAUGCAAAAACAUCUUUGUACUCGCGGAGCAGAGCGAUCAAAUUAUGCCUAGUGCUCUCUGAAAUAGAAGUCCCAAUUUUCACUUCUUGUUUCCUUUCUUCAGUGCCCAAGUUUAUUGUUUCCACAGAUUCUUCAUGAGGCAAAAUCUGUUUAUCCUCUUGUUCCACCAUUCUUAACAAUUCAGGAGAUGAGACAUAGUCUUCAGCAUUUUCUUCGGCUUCGAAUUCUCCUAAACAAACAGCCUUCUCAAAAUCGAUUUCAGGACUCGUAACGGGUUUGUUCAUGCCAUUGAUAUCUGAGCACCUGAAAGUUGAAUGGAAAAGGAAACUAUAGAGGGGCAUCCAAGUAUUGGAACCAACAAACGAAAUGUUUUGGCAUGGUAUGAGGCAAAUGUACAGAUAGGCUAUGAAAUGAGGAGAUGAUUAUGAAAUUAGUGAUAAUGCGAAAGAUCGUGAUAAAAUGCAUCUUCAUUGAUAUUCAUUUAAAUGAUAAAGAGUGAAUGCAAGCUCUUACAAAAGAGUUCUAUUAUAUCUAAGGACACAAUAGAGGGUUAAUGUUUGAGCAUUACUCUGAAGACUUAUAAACUACAAGAAGGUCCUCGGCAGUCCAAUUGUUCAACAUGAAACCAGGAGGACAAGGGUGUAUCCUCGAGACAUCUUUACUCACAUCAGCCCCUUUGUCAAUAACAUUUAUACUGACAUUUUGAAGACCCUUUUCAAUUAACCAUAGCGUGUUUCGUGGACCAUCUUGUCCAGGGUACAUCAUUCCCGCAGAUGUAAAUGUUUUUGACAAAGGAGGGUACUCUAUUGGUUCCCAUUCUGGUUCUCGGCCCAAAGUUCUUGCAAUCCUUCUUUCCUGAUCUUUUUUCCACUGUCUUCUUCUUUGACGCAUGUCAGGCUAGAACCCCAAACCGUAUCGGGCCCUGUGGUGCACUGGCUUUAAAGCCCUGACUAUUCUUUGCAGAUAUCUCCCUAAACCUCUUCUCGCUCGAGCUCCCUUUCCUACGGUCAAUUUGACACCUAUUCUAGUAUUUCUUGACAGUUUUGGCACCAGAAUUCUGUUUCUCUCAACAACAAAAGUGGCAUUGACGAAUUCAAGGGAUCGGAAGGAACAUUCUAAUGCAUCUUUGUUCACUUCCAAGUACGGUGCAUCGGCAGAGACGGAUGCGACAAUGUCUUCUUCUCCCUUGACAGUGACCAAACAACCGUCCAUGAUAAAUUUCACCUUUUGAUGGAGGGAUGAUGGGACUACUUCAGCAGAAUGGAUCCAGGGUCUUCCCAAAAGGCAGUUAUAAGAGGGUGUAAUGUCCAUGACUUGGAACUUGACAUCAUAAAUGUAAGGGCCCACUUCCAAAGGGAUUUCGAUCUUUCCCAUGACUUCGCGCCUCGUCCCGUCGAAUGCCCUUACCGUGGAAUGACAGGGCCUUAAGUAGGACAAAUCCAUCGGUAUUCUAGAAAGCGUGGCCAAUGGCAUAACAUUUAACACUGACCCAUUAUCGAUGAGUACGUUCGGUAUUAUGUAGCCCUUGCAGUGAGUCGUGAUAUGUAGCGCUUUCACCGAGCCUCUACCAUUUGGCGGUAUCUCAUCAUCACUAAAAGAGAUGAAAUUAUCUGCAUUUAGAUUAUUUACCCACCUAUCAAGCUUCUCAAUGGAUAUGUUGUUGGCCACAUAAGCUUGAUUUAACACCUUCAAUAAAGUAUUCCGGUGUGGCUCUGAAUUUAACAGUAGAGAUAAAACUGAGAUUCGUGCUGGCUGCUUACUCAAUUGUUCCACCAUACUAUACUCGCUGUGCUUGAUAAAUUUCAAGAAUUCUUGAGCUUCUUCCUCAUUCACAGGCUUUUUGGUUUCUUGCACGGGUGGAAUUUCUUGCUCGACUUCGACUUCGUGCAUCACUGCUUUUCCUUUCUGUUUCAAGUCACUGUUCUAUUUUAUCUCCUUCAAAUAACAUCUUCCACUACGAGUGAAAUGACCUACUUCCCCGACGCUUCCAGUUAUGGCUUUGGGUUUUUCAUCUUCAGGUGUGACGAUAUUAACGUCAUAUUUCCAUGGUACUGUUUUAUUGUCCUUGUAAGGGAAAGGAGACGGUACUUAAAUUAUCAUUUUUGAUUUCACCAGUUCCUUCCUUGCAUCGUAAUAAAUUACGAAUGGUCGAUCGGCGCUAUACGGACAACCUGACGAUUGAUUGUCAGAGGCACAUACUUCUUUCUCAUUGGCCCCUCCUUCAUUAAUGAUCUCAAUCUCCUUAUUAUCUAUCCGGUCUUGCAGUAACCUUUUAAAUUCCUCACAUGAUUGAAUGUCGUGCCCUACAAUUCCAUGAAAAUCAUAAAGAACCUGACAUUCUUUUCUGAGAUUAUCGCCGGGGCGACAGAGCAAUCCAUUCUUAACCAGUGCUUCUCAGAUUUUCUGCAGAGGCGUCCUUAUUUCUGAAACACAUCUUCUGACUUGCCAUUCAUCUUCUUUCCCCACUGUGCUUACAUUCCCUUCAGUAUGGUUAGGGAACGGGUUCCCAGUUACAUUACUGGUACUAUCGAAUCAUAGGAUACCCGCAUCAAUUAGUCCUUGAACUCUCCUCUUAAAGGCUAGGCAAUUUUCCGUGGAAUGUCCCUGGUUUCCCGCAUGGUAUUCACAACUAGCGUUUAGGUCGUACCAUUUCGGGUAUGGGGGCCUCAAGGGUGCCAUAUAAUGCGGGGAUAUCAAUUGCUUCUCCAAAAAUUUUGGGUACAGUUCCCCAUAUGACGCAGGAAUAGGGGUAAAUUGUAGUCUUUCGGAAUUGGGUUUUACUGGCCUCUGCUCAUUUUUGGGUUGACCUUGGGCGGGUAUUAUAUUUUGUGGGAAUGUGGUGGUUGGUCUCGGGUUACUUGUGGCGUAAACGGGGUAAGAAGAGUAAGGAGGCGGUGUUUGGUAGUAAGGGGUUUGAGGAGGGUAAUAGAAAUUCGGAGGUGGAUAAUUUCGAGGUCGAGGUUGGUUUGGAUAUGGGUUAGGGGCAUAACGGCUUCCCAUUCCCACCAUGUGGGUUUCUGGUUCUUUCUUCUUCAUGGGCGCUGCCCUUCUUGAACUUUCUUGACCUUCCAUACUACCGCUCUUGACAGCAUUCUCUAUAAGCUCACCGGAUAUUACAAUAUCCGCAAACUCCUUCGUGGCACUUCUCACUAGUUUGUAAUAAAACGGCGCCUUUAAGGUGUUGAUAAAGAGAACGGUUAUCUCCGUUUUUGUUAGUGGGGGUUCCACUUGGGCCGAGACGUCUCUCCAUCUCUGCACAUACUGUCUGAAGGUCUCUGAUGGUUUUUUCUCCAUCAUUUGCAAGGUCAUCCGGUCUGGCACCAUGUCUGAUACAUGCUUGUACUGCUCGCAGAAUGCAGACGCCAAGUCCUUCCAGGAUCGAAUCUUUUCUCUACUAAGUUGGUUGUACCACCGAAGAGCUGACCCUGUUAGCUAUCUUGAAAGCAAUGUAUGAGUAGCUUAUCCUCGUUCACAUAACCGGUCAUUUUUCGGCAAAACAUGACAAGAUGCGCCUUUGGACAUCUCGUGCCAUCGUAUUUUUCGAAAUCAGGCACCUUGAACUUCGAAGGCAGAACUAAAUCGGGCACCAAACUGAGCUCUUUGGCACUUAAUGCAGAGAAGGCUUCAGUACCCUCUAUUACUUUGAGUCUUUCCUCUAAGCUCCUAUACUUCUCUUGAGCCUCACAAUCGUCCGUUCUCAACCUGGCUACUUCCGCUGGAUCGUCCGAAUCUGGAAUAAUUGGAUUGGCAGGAUUAGCCUCAGAAUUUGAUAUGAAUAUUCCUUGCCCUAAAUGAGUAUAUGGCACCAGCCGUUGCUCUGGGUCUGUGGGUUCUCCUUGGGUGUACCCUCUUUGUGCUGCGUGGGCGUGUGGUGGAGUGAAUCCGGGGGGAUAGAGCGGGUCUUGAUUGUGAUUAGCUAUUGAUCGAGAUUCCUCAAUGUCAGGGCUCUGCAUGGGUCCCUUUCCUUUAACUAAAGCUGACAUCAUCUCCAUCAUCUUGGCCAUUUGAUCAUUCUGUUCAAGCGAUUCUUCUCUUGAUCUCACCAUUAAGUCUCUCGUCUCUUGCUGUGACCUAGCCAACUGCUCUUGCAAUUCCUUUUGAAUUCUCUCCAUCCUUUCAAUCCUUUCAUUGAAUUCGGCCUCCAUUACUCUAGUUUGUCGGCGCGUUCUAUACGAAUGACGUGGUUCCAGUCUUGUGGUAUUACAACUGCGAAUUAUAUAUUUUAUCUUCAGCGACCGAGUAUGGGAUAUGCAAUGUAUGAAUGAAUGCAUGAAUGAAUGCAUGAAUGUUAAAUGAAUGUCAGUCAUGAAUGAAUAUGCAAAAAUUUGGUGUUAAUUUCAAGAUAGCCCCUAUUUAGGCAUUUCCUUAAUCAAAGGAGUAUUACACAACGUUUCGGUCACUCUUAUAAUUGACUCCUCCAUUAGAAACCCGUUUUUGGCAACCAAUCUCUAAUCAACACCUUCCUAACAAGAUGCCUUCGAUGCAUGAUGAAAAAUAAAAAUACAGAUAAACGACCUUGGUUAGCGCAACACAUAUAAACAGAGAAAAACUGUGGAAAAUUUAACAAAUUAAGCUACUUGGUCCAGUAGACUCGAUUCCCUUGCUUAGAAAGCACAAAUGUAAAAGAAAUAGAAGGUAAGAUGUGCUUUUCCCGUGUACUUAUUUCGGUGACUACUAAACGAGUGGAGGUUCGGCAUGGCUCUAGUUGGGUGGCUCGUAUGGUUCACUAUAUGCGGUUUUGGUUCUAGACAGGUACUCGAAUUACUCGUACUAUCAUCUGCUAAGAUUAGCACGAAGCCUCGGUCAUAACCCAUCACAGGCUCACGAGUUCAAUUCGAGGGAUUACAUUUACUUAUGCUUAUGCGGAGGGACAAGUUAACUCACGAAAGCAUAAGUCAUAUGUAACCCGAAAGUAUUCACCAGCCUGUGCGGAGGGACGAGUUAACUCACGAAGGCAUAGCGUUUACUUUCACUUAAACGGACAGAGCCCGGAUAGAGAGCUUAUGUUAUGCAAAAUGCAAGUGCACGGUGUGUGGGAGAAACUUGCAAUCCUUCCAUUUAUUUUAAAACUACAAAACUAAAACGAAAGAUAAAACAAAUUAGGAGAUACGUAUGUAUGAUUUUUUUGAAAACAAAACUUAAGGAUCAUGAUUAAAUAUUAAUUUGAACAUGGAAAUUUGAAAAUUUUGACAACACGCGUUUAAUUCCAGACACGACUCUCAACAAGGCUGUCUCCAGUGGAGUCGCCAGCUGUAGCGACGUAAAAAUUUUAGCUUAGCUUGGUCGCUAAUUGUGGCGAUUUAUUGAAAUUUUUUUUGAAAUUUGACGUUUGAUUUUUGAAAUAAAUAGGGAGUCGCCACCGAUCCUUUUUCCUAGGUGUGAUCGGACACCUAUUAGAUCUUUUAUUAAAACAAAUAAAAGGCUGAGUUUAGGUCUACGUUAAAAUCCAGAGAAAAUUUAGGGUUCGGGAGUCGGUUACGCACGAGGAAGGUAUUGGCACCCUCGCGACGCCCAAAAUUGGUAUCUUAUUAAACACAUGUUGUCUUGAUUUUCAAAAAUACGAAUUCAAUUUGACAUUUAAGUGUGAUCCGAUUGAAGGAAAUGAGAAGUUGCAAGUUUUUUUGUUUUUUAGAAGGACGUCCCGUUUUUAACACGAGCCGAUUAAUUUCACCCAACAUAGCGAUGAAAUCGAUGACUUAAUGUUAAAAUUGGUACAUUGCCUUAUUCUUAAAAUUAAAAUGUAAAAAGUUUUUAAAAAUGAUAGUAAAAAAAAAUCCAAGAAUAUUAUUGUCAAAAAAUGCGAACAAUGAUGGGAAUAAUAAAAUAUAUAAAAUAUAAAAUAUUAAAAUAUCAAAAUAUUAGAAUAAUAAUAAUUAAUAUUGACAAAUAAAAAAUAAAAUAGAAAUAAAAAAGAUGUACAUAAUAUAUAUUAGAAAUAAUAAUGAUGUUUUAAAAAAAUACUAUUAAUAAUACUACAUCAAUAUGUACAUAUAUAAAAAAUAAAUACAUGAUAAUAUUAAAAAUAUGUACAUAAUAUAGUGUUAAAAAUACAUACAUAAUAUAGUUAAGAUAUAUACAUAAGAUAACAUGUAGAAAAAAAAAUAUAUAAAUAAUAUAAUAUUAAAGAUAUAUAAAUAAAAUAGUAUAAAAUAUAUAUAUACGUAAUAUAAAAUUUAAAAUAUACCUAAUAUAUUAAAAGAAUAUAUAUAAUAUAAUAUUAAGAAAUAUAAUAAUAACAAAAAAAAGAGAGGGAGAGGGUGGGUGAUUUUCGGCCACAAGGCCGGCCAUCGUCCGGUCGCCAGACCGCCGCCGGCGCCACCGUACACGGCAGCCGGACCUCAAAAAAACUUUUUCGGUAAAAAUGGAUAAGCUUCCUCCUUUUAUUUUUUACUUUCGUAUAAAAGAAACAAAAUAAGAUUGAAAGGAAAACAAUAAGUAAACAAAGAACUUAAAAUGAGAAUAGACAAAGAAACCUCUUUUGCUUUGAUUUUUGAUUAAUCUCCAAAAAAACUAGCUUCUCCAAAAACUAGCCUUCACAAUAACUCUUCUCCUUGAUUACUUUAAAAAGAAACCUCUCCAAAAAUCCUUUACAAUAACUUUCUCUCCCGAAAACUCUAAAAAAAAAAAUCCCCCCCAUAUACAAAAUAUGGGAAGGCUUAUAUAGCCAUUUACAAAAUAUUUUUUUAUUGUUUAUGUCUUCAUUUGUAGGUACAAGUGAUGGUGGAGAAGGUGUGGCUAGUGGAGUUGGUGGUGGAAAAAGAGUGGCUAGUGGAGUUGGUGGUGGAAAAGGUGUGGCUAGUGGAGUUGGUAGUGGAAAAAGAGUGGCUAGUGGAGUUAGUGGUGGAAAAGGUGUGGCUAGUGGAGUUGGUGGUGGAAAAGGAGUGGUUAGUUGAGAAAAGUUUAAGUUGUGGGCUAGGUUUUUUUUAUUUUGAUUUGGGCUUAGGGUCUGGGCCAUUGGGGUUUUGAUGUAAAUUGGGCUUUGGGUAGUUAAGAUUUUGGGUUUUGGGUUUAAUUUUGGUGGGUUAGGUAAGGCUAAAUUGGGUUUUGAUGUAAAUGGGCUAAAAUUGGCCUACAACAAUAUAUAUUAAUAUUUAAAAGAGAUUGUAUAAGAAAAUUAAAAGAGUUUAAUGCAAAAAGAAAUUCGAAGUGGUUAUUUCAUAAAACAAAACAAAAUCAUGCAUGUACAAAUGUAUAUGUAUACAACAAAUAUAAUAUAUUAAAAAACAAGAUAUUGACAUGAUAAAAAUCUUCAAAACAACUGUACAAAUAAGCAAAUAAGAAUAAAAGGUUACAAGCCAAAAGGAUUUAAUUAGAAUCGAUCCAAAACGAAAGGGAUAAUCUGAAAAUAAAGUAAUAAUAAUAAAAGGAUCAAUAUUCAAUGCGCGAAAACGCAUAGGGACUAAAACUGGCAAUAUACCAGAUACCAAAACGUUACGUUUAGGCGCGGAUUAGAUUGGAAACAAAUUUAAAUUACAAGGAAAAAAUUAAAAAAAAUAAAAAAGGAGCAGAUGGGCCGAUUUAAAUGCGGUGCAAAAGUGGAGGGAUUUAACUUGCAAAUAACCCCUCACCGCAAUGACGCGUGGAUCCUGAGAGUCAAAGAACCAGAUCGGGUCGGGCAGAAAGGGGGUGGCCUAGACGAUGUCGUUUGAGACCAUUUUUAUUGGUCUAAACGGUGUCGUUUCUACUACCAUAAAAAGGCUAAACCAUGCCUUCAUUCAGCCGAAACCCUAGAGUAACCCUGGCUUUUCUUUUUUUCCUUAGCUGAACCCUAAGUCACUGCCCCAAACUGACGAUUCUCAUCCCCCAGGCACGAAUUACUCACCCAAUCCCGAAGGAUGAUUUUUAGCCUCAAAAUCUCCUCCUGGCCUCGACUUUAACAAAGCAGAAGGAGAUCUACGGCGUACCCCCGGUAAGGUUUCGUUUCUUUUUUCUUUUAUGCACUCAAAACUUGAAAGAACGACUGAAGAUUCAGAAAUAAAUGAACUGGGCUAAGGAUAAAAGAAAAGCCUCAGAGAUUGGAAUCGGAAUCACCUUCGAAUGCUCGUUGCUUUUUUUGUAUAUUGCCUUUGUUUUUCAUUUUCUAUUGCUUCUGUAUGCGUAAAAAAGGGGAACCCCUAUACAAUAUAAAAUCCUCGGUUUUAUAGUCGAAUGUUCAAAAAAGAAAUAAAAGAAUACAAUUUUUGUUCUUUUUUCGUAUUGGCCAUUAUUGCUGCUGUCGUUUUGUCCGUUUCUUUGCAGGUACAAAGUGUGCGUUGGUGCUCGGGUACGGGGCUGUGUGUUGGCAUCGUACGGAGACUAUGCUGGCGCGGACGUGGCUGCUGAACGGUACAGAGCAUACGACGCUGGGGCUAGGCUCGUCUGCGGUUACGGCGCGAAAGUGAGGAGGAAGCUCUAGGGUUUCUUUUCUCAAAAUACUGGGCCUAACGGGCUAGUAAUUGAUAUUGUGCUGUAGGGCAUUGAUUAAUGGACUGUUUUGUUUAUUUGGGUUUUAUGUUUAAGUUUGGGCUAUUAGGUUUGGGUUUAAGUUUAGGCCAUUGGGUUUGGUUUUAGGAUAUUUGUAAAUGGACAUUUAUUUAAUUAUUGGGUUUUUUACUAUUAGGUUUGAGGUUAAUGGGCCGGGCAAAUUUGGCCCACUACAGUUGCCCCUCUUUGCUCAUUGUCGUGUAACGAGAAUAGAGCAAAGAUUAUAAAUGGGCCAAUUUUUCCAGGACCUGCUGAGUCUCGAUUUCUUUUGGCGCUUCUUUUCUUCAAGUAACUUCAAUAUGCCCCACUGCAACUUCAAGGAGACUCGGUUCACGUGUUUUUAUCCUGCUCUACUGCAACUUCAGAGAGAUGAGAAUUGUGACUUCGACCUGCUCCACUGCGACUUCAGGGAGACAAGAUCUUGCAAUUUUCGGCCUAUUGCCCUACUACUUAGGGGGUUAAGGCUUGUUUUCUUCGAUCUGCUCUACUGGAGACGAGAUCUGCAAUCUUCGGCCUACUCCGCUACAACCUUAGGGAGCUAGGAUAGUGGCUUGAAUCUUGCUUCACUGCAAUUUUAGGAAGGCUAGAUUCACCGUCUUUGAUCUGCUCUACUGCAACCUCAGGGAGACAAGAUCUAAAAUUUCAGCCUACUCCACUACAACUUUAAGGAGCUAGGUUGGUGGCUUAAAUCUGCUUCACUGCAACUUCAGGAAGCCAAGAUUCGCCAUCUUCGAUCUGCUUCACAGCAACUUCAGGGAAAUAAGAUCUAAAAUUUCAGCCUACUCCACUACAACUUUAGGGAGCUAGGUUGGUGGCUUAAAUCUGCUUCACUGCAACUUCAGGAAGCCAAGAUUCGCCGUCUUCGAUCUGCUUCACUGCAACUUCAGGGAAACAAGAUCUAAAAUUUUAGCCUACUCCACUACAACUUUAGAGAGCUAGGUUGGUGGCUUAAAUCUGCUUCACUGUAACUUCAGGAAGCCAAGAUUCACCGUCUUCGAUCUGCUUCACUACAACUUCAGGGAAACAAGAUCUAUAGGAUUCGCCAAUGUCACUACACUGUCUUCUAAAGACAUGAUUUGUAAAAUUGGUUUCCUGUAUCUGUGUAUGUCAAAUAAUUAGGAUGCUAUGAUCGAGAUGAAUUAAAUGUCUCUAACUAGAUAUGGUGUUUAUGUCAAAUAAUUAGAAUGUUAUGAUCGAAAUGAAUCAAGUGCUCCUAACUAAAUGAAUGAUUAUGAAUGUAGAAAUGUCAUGAGAGUAACUCCUUUUUAAACGCUUAAGCUAUCAUUGCUCAUAGUUCCUCCGGGUUCUAUCAUUGAUGUGCUAUCACGCCCUCUUGCUUAGUCGUUAUCUCUGACAGAAAAUUUGAAGAAAUAGCCAUAAUUUGGACUACUCUUUUUCCAAUGUUUUCCACUUUCGAGUCUGGUUAAUUCUAGAUAGUAGCCCUGUUUCAGGUCCUUGUACUAUUUAGAGAAUUUUCAAAAUAAUAUGCAUAACUUCUUUUAUUUGGAUAUUAUAAGUCCAAAAAAUCGUGAUUUCAACAAAAUGCUCAAAAGAGAUUAUCAUAAUGGACAAGAUAGAAUUCUAUUGAGUAAAACUCGAAGUGAAUACAUUAAACAGGAUAGCAAAUCUACUAAGGCGUAAAACUCAAAGUGAAUACAUUAAACAGGAUAGCAAAUCUAAUAAGGUACAAAAAUAAAAUGAGAAAAGAGGUGCCCUAGAUAUCGCCGCACGAGUUUCACUAUUCUGAUUUCUCAAAGGCUCUUUCGAACUAAAUGUGUGUUCAAGAGAUCCCUCGUAUUUUGUUGAUGCUCCAAGAUGUACCGUUCUUCCCUCUUGUUAAUUUUAGAAGGACAAGACUACUGCAUGCCCUAUACUCAAAAUUUGAGCUGCCCAUUUUUCGGGUUUUCAAAUCAAAAUUCCCUUUGGUCUCAAAGUGCCCUUUGCGGGUUUUCACUCUGGCCUCUCUUUCUUCAGGUAAAAUACUUCUUGACCGAAUCCGAGAGUACAGGAUUGGGAAAGUUUCUACCAUCCAUCUCGGCUAGAAUCAAUGCUCCUUUGGAGAAAGCUUUCUUCACCACGUAAGGCCCCUCCCAAUUAGGCAUCCAUUUUCCUCGAAAAUCCUUCUGCAUGGGAAGGAUCUUUUUCAAAACCAGGUCUCCCUCGUGGAAUUCUCUAGGACGAACCUUUUUGUCAUAUGCUCGCAUUAUUCGGUUUUGGUACAUCUGACCAUGAUGAAUAGGUCUUAGCCUCUUUUCUUCAAUCAAGUUCAAUUAAUCGUAUCGAGAUUGGAUUCAUUCUGCUUCAUCCAAUUUUAACUCUGACAAUAUUCGAAGGGACGGGAUCUCCGCUUCGAUUGGUAAAACCGCUUCCAUUCCGUAGACCAAAGAGAAAGGCGUUGCCCCAGUUGAGGUUCUGACUGAUGUUCGGUAAGCUAAGAGGGCGAAUGGUAACUUUUCAUGCCAAUCUUUGUAGGUCUCAGUCAUCUUCCCUACAAUCUUCUUAAUAUUUUUAUUGGCUGCUUCCACUGCCCCAUUCAUCUUCGGGCGAUAUGGUGACGAGUUAUGAUGUCUGAUCUUAAAUUGACUGUAGACUUCCGCUAUCGUACUGUUGUUCAAGUUUAAUGCGUUAUCAGAUAUGAUCCUCUCCGGCAUUCCAUAUCGACAUAUGAUCUCUUUUUUCAGGAACUUGCUCACUACUGACUUUGUAACACUAGCAUACGAAGCAGCUUUUACCCAUUUGGUGAAGUAGUCGAUAACCAUAAAGAUGAACUGAUGCCCGUUAAAAGCUUUCGGAGAUAUUGGUCUAAUCACAUCCAUACCCCACGUAGAGAAAGGCCAUGAGGAAACCAUGACAUGCAAUGGUGAAGGAGGCACAUGAUUUUUGUCUCCGUAGAUUUGGCACUUAUGGCAUCUUUUGGCGUAAUUGACACAGUCUCCCUCCAUAGUGGACCAAUAAUACCCGAAUCUUAUAAUUUGCCUGGCUAUUGUAAAGCCAUUAGCGUGUGUCCCGCAGACGCCUUCAUAGACUUCUUCCAAGAUUUUCUUAGCCUUUACAGCAUCUACGUAUCUUAAUAGCACUUGAUCAUUUCUUCUUUUGUAUAAGAUCUCCCCAUCUAAGACAUAGUCGAUGGCCAAUCUUCUCAGCGUCCUUUUGUCAUUCUCACUUGCCUGGUCUGGGUUUUCAUGAUUCUUCACGUAUUGCAAUAUAUCGUGAUACCAAGGGUGAUCAUCUUUUUCUUCAUCCUCUUCAAUAUUAUAACAGUGGGCUGGAGUUUCAUAAAUGCUCAUUCGGAUAGGUUUGACAUCUUCUUAUUUGUUCACCUUGAUCAUGGAAGCUAAGGUAGCCAAAGCAUCGGCCAUCUGAUUUUCAUCUCGUGAAAGGUAGCAGAAGGUAAUGUCGUCGAACUCUUUGACCAAUUCAAGGACCAGUUUUCGAUAAUUGAUCAAUUUGGGAUCUCUGGUCUCCCAUUCUCCUUUGAGUUGAUAAAUCACUGGGGCAGAAUCCCCAUACACCUCUAGCACUUUAAUCUUGCAUUCUAUAGUUGCACGGAUACCCAUGAUGCACGCUUCGUAUUCUGCCAUGUUAUUUGUACAAUCAAAAUCCAAUUUACUAGUGAAUGGAUAAUGAUCUCCGUUUGGGGAAACCAAGACUGCCCCGAUUCCAUUACCCACGGCAUUUGAUGCCCCAUCGAAGUUUAGUUUCCAAGAAAGUUCUUCCAGAGCACCUUCUUCAGUGGUAGCAACACACAUCAGGUUUUUGUUCGGGAAAUCAAAGUUCAAAGGCUCGUAGUCUUCCAAAGCUCUACUGGCCAGAAAAUCUGCUAUUGCACUGCCUUUUACCGCUUUCUGGUUUACAUAAAUUAUGUCGAAUUCAGAGAGCAGAAUCUGCCAUAGGGUCAUCCUUCCAUUCAAAGCGGUUGACUCCAUCAUGUACUUUCAGGGGUCGAGUUUUGAAAUGAGUCAAGUAGUAUGAUACAACAUAUACUGCCUCAACCUUCGAGUUGUCCAAAUUAGGGCACAACACAACUUCUCUAUCGGCGGGUACCUUGUCUCACAUUCCGUGAACUUUUUACUAAGAUAGUAAAUAGCUUUUUCUUUCCUUCCUGACUCAUCAUGCUGACCCAGUACGCAUCCAUGGAAUUCUCAAAUACUGCCAAAUAUAAUAUCAAUGGCCUAUCAGGGUCAGGUGGCGUUACCACCGGAGCAUUGGAUAAGUACUGUUUAACCUUAUCGAAAGCCCUUUAGCAUUCUUCAUCCUAUUCACCUGGGUUGUGUUUCUUGAGGAGGCAGAAAACAGGAUCACAUUUCUCGAUUAGUUGUGAAAUGAUCCGAGCGAUGUAAUUUAAUCUUCUUAGAAAGCCUCGAACCUCUUUCUAAGUACGUGGCGGAGAUAGCUCUUGUUUGGCUUUAAUGUUGUCUGGAUCGAUCUCGAUCCUUUUCUCACUAACCAUGAAUCCGAGUAGCUUUCCAGCCUUGGCCCCAAAAGUACAUUUGGCUGGGUUGAGUUUUAGCUGAAACUUCCUCAACUUCAAAAAAAAUUUUCUCAGGACUUGUAUGUGCUCUUUCUCUAUUCGAGAUUUUGCGAUCAUAUCAUCGACAUAAACCUCGAUUUCUUUAUGCAUCAUGUCGUGGAACAGGGUUACCAUGGCUCUUUGAUAAGUUACCCCCGCAUUCUUCAGUCCAAACGGUAUCAUUUUGUAGUAAAAUGUCCCCCACAUGGUUACAAAUGUGGUCUUCUCUAUGUCUUCAGGAUGCACCCUGAUCUGGUUAUAUCCGGAGAAACUGUCCAUGAAUGAAAACAAUGAGUGUCCUGCCGUGUUGUCCACUAGGGUGUCAAUAUGAGGUAGUGGAAAUUAUCCUUCGGGCUGGCUUUAUUCAAAUCUCUGUAGUCCACACACAUUCGCACUUUUCCAUCUUUCUUAGGGACGUAGACGAUGUUGGCUACCCAAUCUGAGUAUUUUACCACCUUCAGGAAUCCAGCGUCGAACUACUUUCGAACCUUUUCUUUUAUUUUUAGCAAGACAUCGGGCCUCAUUCUUUAGAGUUUUUGCUGAACUGGCUUGCAUUCUUCCUUUAUGGGGAGUCUAUGCACCACGAUAUCAGUGUUCAACCCGGGCAUAUCUUGGUAUGACCAUGCGAAGACAUCUUUGAAUUCUUGAAGUACUUCAAUGAGGUCUCGCUUCAUCUCUGUGGUGAUACAUGUUCUGAUCUUCACCUCUUGUCUUUCUCCUAAGCUCACAAUUUCUACUGAUUCUUUGUAAGGUAGUGUAACACCCCUCGCCCGCAUCCGACGUCGGGACGGGGUUCGAGGUGCUACCUGACUUUUACUAACACUUCCAUACUAAACAGGGCCAUGAAAUCUCAAAUAAUUAAAAACUUUUAUUUUCACAUACAAUUUGUCCCAUAUACGGGCUUACGAGGCCCAAAACAUACAUCCGGAGUGGUUCGGGACCCAACCGAGAACUCAUGAAAAACUUAGAAAAUCUCUUGCAUCAAGUCUUCAUACGCCCGUGUGGGUAUAGAGCAUACGCUCGUGUGCUAGGGACACGCCCGUGUCCCAAACCCGUGUCCAAAAACCUGGACAAAUACAAGGCUAUUUUCCAAGCCAUUUUGUCACACUCACAAUAGAUACACGCAUACUUAUACAAUAACAUACAACAUGGCAAAAUUAGGUACUUAAACAUUCCUAACAUGUCAUGAUUAUGGCAAUUUCACAUGCAAUAGAUAUCAUAGAUUUUACUCACAUCUUUACCACAUUCAUACUAUAAUCAUUAUAAACUCAUCACAUAAUACCAUAGCACAUGCAUGCAUGAUUAAAAUAGAUUUACAACCCCAUAAUCAAAAUAGGCCAACACAUAUGAUUAAAGCCAUAUCACAUACUCUAAUAUUUAAACUCCUAUACAUGCCAUAGGCUCAAAGUACUUGAAAUCACUACACCAAUAGCGUUAGCUUGACAGUGUGAUAAUAUCUCUGACGGCCUCCAACCCGAGCUAACUUGGAAACUCUAGAAAACAUGGGAAAGAAGAGGGGGGUAAGCUUUCGCUUAGUAAGUUCAUAUGAAAACAAUAAGCACUUAUUGACUUGUUUUAUCAAUGUUUACAACAUAUUCUCAAGUUCACUACAAGCUGUCUUUUUGAGCAACGGUCACUAAAUUAUUUAUAUCUGGAGCUAAAAAACUCCGAAUUAAGUUCCGUUAAUUUUCCCUGAUACUAGACUUAUUUUCCUUUCUUCCAUAAAAUUUUCAGAAUUUUUGGUUAAGCCAAAUAGUACAGUUUAUUCCUCAAAGUUACCCCUGAUUCACUAUCUGACAGUUCCGACCCUUCUGUACUAAAGUUCAAUUAUCUCAUAGUACAAGACUCGAAUAAUGUUCUCGUAUAUUUCUCUUGAAACUAGACUCAUAUGUCUACUUACUAAGCCAUUUAGUACAGUUUAUUAGUUAAAGUUUCCCCUGUUUCAGGGUAUGACUACUCUGACCCUUGUGCACUACAAACUAAAUUUCUCCCUGUACAGAAUUCCAAUGGCCAUGCCAUUUGUUUUCCUUAAAAAUAGACUCAAUAAGGAAUCCAUGCAUGUAAGUUAUGACUCUUAAUAAUUUUUGUACAAUUUAUGGUGAAUUUCUAAAGUCAGAACAGGGGAUCUCGAAUUCAUUCAGACCCUGUUUCACAAGAAUUCAAAUAUCACACAAUCUGGAAUUCUUUUUCUUCCCCUGUUUCUUUCAUGUGAAAAUAGCUCAUUAAGCUUUAAUCCCAUAUUUUAUUCUGCUCUAGCUCAUUUUCCACUAUUUUUAGUGUAUUUUCAAAGUUACACUACUGCAGUAACUCAAAUCUGUCAAGGCUAAAUUACUCAUUCAUGAUCAUUGUUCACAAAAUUAAUACAACAUCGUUUGUAUAAUCAUCACCGAGACAUUCAUAUCACAUUUUCAUUUACCAUCUUACCAUAUUGUUGUUAUGUCGAGUUUUCAACCCGAGGGUUAAGUACAUACCUGUUCAAAGUAUCCAUUUCACAACAUUUACCAAUACAUCCCUUUCAUCUCGAGUAUUCCUCCAUUUGAAUAGAAUUUUACCCGUUGAACACAUCAGAAUAUAAUUCAGAUACAUGGAAAGUUUGCACAUAAGUGCCACAUAUGGAGCCAAGCUACCAUGUAACCCGCCCAUAAGUGAACUCGGACUCAACUCAACGAGCUCGGGCGUUCGUAUUCAUAAGUGAACUCAGACUCAACUCAACGAGCUCGGAUGCCUAGUUACAUCUCACGAACUCGGACUCAACUCAACGAGUUCGAACAUUCGCAUCCAUAAGUGAACUCGGACUCAACUCAACGAGUUCAGAUGCUCAACCAUCCUAGUUGUAGCGACGUAAAAAAUUUUUUAGUUUCGCUUGGUCGCUAAUUGUGGCGAUUUAUUAAACAUUUGAAAACCAACUUUCGAUUUUAUUAACAAAGGGAGUCGCCACCGAUCCUUUUUUAUAGGUGUGAUCGGACACCUAAUAAAAUUAUUUUAAAACAAAAAGAAGGCCAAAUUUAGGUCUACAUGAAAGUCCAGAGAAAAAUUGGGGUUCGGGAGUCAGUUACGCGUGAGGAAGGUAUUAGCACCCUCGCGACGCCCAAAAUUGGUAUCUCAUAAACAUGUGUUGACUUGAUUUUCAAAAAUACGAGCUCAAUAUUAUAUUUAAUCGUGAUCCGAUUGAAAAAUGAGAAUUUUUAGUUUUCGAUUUUUUUUUAGAAAGGGUGUCCCGUUUUUUAACACAAGCCGACGAAUUUCACCCAACAUAGUGAUGAAAUCGAUGGCUUAAUAUUAAAUCGGUACAUUACCUUAUUUUUGAAAUUAAUUAAAACAUGAGAAAAAAUAUUCCUAAAGUGAGAAAUUAAAAAUAGAUAAAGGACGCAAAAAAAUGAUAUAUUAAUGAAAAAUAUUAACAUGGAAUACUAGAAUAUUAGAAUAACAAUAAUAAUGAUAUUUACAAAAUAAAAACAAAUCAUGUACUAAUAAUAAAAUAGGAAAAAUGAUAUAUUUGGUAAUAAUAAUAUAAAAUAAUAAUAUGUACAUAAAAAUACAUAUAUAUAUAUGCAUAUAAUAAAAGUAUGUAAUAAUAAUAAUAAUAUCUACAAUAAAAGAAAAUAUUAGGAAACGUACAUAAAAAAUAUAUACAUAAAAAAUUUACAACAAUAAUAUAAAAUAAUGAUAUGUGCAAAUAUAUAUACAUAUGUACAUAAAAUAUACACUAAUAUAAUAAUAGUUAUAAUAAUACUAGCAAUAGUAAUAAUUUGUAAUAAUAAUAUAUACACAUUAUGGUAUUUAAAAUAUAUAUAUAUGUAUAUAAUAGUAUUUAAGAAUAUAUACAUAAGAAAUAUAUAACUAAUGGCAUUAAAAAAUAUAUACAUAAUAUAUAUAAAAUACCUAAAAAAAAGAAGGGGGAAAGAAGAGAGAAUGGAGGGGGGAAAGGAAAUCCGGCCAAUGGGGGCCGAUCACCGGUCGAUCGUCGGUCGCCGCCCGUCGUCAGCCAUUGCCGGCCACCGCCCACGGUGGCCGAAAAAGGUAAAAAAAUUUUAACAAUAUAUGUAUAUAUAAAGAAAGAAAAAAAACAACACAAAAAAAAAGAAAAAAAAGAUUCGAAAGAAGAGGAAAAAAGAAAAAGAUGCAACCUUUUUAUUAAUGUUUCUUUUGUGUUCAAAAUUUGAAGGGAUUUUUGUGUUUUUUUUUUUCAAUCUUUGUAAAAUCUCUCCCCCUUUUUACAUGAUUUUUGAAUGGCUUUUUAUAGCCAUCUUUUACAUGAUUUUCUAUUAUUUCCUUUUCUAUUUUGUAGGUGGUGGUAGUAGACAAUGGAUAUCAAAAAUGGGAGGAAAAAUGAGGCAAGUGGGAAAGUGGCUAGGUGGCUAGGGUUUCUUAGUUUUUUUUGGGUUAGGUUUUUCUUUUUUCUUCUUUUUUUUUUCUUUUUGGUUAGGUUUUUUUGGGGGGGGCUUAAUGGGCCUUUGAAUUGGGUUUAAUAUUUGGGUUUUGUAAUGGGUUUGGGUAGAUGUAAAUGGGUCAUGGGUUAAGGGUUUUAGUGGGUUUAGAGGCUUGGUUGGGUUUUGAUGAAAUCGGGCCCGGGCAAUUUGGGCUUCUACAGCUGCCCCUCUUUGCUCAUUGUCGUGCAACGAUAAUAGAGCAAAGACUUUCAAGGAAGACCAAAUUUGCCCGGUCUUGCUAGGUCUUGACUUGCUUUGGAACUCUUUUUGUUUAGUUAGUCCCUUUUUAGUCCACCGCAUCUUGUAGCUUUGGUUCACUCCACUGCAUCUUAUGAUAUACGCCUUGUAGCUUCAAUCUAUUCCAAUGUAACUUCAAGGAUAUGAAAUUUAUGGCUUCGAUCUACUUCACUGUAACUUCAGAAAGGUGAGAUCUACAACUUCAAUCUUCUCUUCUAUCGCUUCAGUGUUUGUGGUCUUUUCUUCUGCGACUUUAGAAAGGCAAGAUCUGAUGCCCCCGAUCAACUCUACUGCAACUUUAAGGAGACAGAAUCUGACGUCUUCAAUCAGCUUCAAUCUUUAUUCUCUACUCGGCAUAUGAUCCUCUCGCAAUAUGAGUUGAUUUUUGAAACUUAUCUUGAAAAGCAGAUUUUGAAAAUACCUCGACAUGUGACUCGAGACUCAACUCACCUCUCGCAGAAAUUAAAAAGCUCAACUCACCUUUCGCAAUAUAAAUUGAAAAAAAUACCACAGUGUGUGAUCUGAAGCUCAACUCACCUCUCGCAAUAUGAGUUGAUUUUUUUUUGAAAGACAGAAAUUGAAAAUACCUCAGCAUGUGAACUGAGGCUCAACUCACCUCUGACAAUAUAAGUUGAGUUUUUUGAAAACAGAAAUUGAAAAUACCUCAACGUUUCUUGAGGCUCAACUCAUUUCUCGCAAUAUGAGUUGAAUUUUGAAAACAGAAAUUGAAAUUACCUCAGCGUGUCCCGAGGCUCAACUCAUCUCUUGCAAUAUGAGUUGAUUUUUUUUUUGACAACAGAAAUUGAAAUUACCUCAGCGUGUCCUGAGGCUCAACUCACCUCUCGUAAUAUGAGUUGAUUUUUUUUAAAAGGCAGAAAUUGAAAAACAGAAAUUGAAAAUACCUCGGCGUGUGACCUAAGGCUCAACCCGCCUCUUGCAAUACGAGUUGAUUUUUUUUUGAAAGACAGAAAUUGAAAAUACCUCAGCAUGUGAACCGAGACUCAACUCACCUCUCGCAAUAUAAGUUGAUUUUUUUUUAAAACAGAAAUUGAAAAUACCUCAAUGUGUCUUAAGGCUCAACUCAUUUCUUGCAAUAUGAGUUGAAUUUUGAAAACAGAAAUUGAAAUUACCUCAACGUGUCUUGAGGCGCAACUCAUUUCUCGCAAUAUGAGUUGAAUUUUGAAAACAGAAAUUGAAAUUACCUCAGCGUGUCCCGAGGCUCAACUCACUUCUCGCAAUAUGAGUUGAAUUUUGAAAAUAGAAAUUGAAAUUACCUCAACGUGUCUUGAGGCUCAACUCAUUUCUCGCAAUAUGAGUUGAAUUUUGAAAACAGAAAUUGAAAUUACCUCAGCGUGUCCCGAGGCUCAACUCACUUCUCGCAAUAUGAGUUUUGAAAACAGAAAUUGAAAUUACCUCAGCGUGUCCCGAGGCUCAACUCACCUCUCGCAAUAUGAGUUGAUUUUUUUGAAAGACAAAAAUUGAAAAUACCUCAGCAUGUCUUGAGGCUCAACUCACUUCUCGCAAUAUGAGUUGAAUUUUGAAAACAGAAAUUGAAAUUACCUCAGCGUGUCCCGAGGCUCGACUCACCUCUCGCAAUAUGAGUUGAUUUUUUUUGAAAGACAAAAAUUGAAAAUACCUCAGCAUGUCUUGAGGCUCAACUCAUUUCUCGCAAUAUGAGUUGAAUUUUGAAAUAAAACAUCAGAAUACCAGAACAUGUCAUCUGGUGGAACUCAUGUGUCUUUUCAGCUAUCAUCACAUCUUCUUGCUCUACUGGAGUACCUGUAUAUGUCAUGCAUGAUGUUAUCAUGAUAUGCAUAUGUUUUUCGUAAAUGAUUUUAUGCCUACAUGAUUAUGCUAUGUAUCUUAGGCAUGUUUGUCGUAUGCCCUUUUUCAUCACUAUUUUCGUGAUGAUCUGUAUUCAUUACUUCGGCUCCUGACUUUCUCUUUAGGCCCUGUACCCGUCCUCAAGUUUCACGAGUAAUCAAUGUUUCUCAAAUAUCACUCUUUUGCCCCUAGUUGAGCUUUGUCCCUGCGUUGAGACUCUUGUACUUAUCAAAUUCUUACCCGGGUAAUGCUUAACAUUUCUUUCGUUUAGAGUAUGUCAUUUCACUAUUUAUCAUGUAAAUGAAUCACAUAAUGAGAUGCGUGAAAAUGGUCAGGUAGAGACAAAAGGAUACCUCACAUUUAUUCAUUUCAAAAGUAGCAAACAAAGAAAGUUAACCAAUGAUAGUAAAAGAGUGUUAUAAAGAGAAAAGGGAUUGCAUUCAACGAAUACAAAUGCUCUAGAUAUUCAAUGCAUGAACUCUUCCACGUUCCUCAAUCAAGAAUCUUUUCGAGCAUGGCUUCUUGUGUAAAAGAUUCUGAGCUUUCAGAAAUGCUUCAAAUACGGUAGUCUCACUAUUUGACCCACCGUUCAAAAUGCCUUGUUCUUUAAGCCCGGGUUUGCUUCAUUAGAAUGCCCUUUCGGGUUUUCAUCCUAAUCUUUUGUGUUUAAUCAAAACGCCCUUUUCGGGUUUUCACCUUGAUCACCCUUUUUUUCUUUUUUUUAUAUGCUCUUUUUGGGUUUUCAUCUUGGAUUCCUUUUUCAAGCAUAAUAUUUCUUUACAGCAUCUGAAUUCACUGGACUCGGUAACUCUUUCCCAUCCAUCUCGGUGAGGAUCAAAGCUCCGCCCGAAAAUGCCUUCUUUACGAUGUAUGGACCUUCCCAAUUUGGCGUCCAUUUUCCUUGAAAAUCUUUUUGUAUUGGGAGAAUCUUCCUCAGCACGAGUUCUCCUUCAUGGAAUUCUCUUGGUCGUACCUUCUUGUCAUGGGCUGCGAUCAUUCUCUUCUGGUACAUCUGUCCAUGGCAAACUGCCUGCAGACGUUUUUCUUCAAUAAGGUUUAACUGGUCAUAUCGAGCUCGAACCCAUUCUGCUUCUUCUAGUUUUGAUUCCAUUAAGACUCGUAGAGAGGGGAUCUCAACUUCGAUGGGUAGCACAGCUUCCAUUCCAUAGACCAGAGAGAAAGGAGUUGCUCCCGUAGAUGUCCGCACAGAUGUACGAUAUGCAUACAAAGCAAAUGGUAGCUUCUCGUGCCAGUCUUUAUAUGUCUCGGUCAUUUUCCCAAUAAUCUUUUUAAUAUUCUUAUUGGCUACUUCAACAACUCCGUUCAUCUUUGGGCGAUAGGGUGAGGAGUUAUGAUGUUUUAUUUGGAAUUGCUCACACACUUCCUUCAUCAUCUUGUUAUUCAGAUUCAUGGCGUUAUCUGAAAUGAUUCUUUCAGGCAAACCAUGUCGACAAAUGAUUUCCUUCUUCAAAAACCUACAAACUGCAGUCUUGGUCACAUUGGCAAACGAAGCGGCUUUUAUCCAUUUUGUGAAGUAAUCAAUGACCAUAAAAAUAAAUCGGUGUCCAUUAGAAGCUUUUGGAGAAAUUGGCCCUAUAACAUCCAUGCCCCACAUAGAAAAAGGCCACGGAGAAGUCAUGACGUGAAGGGGCAAAUGGGCUGCAUGAAUUUUAUCACCAUAAAUUUGACAUUUGUGGCAUUUUCGUGCGAAAUUAAUGUAGUCGCUUUCCAUUGUCAGCCAGUAAUAUCCGAGUCUCAUAAUCUUCUUGGCCAUAGUGAAACCAUUGGCAUGCGUUUCGCAAAUUCCCUCAUGGACCUCUUCAAGUAUUUUUCUGGCUUCAACAUCAUCCACACAUCUCAAAAGCAUCUGAUCUUUUCCUCUUUUGUACAGGAUGUCCCCAUCAAGAACGAAUCCUGCUGCCAUUCUUCUGAUUGUUCUUUUGUCGUUCUCGUUUGCUUGUUCGGGAUAAUUUUGAUUCUUGAUAUAUUCUAAGACAUCAUGGAACCAUAGCCGUCCAUCUGUCUCUUUCUCGAUGCUGAAACAAUGUGCAGGGGCUUCAUAUAUGCUCAUUUGAAGAGGCAUUAUUUCUGUUUCCUAGUUUGCUUUGAACAUUGAAGCCAAAGUGGCCAAGGCAUCAGCCAAUUGGUUUUCUUCUCAUGGGAGGUAAUUAAAAGUUAUUUCUUCAAAUUCUUUAAUCAACUCUGCCACUAGAUCUCUGUAUUUAACCAGUUUUGAGUCUCUCACUUCCCAAUCUCCACGGAUUUGGUAAAUCACCAAGGCUGAGUCUCCGUAUACCUCUAAAACUUCGAUGUUUCGUUCAAUAGCUGCACGGAGUCCCAUGAUACAUGCCUCAUAUUCCACUAUGUUAUUGGUACAGAAGAAAUUCAGCCUGGCAGUGAGUGGGUAAUGAUUCCCUUCUGGCGAUAAUAAGACUGCUCCAAUCCCAUGCCCCAAUGCGUUCGAUGCACCAUCAAAGCUCAUCUUCCAUGACUUCUCUUUUGGUGACUCGUAUUCUUUUUCCGUAAUGCACAUCAAGUCUUCAUCUGGGAAAUCAAAUCUCAAUGGCUCGUAAUCCUCUGUUGUUCGAGUUGCUAAGAAGUCAGCUAUUGCGCUCCCUUUUAUCGACUUCUGACUUACAUAGGCAAUGUCAUAUUCCGAAAGGAGGAUCUGCCACCGUGCCAUUCUUCCUGAUAGUGCCGGCGAUCCAUCAUGUAUUUUAUUGGGUCCAGCUUUGAAAUUAGCCAUGUCGUGUGAUACAACAUAUAUUGUCUGAGUCUCCGAGCUACUUUGCCUCAUAUUCAGUGAACUUUUUACUGAGGUAGUAGAUCGCCUUUUCUUUCUUCCCUGACUCGUCGUGUUGCCCCAGUACGCAACCCAUUGAAUUUUCAAACACGGUCAAAUACAAUAUCAAUGGUCUCCCCGGAGUUGCCGGUACUAGCACUGGGGGACUAGACAAAUAUUGCUUUAUCUUAUCAAAGGGCACCUGACAUUCCUCAUUCCAAUUUCCUGGGUUAUGUUUUCGAAGAAGCCGAAAGAUUGGGUCGCAUUGGUUGGUAAGUUGAGCGAUGAAUCGGGAGAUGUAGUUUAAUCUCCCUAAAAAUCCUUUAACUUCCUUUUGCGUGCGUGGAGGUGGCAACUCUUGAAUGGCUUUUACUUUAUCUGGAUCAACCUCGAUACCUCUUUCACUGACAAUGACGCCUAGCAACUUCCCCGAGGUAGCCUCAAACGUACAUUUGGCUGGAUUAAGCUUUAGCUGAAACUUUCUCAGCCUUUCGAACAACUCCUUGAGGUUCACUACAUGCUCUUCUUCUCCUCGAGAUUUAGCAAUCAUAUCAUCGACGUAGACUUCUAUUUAUUUAUGCAUCAUGUCAUGGAAUAAUGUCACCAUAGCCCUCUGAUAUGUUGCCCCAGCAUUCUUUAACCCAAAAGGCAUUACCUUGUAGUAGAAUGUUCCCCACAUCGUUAUGAAGGUAGUUUUCUCCAUAUCUUCCGGGGCCAUUUUGAUCUGAUUGUACCCCGAGAAUCCAUCCAUGAAGGAAAACAAUGAAUGUUUUGCCGUGUUAUCCACCAACGUAUCAAUGUGUGGUAAAGGAAAAUUAUCUUUAGGACUUGCUCAAUUCAGGUCACGAUAAUCCAUGCACAUUCGUACUUUGCCGUCUUUCUUUGGUACCGGGACUAUGUUAGCCACCCAUUCUGGAUAUUUGGAGGCUUGUAGGAAGCCAGCAUAAAAUUGCUUCUUGACUUCCUCUUUUAUCUUCAACAACAUCUCAGGCCUCAUUCGUCUUAGCUUUUGUUGAAUAGGCUUGCAUUCUGGCUUUAAUAAGAGCUUAUGGACCGCUACAUCUUCAUCCAAUCCUGGCAUGUACUGAUAUGACCAUGCGAAUACAUCUUUGUAUUCGCGAAGCAAAGCAAUCAAAUUAUGCCUGGUGCCCCCUGAAAUAGAAGUCCCAAUCUUCACUUCUUGCCUCCUUUCUUCAGUUCCCAGAUUUAUUGUUUCAACAGAUUCUUGAUGAGGCAAAAUCUGUUUAUCCUCUUGUUCCACCAUUCUUAGCAAAUCAAGAGACGAGACAUAGUCUUCAGCGUUUUCUUCGGCUUCGAAUUCUCCUAAACAAAUAGCCUUCUCAAAAUCGAUUUCAGGACUCGUAACGGGUUUGUUCAUGCUGUUGACAUCUGAGCACCUGAAAGUUGAAUGGAAAAGGGAACUAUAGAGGGGCAUCCAAGUAUUGAAACCAACAAACGAAAUGUUAUGGCAUGGGAUGAGGCAAAUGUAAGGAUUGGCUAUGAAAUGAGAAAAUGAUUAUGAAAUUAGUGAUAAUGUGAAAGAUUAUGAGGAAAUGCAUCUUCAUUGACAUUCAUUUGAAUGAUAAAGAGCGAAUGCAGGCUCUUACAAAAGAAUUCUAUUAUAUCUAAGGACAUAACAGAAUGUUAAUGUUUGAGUAUUACUCUGAAGACUUAUAAACUAUAAGAAGAUCCUCGGCAGUCCAAUUGUUCAACUUGAAACCUAGGGGACAAAGGCGUAUCCUUGAGACGUCUUUACUUGCGUUAGCUUCUUUGUCAAUGACAUUUAUACUGACAUUCUGAAGACCCCUUUCAAUUAAUAACAGCAUGCUUUGUAUAUUAUCCUGUCUGGGGUAUAUCAUUCCUGCAGAUGUAAAUGUUUUUGACAAAUGAGGGUACGUUAUGGGCCCCCAUUCUAUUUCUCGGCCCAAAGUUCUCACAAUCCUUCUCUCCUGAUCCUUCUUCCACUGUUUUCUUCUUUGACGCAUGUCCGGCUGGAACCUCAAACUGUAUCGGGCCUUGUGGUGCACUGGCUUUAGGGCCUUGACUAUUCCUUGCAGGUACCUUCCCAAACCUUUCCUUGCUCGGGCUCCCUUUCCUACAGUCAACUUGACACCCAUCUUGGUAUUUCUCGACAGUUUUGGCUCGGGAAUUUUGUUUCCCUCAGCGAAAAAUGUGGCAUUGACAAAUUCAAGAGAUCGGAAGGAACAUUCCAUAGCAUCUUUACUCACUUCUAUAUAUGGUGCGUCGGCAGAAAUAGAUGCUACAAUGUCUUCUUCUCCCUCGACAGUGACCAAACAGCCAUCCAUGAUGAAUUUCGCCUUUUGAUGAAGGGAUGAUGGGACCGCUCCAGCAGAAUGAAUCCAAGGUCUUCCCACGAGACAAUUGUAUGAUGGUGUAAUGUCCAUGACUUGAAACUCAACAUCGUAUAUAUAGGGACCCACUUCUAAAGGAAUCUCAAUUUUUCCAUAACUUCUCGUCUUGUUCCAUCGAAUGCCCUUACUGUAGAAUGGCAAGGCUUUAGAUAGGACAAAUCCAUCGGAAUCCUGGAAAGUGUGGCUAAAAGCAUAACAUUGAGUGCCGAUCCAUUGUUGAUGAGCACAUUCGGUAUUAUAUAGCCCUUACAACGGGUUGUGAUAUGCAAUGUUUUCACUGAGCCUCUACCAUUGGGCAGUAUUUCAUCAUCAUUAAAAGAAAUAAAAUUAUCCGCAUUCAAGUUGUUCACCCACCUAUCCAGUUUUUCAACGGAUACAUUAUUUGCCACAUAAGCUUGAUUUAACACUUUCAGCAGAGCGUUCCAGUGUGGCUCUGAAUUCAACAGCAAAGAUAAUACCGAGAUUCGCGCUGGCUGCUUAGUCAAUUGUUCUACCACGUUGUACUCACUGUGCUUGAUAAAUUUUAAAAAUUCCUGUGCUUCUUCCUCGUCCACAGGCUUUUUAGCUUCUUGUUCAGGCACAAUUUCAUACUCAGCUUCAGUCACAUGCAUCGGUGCUUUUCCUUUCUGUUUCAAGUCACUGUUCUUUACAGAUUCAACCUCUUUUGAAUAACAUCUUCCGCUACGAGUGAAAUGACCUACUUCCCCAACGCUUCCAGUCAUGGCUUUGGGUUUUUCAUCUUCAGGUGUGACGAUAUUAACGUCAUAUUUCCAUGGUACUGCUUUAUUGUCCUUGUAGGGGAAAGGAGAUGGUACCUCGAUUAUCACUUUUGGUUUCACUGGUUCCUUCUUCGCGUCAUAAUAAAUUAUUAACGGUCGAUCGGCGCUAUACGGACAACCUGACGAUUGAUUGUCGGAGGUACAUACUUCUUUCUCAUUAGCCUCUUCGCCUUUAUAAAAAAUCCCAAUCUCCUUAUUGUCCAUCAUAUUUUGCAGUAAUCUCUUGAACUCUUCGCAGGAUUGAAUAUCGUGCCCCUCAAUACUAUGGAAUUCGCAAAAACUUGGAUCUUUUGUAUUCCUUCCCUCGAAUACUCUGUUAAGAUGACAAAGCGAACCCUUUUCAACUAGCACCUCCCAAAUUUUCUGCAGAGGUGUUCUUAUUUCAGAAACCCGUCUUCUACUUUGUCGUUUGUCCUCCUCUCCUACUGCGCUCACAUUCCUUUGGGCGUGGUUUGGGAAUGGGUUCCUGGAUGUACUGCCAGUGCCAUCAAAUCGCAGAAUACCCGCAUCGAUAAGUCCUUGAACUCUCCUUUUGAAGGCCAGGCAGUUUUUUGUAGAGUGCCCCUGGUUCCCGACAUGGUAUACACAACUAGCAUUUGGAUCGUACCAUUUCGGGUAUGGAGGUUUAAGGGGUGCCAUGUAAUGGGAGAUAUUAAUUGCUUCUCCAGAAGUUUUAGGUACAGUUCCCCGUACGACACAGGAAUAGGGGUGAAUUGCUGUCUCUCGGGAUUGGGCCUUGCUGGUCUUGGUUCAUUUUUAGGUUGGCUUUGAGCGGGUAUAGUGUUUUGUAGGAAUGAGGUGAUGGGUCUUUGGUUGUUCGUGGCGUAAACGAGAUAGGAAGGAGGUGGUGCUUGGUAGUAAGGGUUUUGAGGGGGAUAAUAGAAAUUUGGAGGUGGAUAAUUUCGUGGUCGGGGUUGGUUCGGAUAUGGAUUAGAGGCAUAACGGCUUCCCAUUCCCACCAUGUGGGCUUCUGGUUCUUUCUUCUUCAUAGAUGUUGCCCUUUUUGAACCUUCUGAGCCUUUCAUUCUACCGCUCUUGACGGCAUUCUCUAUGAGCUCACCAGAUAUUACAAUAUCCGCAAACUCUUUCGUGGCACUUCCCACUAAUUUGUCAUAAAAUAGCGCAUUUAAGAUGUUGAUAAAGAGAACGGUUAUCUCCGUUUUUGUUAGUGGGGGUUCCACUUGGGCCGAGACGUCUUUCCAUCUCUGCGCAUACUUUCUGAAGGUUUCUGAUGGCUUUUUCUCCAUCAUUUCCAAGGUCAUCCGGUCUGGAACCAUAUCCGACACAUGCUUGUACUGCUCGCAAAAUACUGACGCCAAGUCCUUCCAGGAUCGCAUCUUUUCUCUACUGAGUUGGUUGUACCACCGAAGAGCUGACCCUGUUAGACUAUCUUGAAAGCAAUGUAUAAGUAGCUUAUCCUCGUUCACAUAACCGGUCAUUUUUCGACAGAACAUGAUGAGAUGUGCUUUUGGGCACCUUGUCCCAUCAUACUUUUCAAAAUCAGGCGCCUUGAAUUUCGGAGGCAAGAUUAGAUCAGGUACCAAACUGAGUUCUUUGGCACCUAGUGCGGAGAAGACUUCAGUGCCUUCUAUUGCUUUGAGUCUUUCCUCUAGACUUCUAUAUUUUGCAUCAUGAUUAUCCAAUUUCAACUUGGCUACCUCUGCUGGGUCGUCCAGAUCUGGAACUAGUGGAUCAGCAGGGCUUGCCCUUGGGUUCGACACGAAUAUUCCUUGCCCCAGAUUAGUGGGUGGAGCAGGUGGCAUAGGUCGUUGUUCCAAGACUGUGAGUUCCCCUUGAGUAUACCCUCUUUGUGUUGUAUAUGCGGGUGGUGGAGUGAAUCCCGGGGGAUAGAGUGGAUCCUGAUCGUGGUGAAUUCUUGACUGAGGUUCCAUAACAUAGGGGUUCUGCACGGGUCCUUUUCCUUUGACCAAAUUUGUCAUCAUCUCCAUCAUUUUGGCCAUCUGAUCUCUUUGCUCCAGUGAUUCCUCUCGAGAUCUCACCAUUAGGUCUCUCGUUUCUUGUUGCGAUUUGGCCAGUUGCUCUUGUAAUUCCUUUUGAGCCCUUUCCAUCCUUUCAAUUCUCUCAUUGAAUUCAGCCUCCAUUACUCUAGCUUGUCGACGCGUUUUAUACGGAUGACGUGGUUCCAGUCUUGUGGUAUUACAACUGUGAAUUAUAUAUUUUAUCUUCAACGACCGAGUAUGGGAUAUGCAAUGUAUGAAUGAAUGCAUGAAUGAAUGCAUGAAUGUCAAAUGAAUGUCAGUCAUGAAUGAAUAUGCAAAAAUUUGGUGUUAAUUUCAAGAUAGCCCCUAUUUAGGCAUUUCCUUAAUCAAAGGAGUAUUACACAACGUUUCGGUCACUCGUAUAAUUGACUCCUCCAUUAGAAACCCGUUUUUGGCAACCAAUCUCUAAUCAACACCUUCCUAACAAGAUGCCUUCGAUGCAUGAUGAAAAAUAAAAAUACAGACAAACGACAUUGGUUAGCGCAACACAUAUAAACAGAGAAAAAUUGUGGAAAAUCUAACAAAUUAAGCUACUGGGUCCAGUGGACUCGAUUCCCUUGCUUAGAAAGCACAAAUGUAAAAGAAAUAGAAGGUAAGAUGUGCUUUUCCCGUGUACUUAUUUCGGUGACUACUAAACGAGCGGAGGUUCGGCAUGGCUCUAGUUGGGUGGCUCGUAUGGUUCACUAUAUGCGAUUUUGGUUCUAGACAGGUACUCGAAUUGCUCAUACUAUCAUCUGCUAAGAUUAGCACGAAGCCUCGGUCAUAACCCAUCACAGGCUCAGGAGUUCAAUUCGAGGGAUUACAUUUACUUAUGCCAUGCGGAGGGACAAGUUAACUCACGAAAGCAUAAGUCAUAUGUAACCCGAAAGUAUUCACUAGCCUGUGCGGAGGGACGAGUUAACUCACGAAGGCAUAGCGUUUACUUUCACUUAAACGGACAGAGCCCGGGUAGAGAGCUUAUGCUAUGCAAAAUGCAAGUGCACGGUGUGUGGGAGAAACUUGCAAUCCUUCCAUUUAUUUUAAAACUACAAAACUAAAACGAAAGAUAAAAACAAAUUAGGAGAUACGUAUGUAUGAUUUUUUCGAAAACAAAACUUAAAGAUCAUGAUUAAAUAUUAAUUUGAACACGGAAAUUUGAAAAUUUUGACAACACGCGUUUAAUUCAACUCGACUCUCAAAAAUGGAGGUCCCCAGUGGAGUCGCCAGCUGUAGCGACGUAAAAAAAUUUUUAGUUUCGCUUGGUCGCUAAUUGUGGCGAUUUAUUAAACAUUUGAAAACUAACUUUCGAUUUUAUUAACAAAGGGAGUCGCCACAGAUCCUUUUUUAUAGGUGUGAUCGGACACCUAAUAAAAUUAUUUUAAAACAAAAAGAAGGCCAAAUUUAGGUCUACAUGAAAGUCCAGAGAAAAAUUGGGGUUCGGGAGUCAGUUACGCGUGAGGAAGGUAUUAACACCCUCGCGACGCCCAAAAUUGGUAUCUCAUAAACAUGUGUUGACUUGAUUUUCAAAAAUACGAGUUCAAUAUAAUAUUUAAUCGUGAUCCGAUUGAAAAAUGAGAAUUUUUAGUUUUCGAUUUUUUUUUUAAAAAGGGUGUCCCGUUUUUUAACACAAGCCGACGAAUUUCACCCAACAUAGCAAUGAAAUCGAUGGCUUAAUAUUAAAUCGGUACAUUGCCUUAUUUUUGAAAUUAAUUAAAACAUGAGAAAAAAUAUUCCGAAAGUGAGAAAUUAAAAAUAGAUAAAGGACGCAAAAAAAUGAUAUCAUUAAUGAAAAAUAUUAACAUGGAAUACUAGAAUAUUAGAAUAACAAUAAUAAUGAUAUUUACAAAAUAAAAACAAAUCAUGUACUAAUAAUAAAAUAGGAAAAAUGAUAUAUUUGGUAAUAAUAAUAUAAAAUAAUAAUAUGUACAUAAAAAUACAUAUAUAUAUAUGAAUAUAAUAAAAGUAUGUAAUAAUAAUAAUAUCUACAAUAAAAGAAAAUAUUAGGAAACGUACAUAAAAAAUAUAUACAUAAAAGUAUAUAAUAAAAGUAUGUAAUAAUAAUAAUGAUUUUUGAAUAGCUUUUUAUAGCCAUCUUUUACAUGAUUUUCUAUUAUUUCUUUUUCUAUUUUGUAGGUGGCGGUGGUAGACAAUGGAUAUCAAAAAUGGGAGGAAAAAUGGGGCAAGUGGGAAAGUGGCUAGGUGGCUAGGGUUUCUUUGUUUUUUUUGGGUUAUGUUUUUCUUUUUUCUUCUUUUUUUUUCUUUUUAGUUAGGUUUUUUUUGGGGGGGGCUUAAUGGGCUUUUGAAUUGGGUUUAAUAUUUGGGUUUUGUAAUGGGUUUGGGUAGAUGUAAAUGGGUCAUGAGUUAAGGGUUUUAGUGGGUUUAGAGGUUUGGUUGGGUUUUGAUGAAAUCGGGCCCGGGCAAUUUGGGCUUCUACACUAGUGACAUGUCACUUGUAUCCUAAUCUAUUCCUAAGGUUCAAACGGGAUUUUCCUCGAACACAUAUCCUUGCCAUCUUCCGUAAAAUACCGAAACCAAUACUCGGUAGCACUUUAUAUUUAACAGAUAAUACACAUAACUUGCAUUUUAUUCGAAAAUAACCACAAAGCAUAUAUUUCAUGAUAAAAAUCAGCAUAUCAUAUAUUUAACAUCAAUAACUUAAAAAUAACAAUUAUGCUACAUUAUUUACACAUGAACUUACCUCGAUACCACAAAGGUGAAAAAAAAACGUAAUUAUCCCUUAAUCGAUUUCUUUCCGUUCUAGGUCCAAAUCUCGAUUUUCAUCAUCUAAAACAUCACAUUCAACUUAUUAAAAUAAUGUACUGAUCAAAUUAGUCCAUUGACACACUUGGGCAAUUUUUACAAUUUUGCCCCUAUAUUUUGCCAAAACUACCAAAUUACCCCUAGGCUCGUAAAAUAAUUUUUAUCACAUUUCUUUACUUCUUGAGUCUAGAUGAACCAUUUUCAUAACUAUAGCAACUCAUAAUUUCAACUAUUUCACACAUUUACAACUCAUUUUACAACUUAGCAAUCUAGCCCUUUUUAAGGUGUUUUCAUGCAAUUUCUUUCACAAAAGUUGUUUAUUAGACAACUAGGACUCAUAAUCUUCCAUAAAAAUACAGUAAACAACACAUUUACUCUCAUGGAAAAACCCUAGACUCUUCAUCAUUUUGCAAAAUAGACCACUCAUGAAAGCUCAUGCUUUAGGGGUUCCAAAAAUGUAAAAAUCAUCAAGCAAUGACAUUAAAAUCACUUACAAGCAAGGGAAAUAUGUUGCUGAAAUUUUUCAGCUUCAAAGCCCUUUCUUUGCUACAUAUUUCGGUGAAGGAUAAGAGAAAAAUGAUAGCUUUUUCUUUUUGAUUUGUUAAUAAUAAAACUAGUCAAAAUUGGUGACCAAAUUUCACCUAAUUUUGACUUUUCAACAAUUUUGUCUCCCAUGGCCGGCCAUCACACUUUAAAUGGAGUAAUUUCACUUUAAAUACCCCCAAUUUAAGAUACAAGACAAUUUAACACCUUUAGGUAUUAAAACACAACUUUUACCCUUUACGCGAUUUAGUCCUUUUUUGAAAUUGGACUAGAAAUUGCUAAAAUUAACUUACCAAAAUUUACAUGCACUUAUAAAAUUAUAUUAUAACACAUAAAAUAAUACUAAAAAUAUUUUCUCUAGCCUCAAAAUAGUGGUCCCAAAACCACUGUUUCGACUAGGCCCAAAAUCAGGCUGUUACAGGUAGGAUUUUUUUUCGUCUCAUUCCACCAUCCUCAACAAAUCAAGAGACAGGUUACAGCCUUGGUCAUCCUCAAAAUCGUGAGAAUCCUCCAUACACACUUCUCGCUCAAAAGGAAAUUCUGAGUCAUUAGCAGUGUCACUCGUAUCAUUGAUAUCUGGGGACCUGUUAUGGGGAUGAAGGCAGAUACAAGGAAUCAAAAGAAUUCAAAAAUAUUUAUCUGUAUGGUAUGAUUAUGAAUGACGAAUGAAAUAAUAUUUAGAAGAAUGUUUAAAGAAUAAAGGAAUCCGAAAAUAAUCGUUUGUAUGUUUGUGAGUGAAAUUUAAAGAAUGAGAGAACAUCUGCUCAAAAUGAUAAUAACCGUGCAUUUUAUUGAAAUAAUGUUUUUAAACAUCAGCCUAUUUCACAAAAGAUUCUUAUUACUCCUAGGCCUAGAGCAAUAAGUGUGUUUUGGACAUUACUUUGAAUCCGUUCUAAAAACUACAGGAAUCUCUUCCGCAGUCCAGUUGUCCAGAACACUUCCAGGUGUGUAGGGGCAAAUGCCCGACAAAUUUUCUCUUCCCGUCUCCUCUUCGUAUGUGGCGUUGAUGUCUAAAUUUUCCAGCCUUUCUUUUAUGGCUCCCUUCAUUGGCGUGCCUCUCUCGGGAUGAAUAAUUCCCCCGGACACAAACGUUUUCGAUAUAUGGGGGAAUAUCAUUGGCUCCUAUUUGAUUUCCCCCCUUCCCUCCCGUUAACCGUGCUCUCCUUCUUUCUUGCUUCUUUUCCAGCUCCUUUCUCCUUUGUCUCGUAUCCGGCCUAAAUCCUAAGUCGAAGCUAUCUCUCUUGUCCUUCAGCAUUGGUGUUUCAAUCCUUCCUUGUAGAUGUCUCCCAAGUCCUCUUCCGGGUAGGGCCCCCUUUCCAAUCGUCAACUGUAGGCUCAUCCUCGUGGUUUUGGACAAUUUUGGCACCAGAAUCUUGCUUCCUUCGGCGAUAAAGGUCGCAUUAACAAAUUCCAAAGAUCGAAAUGAACAUUCGAUUGCUUCAUCAUCCGUCUCCAAAUAAGGCGCAUUAUUGCUCACAGUUGCAAUGAUAUCAUCUUCAGCAUUGAUCGUUAUCAACCUCCCCUCUGAUACCAGCUUUAACUUUUGAUGCAAUGAGGAAGGCACUGCCCCAGCUGAAUGUAUCCAGGGCCUCCCCAAUAAGCAAUUAUAUGAGGGCUUGAUAUCCAUUACUAGGAAAUCCACCUCAUAUGUGUGUGGCCCGAUUUGCAGAGGUACCUCGAUUCUUCCCAUCACCCUUCUCUCUGUACCGUCAAAUGCUUUCACUAUAUUCUGGCACUCCUUCAUGUGAGAGCUGUCUACAGGUAAUCUGUUAAGUGUAGUCAAGGGCAAGACAUUCAAGGCCGAACCAUUGUCAAUCAGUACGCCUGGCAGCGUAUACCCUUUACAGCGCGUGGUGAUAUGCAAAGCUUUAGUCGACCCCAUGCCCCCGGGUGGUAUCUCAUUGUCAUUGAAAAAGAUAUAGUUGUCAGCACUUAUGUUGCUAACCAAACGGUCUAGCUUGUUAACGGAGAUAUCGUUGGCAACAUAUGUCUCAUUCAAGACCUUCAUCAAUGCGCUGCUAUGAACUUUCGAGCUUAGAAGUAAGCCCAGCACCAAGAUGCGAGCCGGUUGUUUACGUAGCUGUUCCACCACACUGUAUUCGCUAUGUUUUAGGAAUUUUAAAAACUCGUUGGCCUCUUCCUCGUUAACUGGCUCGUUAACAGAUUUGGUCAUUUUAUCAUUCAUUUCCUCGACCACUGGGGUUUUUCCUUUUAUGGGUUGUGCCUCCUCAUUUGCUAUAUCGUAACGUCUUCCGUUAUGUGUAUAGGAGCCCCUGUCUUGACCCUCUUUUGAAGCAUCCACCAGGCUUUCCUUUCCCGAAAUUGUCACGUUAUAAUCAUAAUUCCAUGUGACCUUUUUGCUGUCUUUGUAGGGGAAGACUGCAGGUCUUUGGAUUAUGACCUUCAGUGGCAUUUGUACUCCAGCUUCAUUAUUUUUAGGUCUCGAUGUGAUAACCACGGGAUAGUUAGCUGUUUGAUUCUGUGCCGUCGAUUUUCCCUCCGACGCACAUAUAUCUCCCUCUAUGGGGUUCUUAGCUUCUUGAUAAAACUCUAUUUCUUUAUUAUCUAUCAUGUUUUGCACGAGGGCCUUAAAUUCCAUACAAUCUUGGAUUUCAUGCCUCACCUCGUCAUGAAACUCGCAGUAGUUUCUCCCUUCUUCUGAUACUUCCCUUGAAUCCGACACGAUCAACCCUCUCUUAACCAUCUCCUUCCACACCCGUCUCAACGGGGUCCUGACUUCCGCAACCUCACACUUAAUCUUCUUGUUUUUGCCUUCGCUUAUCCCAUUCACCCCUUGGUCGGUAUGAUUAGGGAGAAGAUUUCCUGCUACAUUGGGUACGGUCAAACCUCACGAUCUCCAUCUUAAUGAGUCUUUCGACUACUUUCUUGAACGCAGUGCAAUUUUCGAUUGAGUGCCCGGUAAUUUUCGCAUGGUAUUCACAUUGGGCGUUUGUGUCAUACCAUUUGGGAUACGGGGGCUGCAAUAGCUUCAGGUAAAACGGAGACACCACAUGAGCGUUGAACAGGUUUCGGUAAAGCUCCCUAUACGUCAUGGGUAUAGGAGUAAAUUGUGGCAUUUCUGUGUUCUCCCUCGCGUUGGAUUCUUGUCUUACGGAGCUACGUUAAUUGGUGGCUACCGUCUUUGGCUGAUUUACGGUAAGUGACUUGGACUGACCCUUGUUGAAUGUGCUCGUAUUGUUCACUUCUUAUCUCUUUUCUUCGGGGCCGACUUCCUGGUACUCUCUCCUAAUUCUAUCUUACCGCUUCUAAUAGUAUUUUCGAUCAUUUCCCCUAUCAUCACUAUGUCAGUGAAGCUCUUGGUGGCGCUUCCCAACAUAUGAGUGAUAAAAGGGGCCUUCAAUGUGUUAAUAAAGAGCAUCGUCGUUUCCUUUUCUAGAAGUGGUGGCUGAACUUGUAUGGCCACCUCUCUCCAUCUUUGUGCAUACUGUCUGAAGCUUUCAUUUGAUUUCUUCUCCAUAUUCUGGAGAGUGAUUCUGUCGGGGGUCAUGUCCGUCACAUGAUUGUAUUGCUUCAUAAAUGCCUGAGCCAGGUCCUUCCACAAGUUAAUUUUAGAGCGGCUUAAUUGGUUGUACCACUUAGACGCCACCCCGACCAGGCUAUCUUGAAAGCAGUGGAUUAAUAGUUGGUCAUUGUUAACGUACCCCGUCAUUCGCCUACAGAACAUAGUGAUGUGAGCUUCAGGGCAGCUUGUUCCAUUGUAUUUCUCGAAUUUGGGCAUUUUGAAUUUAGGGGGAAGGACUAAAUCUGGGACUAGACUCAGGUCCUUGGCAUCAAUCCCUUGAUGAUGAUCCGCGCUUUCCAUGGCUUUGAAUUUCUCCUCGAGCCAUCUGCACCGUUCUUCCAAUUGUUUUUUGUGAAUCUAUCCUUGCCUUUUCUUCGUCAGCAACUUCAUCCAAAUCGGGAACGGGCGGAUAGUUCAGGUUGUUGACAAAGUUAAAGCCUGAACCGAUUUGAAAGUUCAUCGGUAUUGAAGCUCUGGCUUGAACCUGCUAGGGCAUGAUUGUGACAGAUGGUUUGGUGGAUUAAUCUCUGGCUUCAGCGGUACUUGUGUCAGAGUGAAGCCAAUGGGGUAUUGAGGAUCUUCAUUAGUUUCUUCAACUUUAUCCAUGGGGCCCUUUCCCUUAUCCGUUCCUCCCAAUAGCAAUUGGGAUAACUGACUCAUCAUUUCCCUUUGGGAUUCCAUCAUUUGUUCCUUCAUCUCUCGCUGAAUCUUGGCUAGCUGCUCUUGCAUCUGAAACUGCAUCUGAAACUACAGUUUUACAGUGAAGCCUCUAAUUUUUCUAUUAUUCUUUUCAUUUCUUCUAUCUUGCUCAAGCUUGCCCUUAAUUCUAUUGCGGUGUUGCGGUUUCGGUACUGAUGCAGAGAUUUCUCGAGUUCUGCCACUCUAGCUCUUAAUUCACCUCGCUCAUUUCUACUUUCCGACAGACUUUUCUCUAAAUCCUUGUUUCGUGCUUGAGCUUCUCAGAAUUUCUUUUCCCACUGGUCGGCAUUGGUUUUUUUUCUCUGAUUUCAUAGCGCCAUUGUUCGGAAGUCUUGCCUAACCCCGCAGUCCUCAUAAAUAGGCGCAGCAUCUUAUAGUCCGUCUUCAAGCUGUCUAGAUCUGCUUCAGCCUUGGUUUUCCCUUUUCUCCACUUUUCAGCCUCUGACCUCUGGACAUCAGCGUCUAAUCUUAAGUGCAUCUUUUGCUCCUCCAAUUGUUCGAUCUUCUUCCCAAGCUCCAAACUCUUCUUCUUGAAAUCUUGCCUUAUAAUCUCCAAUUCUGACGGGGCGACUUGUAAUUGUUCCCCCAUAGGUCAAGCAUUCUCCAAGCUUGGCCUAGAAACGUUAUCAUUAACCCUAUUCUUAAACUAUCCGUCAUACUCGGGUGUUACCAUGGAACCGACGGCCAACCUUUUCAUCCAACAAGUUUACUUCUAAACAUCCGAUAGCUCCCGAACUUUCUUCUUAUAGUGAGCACCUUUAAAAGAGAAUUCACUCUGAGCAAGUCCAUAAGUCGUGGGUACAAACUACCUCGAUUUAUAUUGUCCCAAGGCUAGCAAUAGAGUAUACCUGGUAGCUCCCCAAAUUCCUAACAACGGCACCCAAUCAAAGUUACCGCAUCGGUACAUGAUCUCAUCAGGAACCAUCCAAUAAGCUCUCCACUUGAUAUCCCCCUCCUUGAGGUUUUGAGGAAUUUUCAUCCACUUCUCCUCCGAGAUAUCCUCUGUCCUUUGUAUAGCUGCCUCCUCUUUCAGUGGGGAGUAACCUUCAGAAAAGAUCUGAUAAGAAACCUUGUCUACCUUUCAAAAGUGCCCAUGAAACCAUACUAUCAGUAAUUGUGCACAUCCAAUAAACCGCCAUUCGCCUGUCUUCCGACAUGAGCUCAAAGAUCUGAACGUUUCUGCCAAUAUCACUGGUACUGGUGUAAUUCCCUUCUCAAGGCAUUCAAAUAAGUCAACGACUGCCUCUUCUACGUGCCUCAACAUCUUAGGGAAAAUUACCAAUCCGUAGAUACUUAAUGCGAAGAUAUCGACCCUCUUUCUUUCAUCCGGAUGCGUCAAAAUCAAGUCUCGCAAAUUCUUCCAAGGGAUACAUUUACUAUCUCCUUUUUGCUGAAUCCGAGCAGUGACCCAAGGCUCGCUCAUCCCAGAAAUGCUCAUCAAUUUCUUCACAAAAGUCUGACUACUAAAAACCCGGGCAUAAGUCUUCCGGACCUGAAUUUUUAAACACCUGAGCAGUGUAGUGUAUUCCUCUAUGGUAGGUACUAAAUCCACUUCUCCAAAAGUGAAACACUUGUAAGCAGAAUUCCAAAACUGAACUAUAACCCGGAAUAGAUGCUUGUCCACUCUAAUGUCUAGCAAGUAGGAUAUAUCACCAUAGCUUAGGUAAAAGAACUGCUUGAUCCCUUUAUCCCAACUAGCCCAAAUGUCUCUAAACUCUUGCAGCUCAUUCUGUGCUACAUUGACGCGAGUGAAAUCCUGCAACUCGGAGAUAUAUCCUUCUGCCAAGCUAUCCCCUCUCUCUGAUUGUAGCUUCUCUGACCAUGCACAAACGACCGCAUUAUCCUCGACUUUACUAAGAAAUUCAUUCUCCAUGUCAAACUUUCUAAUUUAAUAAUUGAAUAUAGAUCAACACCUCCUUUAGUAUACAAUGUCAUGCAAAAUACAAUCAAAACAAAACACAGGUUAGUAUCAGAUAAUAGCGGUAAAAUGCAAGCACAUAAAUUACAACGUAUAUAUGGGUAAGUACUAAGGCUCGACGCGGCUCCACCCAAGGAUAGCUCCUAAGGUUCAUUAUAUGUGGUUCGGUUCUAGAGAUAAGGUACCUGAACCAGCGGAUUCCUCAAUCCUCACCCAUUAUAGGCUCAUAUAGAUUGAGUUUGGUUCAGGGGGAUACAUUUCCCUAUGACCAUACGGAGAUGAAAAUCUCACGAAAUCAUAGGUACAGAUGUAUCCCGGAAGCAAUCCAUUAGCCUAUGCGGAGGUGAAAACCUCACGAAAGCGUAGUUUCUUACUCCCACUUAGAAGGUGUGACCACAGCGGUCAUGCAAUGGAAUGUAGUACUAUUCUAUGAGAUCCGAACCAUAACAACCAUACAAACGAAUGCAAUCAUGAUUUUUAAAACAAGUUUUCGAUUUUUGACAGAAGGAUAGCAAAUAAUCGAUUUUAUGGCUAGACUUUCUUAAAGAGUCCCCAGUGGAGUCGCCAAGCUGUCGAAACCACCUUUUUAUUUAAAAUUUUUAUGUUUAAUGAAAAACGAGAAUCGACCUUUUGAAAAUAAAACAUGGAGUCGCCACCGAUCUUUUGUUUUGGUGUGAUCGGAUCACAUAAGAAUUUGGUUAUUUUAAUAAAACAUUUUUGGUUUACUAAAAUGACGAUUUUGGUCUACAAACUUUUGAGAAAAUGGGUUAGGGAGUCGGUUACGCAUGAGUAAGGAUUAGUACCCUCACUACGCCCAAAAUUGGUACCAAAUCGAUUAAAUAUUGUCCUUAUGUCUAAAAUUUAAAGAUGUUUUUUUGAAAUGUGGUUCUUUUUUUUAAGACUUGAGUAACCCGAGUUGGUUGCAAAAAAUCUUCUUGUUUCGACUUCCGAAAGCUUAUAAUCCAAAAAUUACAAAAUGGUGCCCAACUAUUUGGUCCAACGAAAAACCGAAACCCAGCACAGCAGGGCUCGAUUCCUCAAAUUUCCAAACACUGAACAUUGCCUCACCUUAGAAAACACGAGUGCAAUUCCGAAGAGAUAUUCGAUUAUUUUGAACAAACGGGAGAUUGCAACCCAGCACGAUAGGGCACUAUUCCCCGAAUUUCCAAACACCGGACAUUUCUUUCAUUUUAAAGGGUUUUUAGAAAACGUGAGUGAAAUUCUGAAGGAAUCUCCGAUUGUUUUGAACAAACGAAAAUGCGUAACCCAGCACGAUAGGGCACGAUUCUCGAAUCACCAAACAUCUAAGAUCACCUUCAUUUUGGGAGGUUUUUUAAUAAACAUGAGUGAAAACCUAAAGGAAUAUCCGAUUAUUUUGAACAAACGAGAAAUCACAACCCAGCACGAUAGGGUAUGACUCCCGAAUUAUCAAACACCGAGUAUUGCCUUCGUUUUAAAGGAUUUUUAGAAGACAUGAGUGAAAUUUUGGAGGGAUAUUCGAUUAUUUUGAGCAAACGCAAAAUUGCAACCCAGCACGUUAGGGCACGAUUCCGCGAAUUGCCAAAAUAUCAAAUCUCAUCUUCGUUUUAAAGAAUUUUUAAAUGAAUAAUUAUAAAACUAGAUUAAAAUGUAUUAAUGCGUUUUUGAAAUGAGAUGAAUUUAACCAUAAAAAUUUGGGUUUAAAAAAACCACAUUUCAUGAACUAAGUGGAAAACGAUGAUAUGGGGGAAUAUGUGUACGCACCAAAACACGACAACAGAAUAGUGGAGGCAAUACAAUUUACUUAACCAACUAACGAGAACUUAAAUGACUAAGCAUAACUAGUUUGGAAAUAUAACUCAAUUUCAACCAUGCAUGGAGAAUAAUUAACAUGACAAUAUGAAACAAAUGAAUAAAUAAUAUGCAACGAAAACAUACAUGGCAUAAUAAAAAUGAUUACUAUUAGAUGCACAAAACAAAAUGCAGAUCAAAUGAGCAAUAUGGUGUAAAACUAUUUUAAAACAAUGAUAAGUAUAUGACACAUACUAUAUGAAUUGAUGAAUUGAUAAGUAAAAAAAAACUUUUGUUAAUGGCAAGCUUAAUAAACACACGCAAUCAUUAGAAUAUAUAUAUAAUAUAAAAGAAUAAUAAUGAAGAUAUAUGACAAGAUAUAAUACACAAAAUAGAUUUAUAAAACAUAUGUACAUGUAAGUUUAUAAAAAAAAACAUGAGAUUAAUGUAGCGACAUAAAAAAUUUUGCUUUCGGUCGCUAGUUGAGUCGAUUUAUUGAAAAUUUGAAAAACGACUUUCGACUUUAUUAAAAAAAGUGAGUCGCCAUCGAUCCUUUUUCCUAGGUGUGAUCGGACACCUAAUAAAUCCUCUUCAUUUAAAAGGAAAUUCAUUUUUUAAACAAAAAAGAAGGCCGAAUUUAGGUCUACGUCGAAAAUCCAGAGAAAAAUAGGGUUCAAGAGUCGGUUACGCACAAGGAAGGUAUUAGCACCCUCGCGACGCCCAAAAUUGGUAUCUUUAUUAAACACGUGUUGUCUUGAUUUUCAAAAAUACGAAUUCAAUUUGACAUUUAACCGUGAUCUGAUUGAAAAAUGAGAAUUUGAAAUUUUGGUUUUUUAGAAGGACAUCCCAUUUUUAACACGAGCCAAUGAUAUCCACCUAACAUAGCGAUGGAAUCAGCGACUUAAUGUUGAAAUCGGUACGUUGCCUUAUUUAUUUUUGAAAUUAAUUAAAACAUAUAAAAAAAAUACCAUAUGCGAUAGGAAAUUGUAAACAAUGUAAGCGAUGAUACAAUUAAUGAAAAAUAUUAAAAUAUAAUAUUAGCAUAAAAAUAACAAUAAUAUUCACAAUAAGAAAAUAAUGUUCUAAUAAAAUCAUAAAAGAAAUAGAUUUGUGGUAAUGAUAAAAAUAUUAAUAUGGACACGAAAAAUACACACAUAUAUGUAUGUUAAUGAUGAUGGUAAUGAUAAUAAAAAUGACAAAUAUUAUGUAAUAUAUGUAACCAAACUUAUAAUUUAAGUAAAAAUGAUAAAAUAAUAAUGGAAUAAAUAUAGAUAGAUAUUAUAUGAAAUAAAAUAAUGAUACAGGAUAAUAGGAAAUUUCGAGAUUACUUAAAAGUGUGAGCGAAUAAAUAAUGAAAUAAAAUUAAAAUUAAUGUACUAUAUAAAACGCAAAUAUAUAUUAAAAAAAAGCUAUAAUAAUAAUAAUAGUAAUUAUUAAUAAAGUAAUAAUAAUAAAAAUAACAAUAGUAAUAUUAGUGAUAAAAAUAAUAGCUAUAAAAAUAAACAUAAUAAUGAUGACAAUAUAGAACAAUAAUAAUAAUAAUGAAAAUAAAAUAAUAUUAAUAAUAUUUUGUAUUACGAUGGUAAAGUAAUAACAAAGGUGAUAAUGAUAAUAAUAAUUAAUAAGUUAAAUUAAUUAGUAAUAAAGUAAUAAUUAAAUAAACAUGAAAAGGAAAGUGUAUAAAAUAAUAAUAAUAUUAAAAUAAGGUAAUUAAAAAUACUACUAUAUAAAUACAUAUAUAUACAUAUAUAACGAAAACAUUCACUAUAUUAACAAUGAUAAUAAUAAUAAUAGUAAUAAUAUUAAAAUACAAAAAAAUAAUAUAAUAUAAUAAGAAUAAUAAAAAAUACUAUAUAUAAAUAUAUAUACAUAAACAAAAAUAUACACUACUAUAUAAUAAUAAUAAUAAUAAUGAUAAUAAUAUUGAAAUACAAAAAAAAACAAAUAUAAUAAAAAUAUUAAAAUAAAGUAAUAAAAAUAAACCUAUAUGUAAAUAUAUAUACAUAUACAUAUAUACUAAAACAUAUACAAAUAUUGAUAAUAAUAAUGAUAAUAAUAAUAUUGAAACAUAAAAAGCAAAUAUAAUAUUAAUAAAAUAUUAAAAUAAAGUAAAUAAAAAUAAUAUUGAAUAUAAAUAUAUAUAUACGUAUAUAAUAAGAGUAUACACUAAUAUAUAAUAAUAAUAAUAAUAAUGAAAAGUAAUAAUAAUAUAUUAAAUAUGUUAAUUUAAUAUGUAAUGGAAAAUAACAAAAAAAAAGUAAAUUAAACCUACAAUGAAAGUUCAGGGCCAAUUUGUAAAUAAAUAAAGAAUAAAAACGAUCAAAUCGAACGCGCUAGCAAUAAAGAGGGACCAAACCUGAAAAUAAUCCUCCCUCUAAAACGCACAGCAUCGGGUAGGACUCCAUUGAAGUCCAGGCACAAAUUCGGGGCAAGAUUGAAAAAACGAAAAAUACUUGAUUGCAAAACAAUAAAAAUGUGGAAGGGCUAAAAACGCAAUUAGCCCUUCCUUAAAAAAAAGUGCGGAUCCUCAGUGGGCGGGUCGGAUCGGGUCGAUUCAGCCCCAAAACGACGUCGUUUUGGGGCUAUUCAGGACACCCUGAAACGGUGCCGUUUAAAAGGGCUAUAAAAGCAAAAAAUUUUUGAGAAGAAUUCAUUUCUGCUAUCUUUCUUAAAAAAAAACUUGGCUGUUCUCUCAAUCCCUCCCUCUCUCCCUCUAAUCGGACUCAAAGUCCGGCAAGCAAGCCGCCGUAUGUCGCCGCCGGUCACCAUCUCCGGCCACCGUUAAAAGGUAUAUAUUUUUAUCCCUUUUUUUUCUAUUUUCUUUGUAUUUAAUAUAUGUAUACAUAUGAGUAAGCAAAUUCGUAAAUAGAAAAAGAAACAAAAAUAAAUAAAUAGAGAGAAAAUAAUAAUAAUAAGAUAAUAUCACCUUUUGCUUUAGAUUUAGACUCUUGGUAUUUCAACUUCCCGAUUUGGGGUUAUUUUCCUUUUUUUGUGUUACUAAGAUCUUUGCUUUUCUCGUAUUUAAAAUCUAAUCCUUUUUUACCACUGUCGAACGUUUUUUAUACUUGCAUAGAAAAUAAAUUUUGCCGAAUCCUCUUUCUGAUUUCGGCUUGGCCUUUUAAAGCCAUGUUACAUGCAUUUUUUAGUAUUAUCUGUCCCUUCUCCUUUUGAUCUUUGCAUGCGAGUGGGUGGUGCUGACAUGGGCGGUGGAGCAGGUGGGGCAGGUGGUUGGUAUGAGGCGAUGGGAUGUCGGCUGAACUUAGGGGGCUAGGGUUUUUUCUUUUUCUGAUUUUGUUUGGGCUAGGGUUAGGUUAGGCUAUUGGGUUUGGGUCUAGUUGGGUUAAAUUUGUUGGGUUUGGGUAUUGGGUCCUAAUGGGUUGUUGGGUUUGAUUUGGUUUGGGUUCAGUAUUGGGUUUAAUUUUGUUGGGUUUAUUUUUGUAAAAGGCCCGGGCUAAUUUGGGCUUCUACAAUUAAUAAUGAGAUAUAUAUAAAUUUUUAAAAUAGUUUCAUAUAUACAUAAUUAUUAAAACAUAUAUUAUGGAAUAAAUAUUUUUAAUCAAAUAGCAUACAAAAUAUUGAGGAAUAUUAGCUAAAAACUAACAAUUUUCAUAAAAAAUUUAAAAUAUGUACCAAAGAUGAAAAGAUUACAAAAAAAAAUGUAUAAUAAAACAUAAUCUUAGAAACAUAAUGAAUUUACACAUCGCGCAUAUAUAUAUAACAUUAAAAGUAAUUAUUCGUAAAAGCAUGUAAUACAUACAAAAUUAACUUGAUUUUAUUGUAAGUUAUAUGAUAGAUUUAAAAGCAUACCUAUAUAGAAAGAAAACCAUACGCGUAGAAUACGCGAGUUUAAUAAUGUAUAGAUUAAAUGUGGUAUCCACAAUGCAUAUACAUAUAAUGAUAAUAACUUAAAAGAUAUUACAUAGGAUUAUAUGAUGCAAUACGAGAAUAAAUUUAAAAAGGAAUCAUGUGCGUAAAAUAAUAUAAGGUUGAUUAAUAUAUACAUGCAAUAAAAUUAAUUUUGAUACAAAGUAUAUAUAUAUAUAUAUAUUAAUAUUUAAAAGAGAUUGUAUAAGAAAAUUAAAAGAGUUUAAUGCAAAAAGAAAUUCGAAGUGGUUAUUUCAUAAAACAAAACAAAAUCAUGCAUGUACAAAUGUAUAUGUAUACAACAAAUAUAAUAUAUUAAAAAACAAGAUAUUGACAUGAUAAAAAUCUGAAAAUAAAGUAAUAAUAAUAAAAGGAUCAAUAUUCAAUGCGUGAAAACGCAUAGGGACUAAAACUGGCAAUAUACCAGAUACCAAAAUGUUACGUUUAGGCGCGGAUUAGAUUGCAAACAAAUGUAAAUUACAAGGAAAAAAUUAAAAAAAGGAAAAAAAGGAGCAGAUGGGCCGAUUUAAACGCAGUGCAAAAGGGGGGGAUUUAACUUGCAAAUAACCCCUCACCGCGAUGACGAGCGGAUCUUGAGAGUCAAAGAACCGGAUCGGGUCGGGCAGAAAGGGGGUGGCCUAGACGAUGUCGUUUGAGACCAUUGUUAUUGGUCUAAACGGUGUCGUUUCUACUACCAUAGAAAGGCUAAACCAUGCCUUCAUUCAGCCGAAACCCUAGAGUAACCCUGGCCUUUCUUUUUUUCCUUAGCCGAACCCUAAGUCACCGCCCUAAACCAACGAUUCCCAUCCCCCCAGGCACGAACCGCUCACCCAAGCCCGGAGGAUGAUUUUUAGCCUCAAAAUCUCCUCUUGGCCUCGACUUUAACAAAGCAGAAGGAGAUCUACGGCAUACCCCCGGUAAGGUUUCGUUUCUUGUUUCUUUUUUCUUUUAUGCACUCAAAACUCGAAAGAACGACUGAAGAUUUAGAAAUAAAUGAACUGGGCCAAGGAUAAAAGAAAAGCCUCAGAGAUUGGAAUCGGAAUCACCUUCGAAUGCUCGUUGCUUUUUUUGUAUAUUGCCUUUGUUUUUCGUUUUCUAUUGCUUCUGUAUGCGUAAAAAAUGGGAACCGAAUGUUCAAAAAAGAAAUAAAAGAAUACAAUUUUUGUUCUUUUUUCGUAUUGGCCAUUGUUGCUGCUGUCAUUUUGUCUGUUUCUUUGCAGGUACGGAGUGUGCAUUGGUGCUCGAGUACGGGGCUGUGCGUUGGCAUCGUACGGAGACUGUGCUGGCGCGGGCGUGGCUGCUAGACGGUACGGAGCAUACGACGCUGGGCUGGGGCUCGUCUGUGGUUGCGGCGCGAAAGUGAGGAGGAAGCUCUAGGGUUUCUUUUCUCAAAACACUGGGCCUAAUGGGCUAGUAAUUGAUAUUGGGCUGUAGGGCAUUGAUUAAUGACUGUUUUGUUUAUUUGGGUUUUAUGUUUAAGUUUGGGCUAUUGGGUUUGGGUUUAAGUUUGGGCCAUUGGGUUUGGUUUUAGGAUAUCUGUAAAUGGACAUUUAUUUAAUUAUUGGGUUUUUUACUAUUUGGUUUGAGGUUAAUGGGCCGGGCAAAUUUGGCCACUACAUUAUUAAUAGAUUUUAAAUUUUUUAUUUAUGAAUUUAAUAAAAUGUUAUAAUUUUUACUGAAAUGAAAUAUAUUAAAAAUAUUGUAAUAAAGUUCAUAUUUUGAUUUAUUUGUGAAAAUUAAAAAACUCAUCAAGUUUAUAUAAAAAUGUAAUUUUUAUUUUAAACAAACGAUAGAAUCAUUUUGUUGCACCAAAGUGCCUAUGUGCUGGGUCGGAUACCACACAAAAUUUUCCUAAAGCUCUUGCCCAAGAGUUAUUUAGGAUGAUGGGCUUUGAUUGAACUGUUAGCCCAAAAGGUUAUAUUAAUAUAUAUAUUAUAAUUAAAUUUAAAUAUUUUUUUAUUUUAAAUGUACGUACCAUUAUACUGAAACUCACAAUAAUAAUAAAUGUAAAUUAAAUUAGUCAUUUAACUACUAACUUUUUAUAAAUAAUGAUUUCGAUUUACAUGUCAAUCUAAGUCAUGCAAAAUGUCUAACGUACCAGCUUAUAUAACCAAAGAAAAGAGUUUAAUUUGUAGGGUAAGGGACACCAUUAAUCAAUAAAUUAUUAAUACAUUUUUAUUUUGGUCAUUGAACUACUUAAAAGUUUUCAUUUAAGUCAAAUUAGAAUGUUAAAAUAAAUGUUACAUGGCUUUUUUAGUUCGCAUUGUCUGCACUAAUCGAAAGCUCUUUUUUCUCAUUCUCUUCUACAAUUCAGUUUUUUUUUAUGAAACAAUUUUGGAUGUCACAAAUUUACGAACCAAAUUUUAAACAACUUUUCUCUCUGAUAUCCUACAUUGAUAUUCACACUGACUUGGAUCUAAAGUAUGUUCUUUUACUCGUCAAUGGAUACUAGUCCACAGUACUAAUCGUCGAAUCGUUGCUUGAAACUCAUUGGUGGAACUUUUAAAAAAAAAACUUAAUAACCUCGUGAUUUAAAUAAAAACUUUUGAAUAGUUUAGUAGCUUAAAUGAAAACUUUAAAAUAAUUCAAUAAUCAAAUUAUAAUUUUUUAAUUAAAUGACCAAAACAAAAAUUUACCCAUAAUUUAAUGACUAAUGGUGCAAUCUACACUAAUUUGUAUCACUAAAUUAUUUUAAGGGAUCGUGAGGUGUGGUGUGACAAUACUUGUUACAGAUAGGCAAAGUUUUCAUCAAAAUUUGAAAGAAACCUAGUGCACUAGUUAUAUAAGCUUUAGGGUAAAUUACAUCAAUUGUCUCUAAUCUUUGAUUAAAAUUAUAUUAUAGUCACUUAAUUUUUAAAAGUUAUAUAAUUGUCACUAAAAUUAUCGAAAUGUUACAUUUUAGCCAUUCAUCCGUUAAGAAGAUGAUAUGGCACAUUAAUUUAAAGGGUUUGUCCCUGAACAAUAAUUAAAAUAUCAAUUUGAUACUUUUAAAAUUUUUCUUAAUAAUAAUUCUAAAAAAUUAAAGGGUAAAUUACACAGAUAGUCACUUAAGUUUUAAUGCAUUCCUAUUUUGGUUACCAGAUUCUUUUUUGUUAAUUUAGUCACUUCCAUUAGAUUAAUUGUCAUUUUUAGUUACUCCAUCGUUAAAAUACAUUGGUACUGAACGGAAUGUUGAUGUGGCAAUCUUUUGAUUGGUGUAAUAACAAAUUUAACCCUUAACACUUUACACAUUCUAUCUACUUGGUCCUAUGUUGAAAAAAAUCAACAAAUUUAACUCAAUGUUUACACAUUUUUAUCAAUUUAGUCCAAAUUCAAAAAAUCCAAAAAUUUUAUAAUUUUAAAAACUUAAAAAAUAUAUAUAAUUUAUUAUAAAAAGACAUAAAACUAAAAAAUAAUUAAAAAUAUAUAUAAAAUUACUUGGUUAGGUUUUGAUGGUAGAUGAAAUAAUUUAUACUUUUCUUUGGCUGAUGCAAACUUGGUUUAUACCAAUGGGGGAAUAGGCUCCGCAAGUGAUGCUCACUGAUCAAAACAAUGCCAUAAAAGUAGUUGUAGUUGCUGUGUUUCCUGCUACACGACAUUUUUUCUGUGUUAUGGCAUGUCUUGGGUGACUAUUUAAGUAAUUUACCUUUUUUAGAAUUAUUAUUAAGAAAAAGUUUAAAAGUAUCAAUUUGAUAUUAUAGUUAUAGUUUAGGGGCUAAAUUGGUUAUUAAACCUUCAAAUUAACAUGUUUUGUCAUUAUCUUAAUGAAAGUUAACGGAUGAGUGACUAAAAUGUAAUAUUUCAAUAACUUCAGUGACAAUUAACUUUUCAAAGUUGGAUAAUUAAAAUAUAAUUUUAAUCAAAUGUUAGUGAUAAUUGAUGCAGUUUACUCUAAAUUUAUAUAUAUAUAAGCACCAUAUUAAUAGAGUUUAAUAAAUAUUCUUUUCGUAUAAUCAAAACCGGAUUAGAUUAGAUUAAUCAAUGGUUGAAUAGGUUACAUAUAUUCGGAAAUAAUGAAAAUUGUUUUGAACUGAAAAUUUGAGAGUUGAUAUGGGAUAUUGAGAUGAGGAGAAAAAGGAAGUUAUAUUUGUAUAAGAAAAAGUUUGAAAGUAUUCAAUCAUUUUUGUGAAAUAAUAUUGAACAAAUUUAUUAAUAAAAUUUGAACAUUCAUAAUGUUUUCUCAAAAUUACAAACUUCAUCACCAGACUAGCGUCGAUUUCUUGUGAAAAAGGGAUUAAUUAAAAAGUCAACAUGCUUCCUUUUAAUGAAAUCUUAAAAGAAUGAAUUAAUCAAACAGUAAAUUGUUGACCAAUAUUUUCCGGGAAGUAGCUUUCAGAUGCUUAAAAAGUAACAGUGUAUUUUACAAUAUUAUCAGGCUACAUGGCCUCACUUUGUAUUGAAUAUAUAUUAUAAACGAAAGCAAAGAACAAAAAUACAAAAUAAAUAAAGAAAAUUACUUAGUGCUUUAACUUAUUACAAAGGGAUUUGUCUCCUUAGUAUGUUUCUACCAUGGGAGAUCCCCACUUUUAUCCCAAAUAUCAGGUUAUCAUUACGUUGCCUUGGAGACAUCCUUACUUGACCUAUUGUACUUCAUAUGGCUCCUAACUAGUUGUCCUGCUGAAAUUGCAGACAUAAGCGACAGCUCCCCCGCAAGAACAGCAGACGCUACAAUGGUUGCCAGCGUCCUAGAGUUUGCUCCUGGUGUCUCUUUGCUUGCACCCUUCACUCCAAGUAAGUUCAAACAGGCUGAUUGAGAUGCAAGCUGAGUUCCACCACCAACAGUCCCAACCUAAAAGAUACAGCAACACAGAUAAUUAGGGACUAACAUAAAUACCCAGAUUUUGUUUUGGCAACGGAAGUCCUUGUGUUGGACAAUCAGACAGCAACACUAUCAAUUACCUCGAUGGAAGGCAUUGUGACAGAGACGUGGAGGUCCUUGCCAUCAUUAACAGCUUCCAUCAUCGUGAUGCAAUGCGAGCUCUCGACGUUUUGAGCCGGAUCUUGGCCGGUAGCUAUGUAGAUUGCAGCAACGAUGUUACUGGCGUGAGCGUUAAAUCCACCCAGAGCUCCAGCCAUAGCUGAUCCAGUAAGGUUCUUCAGCAUGUUAAGCUCAACGAGAGAUUCCACACUUGUCUUCAAGACCUUCCUAACCACAUCACCCUUAAUGGUGGCUUCACAGACAACAGAUUUGCCUCGUCCUUCAAUCCAAUUUACCGCAGCCGGUUUUUUGUCGGAACAAUAGUUUCCUAUAUGCAAAAAUUCAUAAAUAUCAGUGAUCCUAUGUCGGAUAGUAAAAGACAUAAUUGCAAGCCUAUACAAAAAAAUGAAACUCACCAGAGAUGCCAAUGACAUCCAUGUCAGGGAAAUCAGUCUGAAGGAAAUCCAAAACAUUUUGCACUCCCUUGGAAACCAUGUUCAUCCCCAUAGCAUCACCUGUACUGCAAGUGAAUCUAAUAUACAGAUUCUUUCCAGCAAUUGCACAUUUGAUACCCUGGAGCCUGCCAAAUCUACUUGAUCUGCAACCACCAAAAAGCCAAAUUUUCAAUAUUAGCUUGAAUUUUAAAUCAAUCAAUAUGGAGUUCUAGAAAUAUAAAAACAAACCUGUUGAAAACAACAGACAAGGUCUCGAAAUUAUCAGGGUCCUCCAAAUACAACUUCAAAUCAGCUGCCCUUUUCGCAUUACCGAACCUUACACAUGGAGCUCUAGUCAUACCAUCUUUCAAUAGAACACUUGUAGCUCCACCAGACAAAUGAAUAGCCUUACAGCCCCUAUUAGUGCUAGCCACCAAGCACCCUUCCGUGGUAGCCAUAGGAACCGAGUACUCUCUUCCAUUAACCAACAAAGGCCCGGCAAUUCCAACGGGAAUUUGCACGUAGCCAACCGGCAUCUCACAACACUGCCCUAGAAUCGACUCGUAAUCAAACCCAUCCAAGGGCAAUCCAGAUAACGACUUCCCUGUUAAUCUUUGCAACGCUUCCCGCCUGAUUGCAGCCGCCCUCUUGCAAUCACCCAAUUUCAAUUCCAAGGAAUACGAAGGGGUUGUACCAGCCACUACAGAUUUAAUUAUUUCUUCAUCUUCCUCCGUUAGAACCGUCACAGGCUUUUCAUCGAACACCUUCUGGACGGUCACGAUUGGUGCCGCAGGAGGCAGAGGUGGAAGCGAACAAUCGAGAGCUUGCCCGCAAGGGACCUUACGGGCAUCUUCCUUUGCAAGCAGAACUUCAUCAUCCUCUUCCUCGGCAAUCCAAACGUCAGGCGAUGGUUGGAAAACCAAAGAUUGAACGAAGUCAAUCCCAAAGAAACCCAAAAGGUAAAUAAAGGACGCGAAAAAUGAGAGAAUGGCGAUGAUCUCUGAAAAGGUGACGACAUGGAGAGGUGUGGAGGUACGGAUCUUCUCACGCCAACGGGAAAGAAGGAAAUAAACCACCGAGAAGAAGAGGGUGAAGAACAGGGCAUUCGUUAGGUACAAGGGAAGCGGCAGUGCGUCGGAGGCUUUACCGGUAUCUUCCUCUAAAGAAAUCUUCUUUGUUGGCUUGAGAGCUUGAACAGGUUUAGUAGAAGAUAGCCGGU